RNAcentral lists this long non-coding RNA (114871 nucleotides) under Vitis vinifera (wine grape). Its description in RNAcentral is "long non-coding RNA (VVIN_LNC000757)". The record is from RNAcentral. Lineage: Eukaryota; Viridiplantae; Streptophyta; Magnoliopsida; Vitales; Vitaceae.
CAUUCCCCACCAACGCAUGAGUUGGAGUUGUAGUCAUAAUAAGGCUUCUCCCCCACCCACAUGUUCACUGCAUCGGUGCCUGUCAAUGAAGGGGUGCCCCAGGCAAUGUUCUCACCGUAAGGCCCACUUGAAUGCACUAAAUUGCAAUCGCCAAUCCUCUGGUUAGCAUAGUUCUGGGCGUAGGCAGCUACAGUGUCAUUCCAUGUCAUAGAUUCAACACCAACUUCUGCACGCGCGGCAUUGUGAGCAUCGAGGAAGUCUUGUGGAGAGUUUUGGGCAUAGGAGAUGUGAGCAAGGACUAACCCCAUGAAACCAACAACUAGUGAAGAUGAGAUCUUACACAACCCCAUCUUUUAGUUUCUUAAUCUGUGUAUGCAAAGUGAGAGUUGAGAAAUGAGCAUAUAUGGUUUGAAGGGAAUGAGAAGAACUUGCAAUUUGGUCAGUCAAAAGCAUCAUUAAUAAAGCUUACAAGCAAUCUUUAGGCCACCAAAACUGGGCGCCCAUGGGCUGUUACGUGUGAAGGACGUUGAGAAAAGGAAAAUUCUACGAAGUGGGUACGUACCUCCAAAAUUCCUGGCCGUUGGAUCAAAAGAUUCCAAUCAAGACCAUCCAAAUGAAAAAUAGAUUAAAAUAAAAAAUGCAAAAGAAGGGUGCAAAAGGUUGCCAGUAGAUAUGCCCCCCUUUAUCUCCCCUCUCUCAAUUUUUGUCACACAUGUCAACAUCAAUUUCAAAAUUUUAAAUUAUUAAUUCUACAUUUGUUUUAUCUAUUUAUAACAAAUAUUAUCUUAGAAAGUAAAUUUCAAUCAAUUAUUAUAUUUAAGUAAAAGUUAUUACUAUAUUUUGAUCUAUCUUACAAUGUUUUUCAAUAUAAUAGGAAAGUGUAAAUACAACUAUCCAAUUACAAAUGCCCUCCAAAAUUUAUUUAAAAUCUAUAGAUUUUUUUUAUUUUUUUAUUUUACUUUAAAUAUUAAUAAAAUUGUUAAUUCGUAUAAUUUCACUUAGAAUUCAUAAAAAAAAAUAUGAGGAAAAAAUAAAAAAUAAAAAUAUUAAAAUUCUUACCCUCACUUAAUUUUAAGAAAUUUUUUUUUCAACUUCAAAUGCCAAUUAAAUUGUUUUUUCAUACUAAUUUCAAUUAGGAUUUUUGAUAAGUAGGAGGGUACGAAGAAGUGUUAUUCGUCAUUUUUAUCAAUUGUAAGUAUAAUUAAUAUUAAUAAGCACUAUUAGUACUAUUUGAAGUAGACAAAAAUUGGUUAAAAUUAAAACAAAUAGAAAAUUUGGAGGUACAAAGAAUAUGGGGAAAAGUAUAGAGAAUGUGAGGAAUAAUAGUGUUUAUUCCUCCCAUUUUUGUACCUCUCCAAUUUUGUAAUUUUUCUACUUUUAAAUUUUUAUUUUUUUAUUUUUUUUUUGUAGUAUUCAUACCCUCUCCAAUUUGGUAGUUUUUUACUUUUAAUUUUUUUUAUUUAUAAUUUCGAUCAAAUUUAAGUAUAAUUAGUAUGAAUAAAUGCUAAGAAAAAAAAAAUCUUAAAAUUAAAACAAGCGUAAAUUUGGAGGAUACGAAGAAUGUGGGAAAAUAAUAUUCACAUUCUUCACACCCUCCAAAAUUUUCAAUUUUCUAAUUUUAAGAAUUUUUUCCACUUGAAAUAACAAUUAUAUUGUGUAUACAUACUAAUUACAUUUAAUGAUGAUAAAAAUUAUGUGCAAACAAAUUUAAAACGAAAAAUACUAAAACAUUGGGAAGGGACGUAGAAUAUGAGACCCUUUAGAUUUUUCAUUUUUUUGAAUUUUAAGAAUUUUUUAAAAAUUUAUUUUAUUUUUUAUAAUAGUUAUAAUUGUCAUUUUUUAUAUUAUUAGAAUAUAAUUCAAAUUUUUAUUAUUCAUAGCCUAAAGUUAUAUAAAAGAAAAAAGGGAUAGUAAAUUAAUAAAUGUCAAAACUCGUAUAGGUAGAAACUAUAUAAUUAAAAUUUUAAACAUAUUUCAUCAUUAAUACUGAUAGAUUACAUUAUGAUAGGAUAACAUGAAGAUUUAUUAAAAUUUUAGUAUUUCUAAUGUUAUUAAACAUAUUUAACUUAUAGUUAUUUUUUUAAAUGAGAUUUUAUUAUUUAAAGUUGUUUAAAUUUUAAUAGUUAUAUAUUUUAUCAUUUUCAAAUUUAUUAAUUGUUUAUUUAUACUAUUUUGAUGUUUAUUAUCCUAUAAUAUUUGAUAAAUUAUAAAUCUUUAUAUUUAUUUUUAAGUUAUGAAAUUAUAUUACAUAUAUUUUAAAUACAUUUAUAUACACCUGUGGACCCCGCAUUUCGGCUCAUGCGUUUCCCACUCGAUGGCGAGCUCGAUUUUAAUUUGAAAAAUUGAUCUUUAUUGAUUAAGAAAAAUUGACUUGGAGUCGCCACUUAUUUUUAUUUUAUUUUUAAAGGGUAAACAAAAUAAGAAAGAAAAACCCUAAGUGUGACUCCUUGUUUUGGAAAAGGUGGUCUGUGAAAAACCGGAUCGGGUUCGGGGGUCAGGUUACUUAUCGGGAAGGUACGGUAGAGACCGUAGCACCCCUCUAAGUCCCUAAAUUCGGGUCUCUACUAAUAAAGUGAAACUGACGUGGCAAUCGAAUAAGAAAGUCAAUGGAUACUCACAUCAAUCAUGCAUAUAUGAGAAUCAGAAUAUGUAUACUGAAUGAUCAGAAUGAGUGAAUGCGUACCUGGGCAGCAAAUAGCAAACAGCAACGCGCUAUCAUGGAAUGAGGUUAGUGAAUAAACGCAAAAUGAUUAUAUGUAUAUCAAGGAACAAAGUAAAUCGAUCACACAUGGCAAAUGAAUCGAUCAAUCAGUCAAUCAAUCAUGGAAUCUCAUAUGUGGGACCCCCACCAAAGCCCAUUCUAUUUUGCACGAAUUAGUCCCACAAAUUCCAUUAUUCUGGAAUUAUGAAAAUAGCAUUCGUGCUUAUAUAAAAUCAAGAGAAACCGAAGAUUAUUUGAAACCCGAAGAGAAUUAAAACUGUUAGAGAGAAAAUUGGAUUUUUGAAAUUUAUUUGAAAAUUGGAGUAUUGGGAAUUAAAUUUAAGAGUUGGAAUUUUAGGAUGUCAAACUUGAAAGAAAUUAGAAUUUUAGAAAUCGAAAAUUAAGUUUGGAAAUUGGGAUUCAAAAAAAUGUUUAAAAAUGGAAUUUUGAAAUAAAUAAAUGGAAUAAUAAUAAUAAUAAGGACGAAAAUAAUGAUUAAAUAAAUGAAUGGGAAUGCUGGAAUUUUUGAAAUUGGAAAUUAGAUUUGAAGGUCGGAAUUGUUUAAAGAAUGAAUUUUUGAAAUAAAAUAAAUAGAAUAAUAAUAAUGACGAAAGUGAUGAUUAAAUGAAUGAACGGAAUUUUCGGAAUUUCUUCGUAUUGGAAAUUAGAUUCGGAAGUCGGAAAAUUGGAACUGCUUCAUGAUAGAAUUUUAAAAUAAGCAAAUAAAUAAAUGGAAUAAUAAUAAUAACGAAAAAAUAAUGAUUAAAUAAAUAAACCUGAAUUUUGGAAAUUUUGAAAUUGGAAAUUAAAUUCGGAAGUCGGAAAUUUUAAAGAAAUGUUUAAAAUAGAAUUUUAGAAUGAAUAAAUAAACUAUUAGUGAUAAAUUAAUGUGAAUGUGAGAAUUUUUCGAGAUUAGGAAUUUAAUUCGAAAAUCAAAAGUUUUAAAGAAUUGAUUUAAAAUGGAGUUUUAAAAUAAAUGAAUAAAAUACUAAUGAUUACAUAAAUUAAUGGGAGUACGAGAAUUUUCGGGAUUAAGAAUUUAAUUCGGAAAUUAGAAGUUUUAAAGAAUUGAUUUAAAAUGGAAUUUUGAAAUAAAUGAAUGAAAUAUUAGUGAUUAAAUAAAUUAAUGUGAAUAUAGGAAAUUUUGGGAUUAGGAAUUUAAUGCGGAAAUCAGAAGUUUGAAAAAAAUUUGUUUAAAGAUAGAAUUUUUAAAAUAAAUAAAUAAAUGGGAUAAUAAUAAUAAUGACGAAAAUAAUAAUUAAAUAAAUGAACGUGAAUAGUGGAAUUUUUUUAAAUCGAAGAUUAAAUUUGAAAGUUGGAAUUGUUUGACGGUGGAAUUUUAAAAUAAAUGAAUGAAUAAAUAGAAUAAGAAUAAUCGCAAAAAUAAUAAUUAUUAAAUAUGUAAAUACGGGAAGACCUAAAAAGAAUCUAAAGAUGAAAUAUUAGAGAGUUGAAUUACUUAAAAACUAGAUUUUAAAAAAAAAACAAUUUUUAAAAUUGGUGGGCUUUGGAAGUGGGCCAAGCAAGGUGGCCAUGCAAAGGUGGAGGAAAUAGGGUUGAUGGGUAUUUGGAAAAUGGGUAUGUGGUGGGCUUUGGAAGUGGGCCAAGAAAGGUGGCCAUGCAAAGGUGGGUUGAUGGGUAUUUGGAAAAUGGGUAUGUGGUGUAGAGAGAUAACCGGGUAGGGAGUAGAAAAUGAAUGAGUUAGUGAGAAAAUGAGGGCUUGGUGGUAGUGGGUAUGAAGAUGGGAGGAUGAAAGACGGGUUUAAUAGGUAUGCAUGGAGAUGACUUAGAGAGAGAAAAGGGUAUGAAGAUGGGUAUGGGGGGGAUGAGAAUGGUGGUGAGUAAAAAAAAAGAUGGGUAUGGAGAUGGUUGGCAUGAUGGAUGGAUAUGAGUUGUAGGGAAGAUGGGUAUGGGGGGUGAGUGUGUUUAUGCAUGCAUGAGGGUUGGUGGUAUGGAGAAAUGAGAAGAAUGAAAGCGGGUAGCGAGAGAAACGGGAAAUGGGUUUAUAUUCUUGUACAUGGGUGGCAUGGGUGAUGAGAUAUGAGUAUGAAGGUGAUAGGAAGAUGUAUGCACGAGAUUGGUGGUAUGGAUAUAAGGGAGAAAUGGGCAUGGCAUGGCCAUGCAAGAGUGGGGAGAAAUGGGUUUGGCUGGUAUUUGGGAAAUGUCAUGAAGGGUGCAUGGUGUGGUGAUGAGAGAGAAAAGGUGGUGAGAAAAAAAAUGAAGGCUUAGAGAGAGGAAUGGGUUUAAGGGGGGUGUAGUUAAAUGAGGAUAUGUAUGGGAUGAAAAAUGAAGUAUGGAUGAUGGGCUUGGGAGGCCCGUGGUGUAGAGAGAGAGAGUGUGUGGUGAUGGGUAUAUGAAGGUUUAGGUGGGCUAUAGUGAGGGUGAACACGUUAAUGAAUGGAUAUGGAAGACAUGGGAUGAGAUAAGUGGAAUGGGUAGUGGGAUGAUGACCUUGUGCAUGAAAGAGAGGUUGAAGGGAUGGGUGAGUGACUAUGCAUGUGCAAGGAUAGGCUGCGGGUUGGUGGAGUGAGUAGGGUGGUGCAUUUCAAUGACGGUGAGCAUGGGCACGGGUAUGAAGGGCAGUGUUGACUUGUAGGAUGAGGACUCCCUUUCUAACAGCUUCCUGCAGCUUUUCAGCUAUUCCGGUUGGAGCAGAGACACUAGGGAGUUUACUUGAUGACAUAACCCAAUAAAUUGCCUUACAACAUUCAGCAUACCCACAAACAACCAUGAGCCUUCAUUAACCAACACAAGUAACUUCUCCACCAAGAUUAAUUACACCAAUGCACUGAAAAGUUUGACAAUCUCGCAUCCUCAUAGUCUCAUCUUCACUUCCAGUAUAAGGCUUAUCCAACCCAGACGGCAAAGUAAUCCCAAAUACAAAACUUCUAUUCAACUCCAUGGCCAAUAUUUUGGACUAAUAAGCUAGAGCACAUAUAUAAUCACAGAAGCCCUCCAUUGAGUUCAUGUCUCUUCACAAACUCACUUCUUCAGUCUCGGCAAUUUGGCCAUUGGUCACCUCAGUCCCACCACCAACAAGAAACAGAGCAAUACAUAGAAAGGAGAAUCAACAGGAAACGAAACAUGAUCUUUAUAUAAUCGGGUUCAGGGAUGAAACUAUACAUCAGAUACUUAAUGAGGGAGUCGAGGAAACCAAGAUAAAGUCAAACAAAGCAUAUAUGCACACAAACAGAUUCAGGAAAACAGGCCAGUAAUCCUAGAUGCCCAAACCUAUCAAUGAAUCACACCCAGGAAUAUGCAGAAAGAUUUAGCAGAAUAGUGUGAUAACAGGAAAAAGUGAAAAUCAUAGGGACGUUACCUGGAAGUUUCUUCCUCGAGCAGAGUAUGCUUGUCCUCAAGCACUCUCUCUCCCUCCAAAAUAUCUCACCCGGCCAUCCCCAGCAUCACACUUCUCCCGCUCCAAAAAAUCAUUGUAUAGAAACCUCCGAAACGUUUUUUUUUCACCCCUCUCCGGCUCGCUCUCGUCUGAAUAUCUCCCACACGGACGUCCUCUGCCUCCAGAAAAGCCCCCCGUCUCCUCUGCAGAUCUCCCCUUCUUUUCUUCCUAUCUAGCCUCUUUUUUCUUUUUUUUUUUCUCUGUUCCUGUCUUCCUGCGCAAGCCAGCCAUCCUACUGCUACACAUCCCAUCUGCCGCCCCCCAGAGCAGCCCACUCGAGAGCCGUCAGAGAAAACCGCAAAAAAAUAAUCAUAAUCCCCCGAAAGCUCUGCUCUUCGGGUGGGGGGGUCUACAACACCCUUGUCUUUUUCCCAAUAAAGACCCAAUUAAAUCCUCAUUCCUCGUCCUUCCAUGCCUUUUAAGCAGGUUCGUCGAUUGACCCUAUUAGGUGAACCGAACUAGGUUAAGGUCCGGGAUUCGGGUUUGAUCCGAUUUUUAAAAUAUAGACUGAACAAAGAAUCAAUGUUUUAAAAACCGGACCGGUCAUUGAACCGAAAAAGUUACCGGUUCACGGUUCACUGGUCGGACCGCCGGUCGAACCGCUAUCGAACCGGUGACGUCAUAAAUAUAUAUUUUAUUAUUUUUUAUAAUAUAAAAAUUAAAAAAUUAAUAAAUUCUAUGUAAAUUUUGAUAGCAUCUACUUUGUUUAUUGAGUAACUUGAGUUUUGUCACAAAAUUUUUUACCUGUAGAAGUCAUCAAUUAUCAUAUAUGAUAUUUAUAACACAAUAUAAGAUAUUAUACAUUCAUAAUGUCAAUAAACUCAAUAUUUAUCAAAUAAUCAAACCAUUACUAUCCUAUAAUAACCAAAUUAUCAAAGAGUUGUUAACUUAACACAUUGUCCAUAACAAAUAAUACAAAUGUCAAUCAUAGGUCCACAACACUUAAAUAAUUACUCAAAAUAAAAACAUAACAUGUCAAUGUUUGAAUAUUCAUGAAGAUUUUUGCAUACUAAUAAAUAUAAAAUUCAUGUCUUCAUUUAUUUUGGAAAUUGGAAUAUGGAGAUUGAAAAUGAGCAUUUGGAAAACCAAAAAAAAAAUUAAAAUAAUUUGAACCGGUUUUUUCCCUCAGAACCGGCCGGUUCGUCCGGUUCACCGGUUGGACCGCCGGUUCAAACGGUCCAAUCCCGGUUCGGUCUCCAUCCGGUCUAAUGACCGGACCGAACCGGAACGAUGACCGGUUGGCGGUCCAACCGGUCGGACCGGCCGGUCCGGUCCGGUUUUUAAAACCAUGCAAAGAAUUGUCCUUAUCCUCUUUUCCCUUUUCGGCGAAGACUUGAGUCAUUUGCCAGAUUUAAGUCGUGAAGGUCUACAGAUUCAGUCUCCUAAGAAAUUGGGCAUGAAUCGCAGCCACCAUUCUUGACUUUUUGCUUUGUUUCGCAUGAAUGCGCAUGUACUAUCUAAUCAGACUGGGGACAACACAUUUACCACCAUUUUUGCCCGGGAGACUCGGUUUGUUGGGUCAACGGUGGAAUCCAAGUCUACUGAGAAAUAAUAUAAAUAUUAUAAAUAUAAUCUGAACAAAAUAAGUACAUGGUGAUUUUUUUAUAUUUAAAAUAAAAUAUUAUAUUACAAGCAUUAAAUAAGUUUUAUUUAUUGGAUCGUUAUUAUAAGUAAAUAUAUUUUUAUAUUAAUAAGUAAUUCUGGUAUUACUUAUAAGCAUAUUAGACCGUGUUAUCACACCAUCAUAAAAAAAUAAAAAUGAAAAAUUAGACAAAGAAAAUGAAGGAAAAAAGAAGAAGAUGAAAAAUAGAAAAUAAGGGUAAUGUCACGUUGAAUAAGGGGUGUUUGUUAAAAUUUAAUAGUUAUUAAAUAAUGAUUUAAGUUGAUUUUAAGUUAAAUUAUAUUUAAAUUAUUGACUUAAAACUUAUUAUUUAAUUAUUAUUUUAAGUAUUAAGACUGUUUCAUAAAAUUAACUUAAAAUUUAUUUUAAAUCAUCAAAUUUACUCUUAUAAAUUAUAAUGAGAGCAAAGAAGAUUGAGUAACAGUGGAGAUCAUUAAGGCAAUUAAGACAAAUAAAGGUAAAAAAAUUAAAUAAAUAUGUGAACUUAAAAAUAAGUUAAUUAUUUUUAUUUAUUACUUGAAGUGGUUUUUUUACUUAAAGUCAUACCAUUAAAUUAUUUUACCAAACAUACUUAAUGAUUUAAAUUAAGUUAUUAAGUUACUUUAAGUUAUUAAGUUGAUUUAUCAUAUACCCUUUAAGUUACCGUAUGUUUAACAUUAUAUAAAAUACAUUUUUAUUUUAUGUAUGAUAUCACAUGUAAAAACACUAUACAUGUAUCCUAAAAUAUAUUGUAAUAUUACCCCUUCAUACUAAUAUAUCUCAUAACAAAUGAGGUAAAUGUCAUAUAACUUUUGGUUAUAUUCAUUUUACAAUGUUUUUUAAUUUAACCAAAAACUCAAUAUCGAGUAAUUUUUUUUAAAGAUUUUGGAUUUAUUUGGCAAUUGUUUUAUAGAUCAGAAAUCUAUUUUUGAGAAUAAAAAAAUAAGAAAACAUAUUCGAUAAUUAAAAAUUAUUUUCUAUUUUCUAUUAUGGAGAAUAAAAACAAAAUGUUUUAAGAGAACAUCUUUUAGUUAUUUUCUUUUGUUUUCAUUUGUUUUCUAAGUGUUAUUUUUUAAAAAAAAAAAUUAACAACCAUAUAAAAUGAUUAAAAAUAAAGUAUUGGAUAUAAAAAUUAUUUUUAAAACAUAUUUAAAAAUAUUAAAAAUAGGUUAAAAACAUUUUAGGUUUCCAAAAAAAAUUUUAUUUUACAAAACAUCUUAAAAUAGCUUUUAAAACCUGUUUUUUGGAACUAUUUUAAAAAACAAUUAUCAUACAAAACUUUUAUUUUUUAAAAUAGUUUUUCUUUAACCAAAAUUUUUUUAAGGAGAGAAACUGAGGAAGAAAGGUAUGUGAUUCUAACAAAGAGAUGAUUGAUCAUUUUGGACAAUUAAAACACGGAAUUAUUCUGAAUUGGAAAAUUGUGAUUUCUUCUAAGUUAAAACCCAUACAUUCCCUCUCAGCAAAAACAACUGAAUGAUCAAAAACCAAUGUUAAAUCAACAUAAAUAUGAACACUUCUGUGGUAUAAAUAAAAUUUAUCUAAACUAGUAUGAAUAAAAGUUGGCAUGAGAUAUUUUUCUUCAUAAAAAAGAAAGAAAAAAGAAAAGUGCAUAAAAAUAAAUAUAUUACUUGUGAUGUCCACGAAUAGGGGAGAAAGUUUUUAACUAUGUAAACGUAUUACUCUCCUCAGUAAAUAGCAACUAUACAACUAUGACCGUUGUUAGAGUUCUCCGUAAAAGGACGCUGUCCAACGUAGUUGCCUGGAGGAUCAUAGUUGCAAGUGACAAACCACCCGCCACUGUUGCACUGAGCCCUAGCGCACCCAAGACACAAUGAGUUGCGCCAAAUAACUUGAGUAUAGUGCCCGCAUUCCCCACCAACGCAGGAGUUGGAGUUGUAGUCAUAAUUGUUCAAAUUGAUAAAUGAUAGUUUUUUCAUUCAUAUUUUCAUUCAUUCAUGUACAGAGUAUAUAUAGAGGGUAUCACCAUUCUAAGAAUGGGGAAGAAUUAUACAAGGAAAGAAUGACAUAAGGAAAUAACAAUUAAUAUCUUAAUAUCUCAACUUUCCUAAUAUCUCAAUAUUCAUAAUAUCUCAACUUUCCUAAUAUCUAAACAUUCCUAAUAUCUCAACACUAAAUGAUAUAAGGAAAGCAUUACUAAUAUCUCAACACUCCCCCUCAAGUUGGUGCAUAGAUGUCACACAUGCCCAACUUGUCUAAAAAUUUUGAGAACACUUGACUUGAGACAACUUUGGUAAGGAUAUCGAUCAAUUGAUCUUCUGAUUGAAUCUUAGGCAAUUCCACAAUCUUAUCAUCCAACUUUUCCUUAAUGAAGAAUCUAUCCACCUCGACAUGCUUUGUACGAUCAUGUUGUAUUGGAUUAUGAGCAAUGUCACACGCGGCUUUAUUGUCACAAAACAAUCGGAUUGGUUGCCUAGAUAGGUAACCUAAAUCCUGUAAGAGGAGUCUUAGUCAUAAUGCCUCACAAAGUCCUAGAGUCAUACCUCUAAAUUCCGUUUCUACACUUGAACGAGCGACGACAUUUUGCUUCUUACUUUUCCAUGUUACAAGAUUACCACCUACAAAGGUAAAGUAACCAGAUGUAGAUCGCCUAUCAUCCACUGCACCGGCCCAAUCAGCAUCAAUAUAUACUUCUAUACUUUGAUGAUCAACAUUUUUAGCGAACAAAAUUCCCUUCCCAGGAGCAUUCUUCAAAUACCUCAAAAUACGCAUGAUUGCAUUCAUAUGUUGCUCUCCAGGAUUAUGCAUGUAUUGACUCACUACACUCAAUGCAUAAGUAAGAUCUGGUCUUGUAUGAGCUAAGUACAUUAAUCUCCCCACAAGUCUCUGGUAUCUUCCCAUAUCAGUUGAUACUUGAUUAGGCUCAACACACAAUUUCAAACCUUCUUCUAUUGGUGUAUUAACAGGUUGACAUCCCGACAUUCCAGUCUCCUGUAAAAGAUCUAAGGUAUACUUUCUUUGAGACAGAAAAAUUCCUUCACUUGAUCAAGAAACUUCAAUCCCAAGAAAGUAUUUUAGAGGACCUAGAUCUUUCAUUUCGAAUUCUCUAAAUAGAUAAUUUUGCAGAGCUUUUCUUUCUUCAGGAUCAUUUCCUGUAACUACCAUGUCAUCCACAUAUACGAUGAGUGUCGUAAUCUUACCAUGUUGCUUUUUCAGAAACAAAGUGUGAUCUGAAUUUGCUUUGACGAUAGCCAAAAGCUCUCAUUGACUUUGUGAACCUUCCAAACCAUGCUCUCGGGGAUUGCUUCAACCCAUACAAUGACUUCUUCAAUUUGCACACCUUCUGACAUUGCUUUUCUAACACCAUGCAUCCUGGUGGAAGAUCCAUAUAUACUUCUUCAGAUAACUCACCAUGCAGAAAGGCAUUUUUCACAUCAAAUUUUUGUAAUGGCCAAUCUAGGUUUGCAGCUAAAGACAGUAAUACUCGAACUGUGUUGAUCUUAGCUACAGGUGCAAAUGUCUCUGUGUAGUCAAUUCCAUAAGUUUGAGUGUACCCUUUUGCUACCAGUCUUGCUUUAAAUCGUUCAAUACUACCAUCUGCCUUGUACUUCACAGUAUAGAUCCAACGACACCCAACUGGCUUCUUUCCUGGUGGACAUUCUACGAGUUCCCAUGUUUCAUUCUUCUACAAUGAUUUCAUCUCUUCAUUCAUAGCUGUUUUCCACCUUGGAUCAGCUAAGGCUUCUUGCACACUAUUAGGAAUAGCUACAGUAGAUAAUUGAUUUACAAAUGACUUGUUUGAUUCAGACAAACGAUGGUUAGACACAUAGUUGCUUAUGGGAUAUUUGACUUUGGUAGACAAUUCAGGUUCAUAUAUGGGUUUAGGAAUACCUCUAUUAUGACGGUGUGGUAACCGUUUCAUGAAUGAAUCGGGUUCCAAAUUAAGAACACCCUCAACAGACGACGAUUGGUUUGGUAUUUCAGUGAAGACAUUUUCGGACCCAAAUUGUUGACCACUCAUAUCCAACUCACCCACUUCCUGGUUCACUAGUUCAGAUUGUCCAUAUUCAUCUUCCUCAAAUAUAUGAUAAUCAUAAUCGAGAGUCUGAAUUUCCUUAUGGUACUCCCCCUGAAGUUCAGACUCAGAUGAAAAAUACAUCGAAUCUUCAUGAAACACCACAUCCAUUGUAAUAUACAUUUGUCGAGUUGGAGGAUGGUAACAUCGAUAUCCCUUUUUGUGCAAUGCAUAUCCAACAAACACACAUUGUAAUGCAUGAGAAGUUAACUUGGUGCGUUGGUGCUUGUGUAGAUGCACAAAUGCCACGCAACCAAAAACACGAGGAGGUAGAUUUGGGACAGUUGGGGCAACUACGACAUUAGUAAGAGCUUGGAGUGGUGUUUGAAAGUUAAUUGAGCUAGAAGGUACCCGAUUGAUCAAGUAUGCAGCAGAUGUGAUUGCUUCUCCCCAAUAAGAUAUCGGUGUUUUUGCUGCUAUCAAGGAAGCACGAACAACCUCUAACAAGUGCCGAUUUUUUCGUUCAGCGACUCCAUUUUGCUGGGGUGUAUUGGAACAAGUAGUUUGAUGAAUGAUGUCAUGUCAUUCCAAAUACUUUUGAAGAUCAGAACUUUGAUAUUCUCCACCAUUAUCACUACGCAAAACCUGAACCUUUGCAUUGUACUGAGUUUCAAUCACUUUAUGAAAUUUUUGAAACAAUAAGUUCACUUCAUCUUUGGUCUUCAUCAAGCAUAACCAUGUCAUUCUAGUACAAUCAUCAAUAAAAGUAACAAACCAACGUGAGCCACUCAAAGUUGGGACUUUGGAUUGGCCCCAAACAUUAGAAUGUAUAACCAUAAAAGGAAACGAACUUUUAUUUAAAAUUAACGAAACGAAGCACAAUGACUUUUAACCAAUUCACAAAUAUCACAACGGAAACCAGAAAUAUCACUCUUUGCAAACAAACUAGGAAACAAUUUUUUUAAAUAACCAAAGGAAGCAUGUCCCAAACGUCGAUGCCAUAACCAAAUUUCAGAUUUUUUCUUCUCUCCCUCAAAUUCAUCUGCCAUCAAGGCUUGUUGCAACUUAUUUGAAUCCUUUGACUGCAAGUCUAAGUAAUAGAGUUUUCCCCGCUUAAUACCACAACCAAUCGUUUGUCUUGUUUGGAUGUCCUUAAUCACACAAAAUUCAAGCCAAAAAAUGACAAUACAAGAUAAGGUUGCAGUGAUUUGAGAAACUGACAAAAGAUUGUAAUCUAAAGAUGGAACAACUAAAACAGAAUUCAAAUUCAAAGUAUCAGUAAGAGUUAAUGAUCCUUCCCCAAUGACUGGGGUUAUGUUACCAUUGGCUGUGGAAACAAUUUUUUGUAAGGAAGGUCUAAGGGUUGAAAUGUCUAGAAUCAAAAGUCAUAUGAUCUGUAGCACCAAAAUCAAUUAUCCAUGCACUAUUAAUAACAGGUGUAAAAGUAUUUAAAAACUUACCACCAUGAUCUGUAGCGGCUACCAAUGUAGAGGCUUUCUCAGCAACAUUAACCUCUGUUUUUAUUUCGGCAAUAGUUGCAGUCGAGGUUUUCUUGGAAUCCUUCUUCCGUUGAUCACAAUUAUUAUCAUUAAUAACAAAGUGUUGAUAACCUAAACAUGAUUUAAAGGUCCAUGGUUCAAACCCUCGGUUCCUUAUUUUUUUCUUGAUUAUACCAAGAGUCGUUGCUUUGAAAUUGUGGGAUAUCCAGAUUGGUGGGAUCAGUCUUAUUGCAGUGAGUGCCUUUGAAGGUUGACUUAUCAAUAUUAGGGCUUGUCUUAGGAUGGUUGAUCGCUGUCGGACUACCAUAGUGACAAAAUAUCCAGGAUUUCAGUUUCAUGGCUCUGAUACCAUGUUCAAAUUGAUAAAUGAUAGUUUUUUCAUUCAUAUUUUCAUUCAUUCAUGUACAGAGUAUAUAUAGAGGGUAUCGCCAUUCUAAGAAUGGGAAAGAAUUAUACAAGGAAAGAAUGACAUAAGGAAAUAACAAUUAAUAUCCUAAUAUCUCAACUUUCCUAAUAUCUCAAUAUUCCUAAUAUAUCAAUAUUCAUAAUAUCUCAACUUUCCUAAUAUCUAAACAUUCCUAAUAUCUCAGCACUAAAUGAUAUAAGGAAAUAAUGAUAUAAGGAAAGCAUUCCUAAUAUCUCAACAAUAAUUAGUCUUCUCCCUCACCCACAAGUUCACUGCAUCGAUGCUUGUCGAUGAAGGGGAGCCCUAGGCAAGGUUCUCACCGUAAGGCCCACCUGAAUGCACUAGAUUGCAAUCGCCAAUCCUCUGGUUAGUAUAAUUUUGGGCGUAGGAAGCCACAGUGUUGUCCCAUGACAUAGGCCCAACACCAACUUGUGCGCGCGUGGUGUUGUUAGAUUUUUCAUUUUUUUUGAAUUUUAAGAAUUUUUUAAAAAUUUAUUUUAUUUUUUAUAAUAGUUAUAAUUGUCAAUUUUUAUAUUAUUAGAAUAUAAUUCAAUUUUUUUAUUAUUCAUAGCCUAAAGUUAUAUAAAAGAAAAAGGGGAUAGUAAAUUAAUAGAUGUCAAAACUCAUAUAGGUAGAAACUAUAUAAUUAUUAUUCAUAACCAAAAGUUAUAAAAAUAAUAAUUAAGAAAAUAAAGGCUAAUUUUAAAUGAGAAAAACACCCAAAAGGGGGGUGAAUUGGGUUUUUAAUUUUUUUUUUAAACACGACAAAUUUAAGCACAAGAGAAGCAAAUAAAAAGAGAUAGAGUUAGAAAAAUCAAACUCAAAUUUUAUAGUGGUUCGACACUUCCUUGCCUAUGUCCAGUCUCCUCAAGCUCCUAACCGAGUGAGUGUUCCACUAACUUUAAGCUACAACCAAGUUUCUAAUCACCUUUACACUUGAAUUCCGACUCCAAUGAGCUCUUACACAACCUCUUCAAGUUUCAACUCACUUGAAGGCUUUAACACUCAAUUUACAAGAAUGAAUCUCUCAACCUAGCUUAACAAUAGCUCAAAUACAACUUAAGGCUAGGAUGAAUUACAAAGGUGCACUAAAAGAUAUGUAAGUGAAGAUUUAAUACACCUAGAAAGAAAUGAGAGCUUUUAAGGCAAGAACAAGUGGGUAGACAAAUAAAUGCAGGUGUUUUCUUACUCAUAAAUGAAGUGAACCUCUUUAUUUACAGGUUUCUAACUUCGGGAGACAAGAAAAUAAAAAAGCAGCCUCAAUCGGUCGAGCUGGGGUCAACUAGUUCACUAGCCAUUGGAGCAUUAAAUGCUUUGGCAAGUUACCGUUGCUUUGACUGGACCUUGAUCGAAGGUCGACCGAGAAGGCAAAUACCUUGAUCAGGAAGGGAAGACUACUGGAAAAGAGAGGGUGCUUUCUAUACUCCUCGACCGAACCUCGACUAGGAAGAGGGAACCGGUCGACCGGUGCCUUGGCCGAUUGAACCGGUUGGCUAAUGCCUCGAUCGAUUCACCAUUUUUGACUCGAAAACCUAUAUUUUUAUGGUCUUUUCUCUUCUACCACUUAGGCAAGGUCUUUAGGUAAACUAGUAUGCCAAUUUUGAAGUAAUUUGCCUACGGUUCAUUUGAUAAAACUCGGGUUUUGAUGAAACUGCAACUUUAAAUAAUAAAUCGAGUUUUUGAGAGAUGCAUGAAAUGAUAUGUAUAACUUAAGUGCAUCCAUGCAUUCAUCUUACAUUUGUUUCCUAUGAUUAAAGGUCUUUCAAACGUCUUGAUCUUGCAUCCAUUAGAUCAUUUGAUGAAUUUCCAAAUUAAUACCUUAAAUUCUUAAUAAUUCAAACCAAUUGGUAACUUAACCAUAAUUUGUUAUCAUCAAAAUAUGAUUAGGAGAGCCCUUGGGCUAACAAUAAUAUUAAUACUUUUUUUGUACAAAUUAAAAUUAUAUAUGGUCAAAAGUUAUGUAAUUAUUAUUCAUGAUUAAAAAUUAUGAAAUAAUGAUAUUAAUAUAUUUUUGUUUUGUACUGGCCAAAAUCUCAAUCAAUUUUUUGUUCCUGAUUGAGAAGUAUUAAAUAUGAUCAUUGAUGUUUGUAACUUGAAUUAUUCUUAUUGUGACUAUAAGUAUGGAUUUUUCAUUCGAAUUUCACAAUGCCAAAAAAUUCUAGCACAAUUGGAUCAUUAUAUGAAAUCUCUUUAUUUUUAAGAAUUUAUAAUUUACAGUUUUUAAGAUUUACUUAAAUUGUGCUUCUUUUUUAAUCUUUAUAUACACUAUAAUUAUUUUAGAGUGUGUUUGAUAGUGAUUUUAUGAAACGUUUCUAAUAUUUUUAAUGCUUGAAAGAUCAAAAUUUUCAAAUAUUCGAAAAACUAAAAACACUUUCUAGAAUCCCUACCAAACACACUCUUAAUUAUCGAUAAAGUGAAGAGAGUGAAAAGAAAAUGUCUAUUUGAUGUUUUAAGUAUCCUUAAAAUAGAGAUAUACUAUUUAUAUAUUCUCUAUGCUAUUUACUAUUUAAUUCGAUUCUUUCCAUUUGAAACAUUGAAUUUUAUAUGUUUUAUUUACUAUUUAAUUCACUUCUUUCUAGUUGAAAUGAUGAAUUUUAUAUUUGGAUAAAAUAAUGAGAAUAAAUUAUCUUAUAAAGAUUAAAAAAACAAAAGAGAAGAAUUUGAAUAAGAUUGACUUUAGUUUUUAAACUCUACCAUAUUAUCCUUUUAUAAAAGGAAUUUAAUUCUAAGUAAACUCUUUCGAGUUAUUUCUUUUACUUUUUGAUAAUAAUUUAUUAAAAGACAUUAUUUUUCAAUUUUUUUUAAUCAACAUAUAAGAAGUGAAGGAGUCUCUUCUAAUUAUAUCAAGGUCAAUAUAAUAUGAGAUAAUUAUAUUUCAAGCAAUUGUGAAUUCAAUUAUAUUGCAAUUUUUUCAUACUCCUCUAUCAACACCUAUGAGAGUAGCAAAUAACAAAAAAAAAAAAAAACAAGUUUUCUAAUAUAAUUUUAUCAAUGUUUCAAAAAAUAAAUAAAUAAAUAAAACAAGGAUAAUUAUAUUGUUAAUUUAAGAAUAAUAUUAUUCAAGGAGACUUAUCAUGUCAAUUUUAAUUAUAUUAUAUAUAUCAAUAAUAUAUAUCUUUAUAAUAUUCCAAUAAUCUUGUUUCAUAAUGUGUGAUGAUUUUUAUAUUAAGGUGAUAUAUUUUUGGCAAUAAUUAUUAAAUUGAUGUUAUAAAUUUGAAAUGAUAUUUAUCUUAAAUUAAUUUAGACUCAUAAAAUUUAAUGAGGUGAUAUUGUAGUGCUAUUGGAAGAUAUAUAAUACUAUUAUUUAAACGUCUUUGCUAUGAUUCUUAUACAUUUCAUUAAUAAAAGAAUUAAAGAAAAUCGUAUUUGCACAAUCAUCAUAUUUUAUAUAUUUAUGAGAUAGUUGCAAUUCAAUAUGCAAUAAAUUUUAACCAUAAAUAAAUUUGAAUAAAUUAUUUUCAUGUGUUAUUAUUAUAUUAUUUGUGCAUUAUAAUUAUUACGUGGAUAAGUAUAUUAAAUGAUAAUGGUGUGAUUUUGAUAGAAACUUUUUAACUUUAAAAUGUAUAUGUCAAAUGAUUUAUGCAUAUACUUUUUUAAUUGAUUAAAAAAUAAGGUUACACUGUUUUGUUAUAUUUUAUAUAUAUGGCAUAAUUUGUUUAAUAUGCUAGGAUAAUUUGUUUAAUAUCAUGCAAGAAACAUGCACAUUUAUAAAUUUAAUUGUGAAUUGAGACACUUUACAUUUUAUUUUCUAUGUCAAUAUUGAGAUAAUUCCAUGUAGCAAAAUUAAAAUUUUAUAUUCAAGAUUAGUCUCUAGUAUGCUUAAUUAUGUUAGCUUAAAUGUCUUGUACCACCUAUAAAUUAGAGGAUGAAACUUUUACAUCCUCAACAAUAACUAAUCUUUUACUUUUUAAGUUUUAACUCUCCCUUUAUAAUAAGUUUUCUUAAACCCUUAAAGGGUAAGCUUUUUACAACAAGCUUUAUGGAUUGUCAUUUUGGUGAAACUCUUGUCUUAUCAUUUGUACAACAUUGGUAAUAGUUGAUGUUAAUAUCAUGUCAAAAAAUUAGAAAUUGAUUAAAAGCUCUAGAAGAAUUAACAUUAUGUUAUUAGUGACACGAUUCUAUGUGAAUAACACUUUACAUUCUAUUAGAUCUAGAAGAAUCUAACAUGACCAACUUUGUCUCUUAGGAUAAACAGUAAUGCAUCAAUUCAUUAUACAGUCACAUGGACAUAAAUUGUAAAAUUAGAAGUUUUUACUUAGUAACUAAUUUAAUAAAAUGUUGUAUAAAUUGUCUUUUUGAUGAGACAAUUUUCCCACGGUUAGGGGAGAAAAGCUAAUUCCAAAAGAAUGAUAUGAAAAUUUGGAUUCAAGAAGAAUAACAAGAAAUUUUUGGAAAUAUUUUAUUGACAAAUAUGAAAUGAUAUCUUUAAAGAACAAUUAUAUAAUAACAAUUGUUAUCUAAAACACACUUUGAAGUGUAAUAACUUGACGUUUCAAUAAGAGAAUGAGACAUGCCUAAAGCAUUGUAGACAUUUCAGUUGAAAAGAUAUAUUCUCUAAAGGUGGAAAAGGCAUAAGUUAUCCUUUAACAUCCACAAAUUGAACAAAUAGCCCUUGAAGAGAUCCAACUAAAAUAAAUAGCCCUUAAAGAGGUACAUAUUAAACAAAUAAGUCUUGAAGAGGCAUAUAUUGAUCAACAAAUAACACUUAAAGAGGUACAAAUUGAAUGAAUACUCCUUGAAAAAGCACUUAUUGAAUGAAUAGCCCCUGAAAAGGCACAUAUUGAACAAAUAGUUUGUAAACAAGCACAAAUUGAACGAAUGGUCCCUAAAGAGACAUAAAUACCUUCAUAUCUAAAAGUAAAAGAGAUUUUUAUUAGCUAUGAACCUGAUAAGAGGAAGAUGGGAUCAAAAUAAUAUUGUCAUUGACAAUGUAUCUUCUUUUUAGAUGACUUUUGAUAUCAUAAGGAAUGAUGAAGAUUCCAAAUUAUGAAUUAUGCAAGCUACGUUGACACAAAUAUUUGACCAAAAUGGAAAGAUGCAAUAUAUACAGAGUUAGACUUGUUAGCGAAAUGAGGAAUAUUUGGAGUUGUAGUCUCACGUUAAAAUACGUUGAAUCUAUUGAAUAUAAAUAGACCUAAAGUCUAAUGCUUUAAGACAUAAAGAUUGUUGAAUAUCGAUGGGUUAUUAUGCUAUAAAACAAAAAUUAUAGCAUAAGCAUUCCUACAAAUAUCACUUAGUAUCAAUUUCCUAAGCCUAAUUUCUACUUGGAAAUUAAAAGACAUCUUGAAGUUGAGCCUGCAAGUUGUGUCUUCAUUGAUAACAAGUGUUUUCCUAUAAUAUUUUCUUAAUUGAUUGAACCUAACUUGUAAAUCUUCAAUUUUGUCCUCUUAGCACAUGUGACUCUAGGUGUCUUCCUAUACUUCUCUCUUGAUUCAUUAUCAUCCCUUAGUAGUCCAUCGACACUCAUUUGACCUAAUUUUUCUGAGUCACCUUCAAGGGCUUCUUGUUUAGGGCUAAACUUAGAUCUCACUUAGAUCUUUUUAAGGAUAGGUUUCACUUAGAUGCUUCUAUAUGCCUAGAUCACUUGGUUAGUUUUUGAGUUUGAUUGCUUGAUUUUGAGUUUAAGCAAGGUUUGGCUUGAUUUAGAAAAUAACAUGAGAUUGAAGAUUCUAUUCUUUUUAAGUUGUAUGAAGUAAUAUUUUUAUUCUCUUAUGUGUCCAUGUGAUUGGUUUUGUUUACUUUCAUUUUAAAUUACAUGAUUUCUAAUUUUUAUUUUAUUUUAUUUUUGCAUGAGUUUGGUACUUCGAUUUUUUGCAUCUGUAUUAAUAAUUGAUUUUAAAUAUGCAUGUGAUUGACAUAUUAAUUUUUUUUAAUUACAUAACUUUGAUUUUUAAUUUGCAAUUGCAUGCUUUUUAUUUUAAUCUUUAUUUUGUUUUGCAUGGGACUAGAGUGCUGCAAAUUGGAGAGGAUCCCUUGGUGUACACGGCUUCCACAAAUAGGAAGGAGAUUAGGACACUUUGGAGAUAUUUUUGGAUGAAGAGAUUCAUUUGGCUUUUGUUUUUGGAAAAGAUUUUCAAUAAGCACGCAUGUAUGAAAGGAUUUUGAAUCAGCAAUGGGCAUGGGCUGGGGCUGCUAUAAAAAUGGAAGGACAGCCACACGCGUAGGGGAGGAACACUAUUGAAAAAGGAAAGAGUCAUGUCAGAGAUUGUCCAUGCAAAACCACAUCCCAUAUUCCCAUAUUCAUUCUUGGAUUUUGAUUUGAUUCUUCGGAUAUUCUCCACAACCAUAAUAUAUAUAUAAAAUUAGUCCACAUGCACUGCGGAGGAGGGGCAGAUUGCGGGGCUGUGAGAAAAGAAAAAGGGAUCCAUGGGAAACUUUGAAGAGAAUAAUAAAAGCUGCCAUAAUGGGAUUUCUAAUGAGCUUCCACAUGCGGAUUGCUAUGUUUCUUCCAUGGAUGAUGGAGAUUGCAUGUAAUACAAAUUGUGAGGGCGCACCAUGAUUCUGGCUUUGUGAGGGAUUCAGCAAGACACAAUGCACCACUCCGUGGGAAGGUAUGGCGGCCCACACGCACUCACCAUGGAGAUCUAGAGAGCCUAUACCUAUUUAUUUUAUUUUAUUAGGGGAACACACAUUAUGGCAUAUAAGGAGGGAUUCAGAUUUUGUUUUAGGCUCCGACACACACCAUCAGUCUACACCGAUCGUCAUCCAUAAAGAAAAAUCCAUCAUCACGGAAGGGAUCACACAACCAGCAGGCAUUCUGGACACGCUCCAUGGAGAUUGGGGAGCAGAUUCUUUCGCAAGAAAAUCACAGAGACACCAUUAAUUUUUUAAGGCUCCACAUGCAUAUUGGGAACGAUCAGCUCUUUUAGAGAUGAAUACAGAUCAGAUUUCUUGCAGAUGACGGCAAUAGAUUUUCUAGAAGGUGCUGAUGGUGUACACGGUUUGGUUAUGAAGAACCUCGAAUUUUAGGAGUUGCAUGAGUGAACGGUCUGUUGAUGAAGACCAUUAGAUUUUUUGGAGGUAGUGGUGCACGGUUGCAUGUGAAUAAUGAGCAUCUAAAUGCUCUAGAUGAAAGUUGAUGCUGAAUUGACGAGUACACGGUUCGGGAACUGAGUGAUGAAGAUUUUUUUUUUUUUUUUUUGUGGAGCAUGGUGUGGACAAUUGGAUAUAGAGAAACAACAUCUUGAUUUUUUUGGGGACUCCGCCAACAGGAUCAUGCACAAGCAGCCUACACAUUCCAUAGGUAACCACAUGCGGCUGCCAUCCAUUGAAAAGAAGCACACGCAUUUAUUCAUCAGUAGAGAUUCAACCUGCGCGCAUGGAGAGGCCAUGCCGCUUGAUAGGAAUUCUCCACCAAAGAGAUAUCCAGCCUGCAUGAACGGUUUUUGAACGUGUAUUAUUGACCCUCUUCUCCUAUCAAUAAAAUACAUAUACAGAAACCCCUUCAUGUGCGGUGUGUGCUUUUCCAUCAAUUACAGAAAAAUAACUCUGUGUAUUAAGGUUUGAUAAGGAGAAGAAGAAUCAAGGAUUUAAGAUCUAUAAGCUGAAGGGAAAUCUCUCAUGGCUGCGUCUUCUUCAAACGGUAUGUGAUCUAUUUGUUAAUUAAUGUUUAUUUUAUUAUUUUAUUAUCAGAGACGAGUUUGAAUCAUAAUGAUCUGGAUAAUUGCAUGUUAAUUUUCGUGUUAAAUUCUAUCAAUUGGUAUCAGAGCUUGGUUUUGAAUUUAAAUAUUCAGAUCAAUUUAUAAAAGAUUAGAUUUUUUUUUUUAAGAUUUAUCUUCCAUUAAUUCGUCUCACUAAAAUUACUAAAAUAAAAUAAAAUAAUAAUAAAAUAAUCAAAAGACCCAUUGCGUUCCUCUGUAUCCUUGAGUUCUAAGGAGACAGGAACUAUAUCUGAGCGUGAUUGACCGUUUCUAGACAUGUGGAUUGCUUAUAUAACCCAUUGCGUAACAGCUCCUAUUAGGAAAAAUAAAAUAAAGAAGAGUAGUGAUUCCAUGCGCCUAAAGGAAUAUUGAAAAUUUUAUUGUACGUGCUAUUGGGUCAGCACACAGUAGAGGAUCGUUCAAGCGCCAUUGUCGGCACCGCAGUUUCUCUAGGUUUCACGCGCCAGUUCAGGCGCGAUUUCCGGCGCCAUCGCGCUGAUUUCAGGUGCCGUUGAAGGCGCCAUUGCCGGCGCCAUUGAAGGCGUUGGUUGCAGGCACCAUUGCCAGUGCCAUUGAAGGCACCGUUUUCAGGCGCCAUCUCCUGGUUGCAGGCACCGUUGAAGGCGCCAUUGAAGGCGCUGGUUGCAGGCACCAUUGCCGGUGCCAAUGAAGGCGCCGUUUUCAGGCACCAUCUCCUGGUUGCAGGCGCCAUUAGAGGCGCUAUUUGCAGGCGCUAUUGCCGUUUGCAGUGCCGUUUGAGGUGCGGUUCAGGCACCACUUUUCAGGCUCUCCAAAAGUGCUAUUUCAGGCACUAAUUCAAAGAUAUUAAUUGAUUUAUUUUAUGAUUUGAAUCUGAACAUUUGUGAAAUUAUUAUUAUUAUAUAUGAGGAAUGCAAGUAUUAGCUUUAGUAUAUUCAAUGAAUGCAGAUUUCUUUAAUUUUAUUAUGAUUGAUUAAUGAAUCUGUUGAUUAUUAAAGAUACUAUAUUAUGAUUGAUUAUUGAAUCUGUUGAUUAUUAUGGAUACUAUUUCCUUGUUUUUUAACUCAAAUAAAAGAAUUAAUUUCAUCUUGUGAAUAUUUUAUUCAAAUGACAAUUUAUGAAUAUAAGGUUAACUAAUUUGGAUAGUUGCCAAAGUAACCUAAAUUAGUGAGCCUUGUAUUUAUUGAAUUGCAUAAAAGAAUAAAGGGAGACUUGUAAAAUUCUUAAUAAUUUUCUUUAUAAUUAGGAGAAUGAGACUAACCCAAAGGAGAGUCAAUUUCUGUUAAUUAUUAAUUAAUGUUUUUAUUUUGUGUUGCUUAGAAAAGUAAAAUGGAUACCCAAAGGUAACAUAUAAAUGACACAAAAUAGUAAAGUGUUUUAAGCUCCCUCCAAGUGAACACUGGAUAUGUUAAAAUUUACCCAAAGGAGAAUUUUAAUGAUAUCAAUAGUUCAUUGUUUUUUAUUUUAUACUUGAAGCUUAUUGUGAGCAUUAUUCUAUUUUGUACAGUUCCCACUUCAUUACACUCUCUUGCAUCUGGAAUGACUAUUUUUUAUGGGUCAAACUUUUCUGAAUGGUAUGAAAGGGUUCAAUUCUCACUGGGUGUAUUGGAUCUUGACUUGACUUUAAUAUCUGAUAAACCUCCUGAAGCUACGGAUUACAGUACUCUGGAGCAGGUGGAACAAUCAAAAGCCUGGUCAAAAUCAAACAGACUCAGUCUGAUGUUUAUGAGAAUGACUAUUGCCAAUAAUAUCAAGACCUCUCUCCCUCAAACCGAGUUUGCCUCGGAAUUUCUGAAAUCCGUUGAGGAGCGCUUCAAACGCGUUGAUAAGUCCCUUGCAGGCACAUUGAUGGCUGAAUUGACCACCAUGAAAUAUGAUGGUCAGAAAGGUAUUCAGCAACAUAUUUUAAACAUGACUGAAAAGGCUGCAAAGCUUAAGGCACUAGGUAUGGGUAUGGAUGAGUCCUUCUUGGUACAGUUUGUCCUUAACUCACUUCCAUCACAGUUUGCUCCAUUCAAAAUCCACUAUAAUACUAACAGUGAUCAGUGGAACUUGAAUGAGCUCACCAGUAAAUGUAUACAAGAGGAAGUGAGAUUAAGACAAGAAGGACAUAAUCUUGCUCUUGCUGUAACUCAUGGAGUCACGAAGAAGAAAGGAAAAUUCAAAAAAUGAAAGAACUUUCCACCUAAGAAAAGCGGACCUGGGGAAGGUAGCCAGAGUCAUGAUGGAAAAUUCACAGUAAGUUGCUACUUUUGUGGCAAGAAAGGGCAUGUGAAGAAGGACCGUAUCAAGCACAAGGCUUGGUUCGAAAAGAGAGGUAUAAAUCUUUCUUUUGUAUGUUAUGAAUCCAAUCUUGUUGAAGUUCCUUCAAAUACUUGGUGGAUUGAUUCUAGAGCCACAACUCAUGUGACUAAUUUAAUGCAUGGAUUCCUUACAACCAGGAAACCAAAGGAAAGUGAAAAGUUCCUCUAUAUGGGAAACCGUCUCAAGGUUGAAGUGGUAGUUGUUGGUACCUAUCGCUUACUAUUAGAGACAGGUCAUCAGAUGGAUCUUUUAAACACUUUUUAUGUACCUUCUAUCUCUAGGAAUUUAGUUUCCUUGUCUAAAUUAGAUGCUACUGAAUAUUCUGUUUUAUUCAGUUUUGGACAAUUAAGUUUGAUGUUAAAUUCUGUUACAGUUGGUUCUGGUAUUUUAUGUGAUGGUUUAUAUAAAAUUUCCUUGAAUCAUGAAUUUUCACAAGCUUUGAUAACCCUGCAUUCAAAUGUUGGUUCAAAAUGUGGCUUAAUUAAUGAAAAUUCUUCAAUCUUGUGGCACAGAAGACUAGGGCACAUCUCUAGGGAAAGAAUUGAGAGAUUAGUGAAGGAAGGAAUUUUACAAAAUCUUGACUUCACUGAUUUUCAUGUAUGCGUGGAUUGCAUAAAGGGAAAGCAAACUAAACAUACAAAGAAAGGUGCCACAAGAACUAAUGAGCUCCUUGAGAUAAUUCAUACAGAUAUUUGUGGACCACUCUCUGUUCCAUGUUUUACAGGAGAGAAAUAUUUUAUCACCUUUAUAGAUGAUCUAUCUCGUUAUGGUUAUGUUAAUCUAAUGCAUGAAAAGUCUCAGACCAUUGACAUCUUCGAGAUGUUCACAAUAGAGGUCGAGNNNNNNNNNNNNNNNNNNNNNNNNNNNNNNNNNNNNNNNNNNNNNNNNNNNNNNNNNNNNNNNNNNNNNNNNNNNNNNNNNNNNNNNNNNNNNNNNNNNNNNNNNNNNNNNNNNNNNNNNNNNNNNNNNNNNNNNNNNNNNNNNNNNNNNNNNNNNNNNNNNNNNNNNNNNNNNNNNNNNNNNNNNNNNNNNNNNNNNNNNNNNNNNNNNNNNNNNNNNNNNNNNNNNNNNNNNNNNNNNNNNNNNNNNNNNNNNNNNNNNNNNNNNNNNNNNNNNAAUCAGUGGGGAGUAUGACAAAGAAAAGUAGAUAUGAGGAGAUAAGAGUGGAUAUCCCACCACCUUUUUUACCUUAAGAAAUUAUUGUUCCUCAAUGAUUCGUCCCUAGCAGCGGCAUUGGCAAUGGCACCAUUUGAUUCGAGGUUUGAUCCUCGGCAACGGCGCCAUUUGAUUCAUGCCCAAUUGGUGUCUCAGCUGAUUCGUGUCCAGCUGGUGCUCCUUGAUUGAGGGAUUGAUCAACAAAAUUUAUAACCUAUUACACCAUAUACUAGGGUAGCAAAGACAAAGCUACUAUAGCAUAGUGGCUCUAGGAUCGUUCACUGGGAUGGGUUUUCACUUCACAAUUGAUAUUAAUUCAAAGAUGAAUUGGUGCCUUUUCAUUUCAAGGUUAGCUUUAAAAGAAAACAUAAAGAUGUUUAAAUGAAAAAGGUUUGGUUUUAAGCUAACUAAAAAUAGUAACUGAUUUUACUUACAAAGAAAGGUGUUUCUUGGAGUUCAGAUCACUAGGCUCGUUCCUCAUACAAAAUGGAGAGUUCCGGUCACUUGUUUAUUUUCCUCGCAUUAGAGAAUUAACAUAUAGUUCCUUCUCCAACCGGUGUUGUACAGAUGCUUCCCAUUAAUGGGUUCAAACACUAAAUCCCUCUCACUGAUGCAACUUGCAAUGGUUCAUGCCUCUCACGAGCACUUACCAUUCAAGGAGAUCUUUAACCUUGGACUUCCCUUCUCAAGCUCGCAAGAGAUAACUAAUGGAUGUCUCCUUGGAGUCCAAAAGCUUACCAAGUGUUGGCUAUUCUAGAAAAUCCUACCUUCAAGUCACCUCCCAAAGGCUCGCAAGGGGUAAACUAGUGCAUUUCCAUGGUUGGAAAUCACUUGCCUUACCAAGUGUUGGCCCAGGUGACUCUAAGGUGUUUUAAGUUAACUAAAAACAUAGAAAUCACUAACGGGUUACACUUUCUCUUCAUUAAAAACUAAAACAACAAAACUUCCAAUUUAUGCAUGUGGAAACUUACCCGGCUUUCCUCACUCCAAGAGACAAAAAGCUUAGCCUCUCAUCCUCUGUGGAAAAAUCCUCAGAGUUUGGUUGGCUAGAAAGAAAAAUAAAUGAAAAGUGAAAGAGAAGGAAAAACAGAGCAAGGCUCUGUAUAUUCUAUAUAUGAUCGAUAUUACAUAUAUGAUCCUCCUCCUUUUACAGUGGAUGCAAGGGAAUAUAUAUAGAGGAGUUUUUCCAACCUUCCCAACUAAGAAAUCUUAUGGUUGGUGGAUUACAAGGAGAAGAAUGGAAAUUUAUACAAAAAUAUCUGAAGAAAAUAUCUAGAAGAGUCGGUGCAAAAAUAUCGGGAAGCACUAAGGACAUUUCGCAGGUGAAAAUGGUGUCUGCGAGAUUUCGCAGACACUCAAGAGGGCUGCGAAAUAUUUUCGCAACAACAAGUUAAACUCGCAGGGCUGCGAAAUUGGCUUCCACCUUGAGGUUCUCAGCGUUCCAGCUUGCGGCAUGUAUCGGGUAGCUUCAGGAGGAAUUCCAUAGCACUGUACAAAAAGGCUGCGAAAUUCUCGCAACAAAAGGCUGAUUUCGCAACACUUUGGAGUGAUCUGCUUGUAAUGGCUGUAACUCCUUCGUUUCAACUCCGAAUCAUGCACCGUUUGAAGCAUUGGAUUCUUGACUUCCUGAGCUUUGAAAUGGUAUAUAGAAUGUAGAAAAUGGACUUCGGGAAGUGCUCCAAAAGUGCGCAUGAAGACUGCAGCUGCUUGUCCUCUGUUUUCUUCACUCUGUUUUUCCUUUCUCCUUGUUUCUCUCCUUGCAUACUUUGAACGACUUUGGCAAAGGGCUAUGGAGCUCCAAAGCUUUGUUCUUCAUGAAUUUGAGCUUCCAAAAUCUUUGCCAUGAACUAUAUACAAUUCUCCCUCAUUCUUGGAUUGUUUUGGUGAUCAAAUUACUAACAAAAACACCAAAACUUACACAAUUUGAUUAGAAAUGAUUGCAAGGGUCCUUAACAUGUUAAUUGGGUUAAAAGGCAAUAACUACUACUCAAAAGUGUUUAAAAGAGUUAAUUACAAGCUAUCAAAUAGCACUUUUUGAGUAGUAAUCACUCCCCCCAACCGACAUAUUGCUAGUCCCUUAGCAAUAAAGGAGAUAAAAACUAAGUAACUAUAAUAAUAUACAUAAAAGGGAUCAUGCAAAUCACUCCAAAAAAUUAUAUGAGUGGCAUGAUGGACAUCCAUGGAUCAAUAAAGAUGUGAAACUCAACCUAUAAUAAGAGUUGUCAAAGCAUUCACUUGAUCAUAGAGUACAAAGAAUGGAUAUUAUGCAAGUUUAAGCAUCAAAAGAAUUUCCACUCUCAAUAGAUCCAAAUCAAAUUCUUCCACUAAAAGCUAAGUGUUAAUGUGAUUAGCUUCCGAGUAUAGUAUGGAUAACUAUCAUCUCCCCCCAACCUAAGUCUUUCUUUAAGCUUAGCAAAAUUAACCAUUUCUUGAUAGGCUAGGAACGCACCUCUUAUUCACAAUUCUUUUUACUUACUAAACUUAACCAAUUCACCCAUGUAACAAGCAGAGGAUCGGUGACUCCCAACCAAUAAAGGCUUAGGGCACCAGGCUUUAAAGGCUUUCGCCACCCCUUCGGACCAUGCUCAGGUUUCAAGGCAAGUAAAGAAGUUUAUUCUAUAUUUUUUUUUUCUUUUUUUUUUUUUUUUUCUUUUUUUUUUCUUUCUUUUUUUUUCAAAGACUCAUUGGUCUUUAUGAGGUGUCCCAACACUAUUAAAGAGAGGUUAAAGGUGUCAAAUUAUGAUUUCUCAAGCUUAGAGGGUGAGAUAGUUUCACAUCUUAUAACCGGAAUCUAAUGUAUGUGUGUGCGAAUAGCUUAAGGUGGAAGAUAUAAGUUUGCAUGCAAUUGGAGUUUCAACAAUUCAUCAACUUUUAGAAGAGCAUAAUACAAACUCUAAGACUCAUGUAAUCAAGUUGAAACUCGACUUCUCUCAUUUAAUUUUGAGAGUUAAUCCUUAAUAUCCAUGGAGUUUAAAGCCAAAAUUUUAAAAAUUAAGCAAAAAGCAACUAAAUUACCAAAAUAACUUAGCAUUAUUAACAAUACUUACUUCCUCAACUCUCCCCCCAACCAAGCUGAACAUUGUCCUCAAUGUGACAAAAGCGAUUAAAAAAUAGGGAGGAAGUGGUACCUCAUGAGUGACAUGAAGUCUGAGUUGUAUAGGAGAAACCACAUGUUUCAAAGAAAACAUAAGAGUUAGUGAGUAGAGGAAAUAGAAAAAUGCCAAGUUUAAACAAGAAUUGAUGUCUAUGUAUGAUGUAUCAUCAGUAAUACAUCCAAUCCCAAAAUGUAAGACAUCAAAACAUGGAAUAUAAUAAGUAGAGACAAAAAAGUAAAGAGAUGAUCAAGUAGUGGUAGGAUCCUGUGGAGCUGAUGUGUCUGUGAUGGCCUCUUGAGUGGGUUGGAUCAGGACUUUGGCCUCUGUUCUGGUAGUCUCCUUAGGUGGCAUAGUCUCCUCAACUGGAGCUCUCAGCUGGAGCUAUGAGAUUUGAUGGUUUAAGGAGGUAAGAAAUGGAGUGAGAGGCUUGGUGUGUGUGAUCCCAGGGUGUGCAGGGCUCUCCUCUUCAGAUGCAUGAUCGUAGGGCUCUGUUGGCAUUUUAGCAACUUCCCUUGGCUUUGCAAAGUGUUUUUGUAAAUCACCCUCCAUUUCACAAGUCAAUUUCGCAAUUUGAAGGCCAUUUCUAAGCUUGGAGGUGAUUUCGCAACCAUUUCAAAGCUUGGAGAUCAUUUCGCAGAAAAGUGGCAUGUUCACAGACCAUUUUUUAAGCUUGGAGCAUUUUCGCAGCCAUUCUGAAGCUUGGAGAUCAUUUCGCAGCAAAGUGGCAUUUUCGCAGACCAUUUUUGAAGCUUGGAGCAUUUCCGCAGCCAUUCUGAAGCUUGGAAAUCAUUUCGCAACCAUUUCAAAGUUCAAAAGUGAUUUCGCAGGUGUAUCGCAGCUUCGAAAUGAGGGGAAUUGUGCUGCAAAUGGCACUCGUGUGCCAAAAAGUGGUUUCGCAGCUGCGAAACACCCUUCCAAAUGGCGUCUCGGCUGCGAAAUUCUCGCUCAGCUUUGCGCGCUUGUCUUCAAACGACCAUAACUUCUUCAUUUCACCUCCAAAUCGCAUACCGUUUGAAGCGCUAGACUCCUGACUUCCCAAGAUUUGAAACGAGAUAUCGUAUCCAUAAUUUGAGCUCCAGAAAGUGCUUCAAAAAUGUGUCCAACAGUAGCGAAAUUGAGGUGCGACAUUUCCGCUCAUGGUUUGUACAGUCUUCUUCAAACAGCCAUAACUUUUCCGUUUCAAAUCCAAAUCAAGUACCGUUUGAAGCUAUGGACUCCUGACUUCCCAAGAUUUCCAACGAGAUAUUGCAUGCAUAAUUUGAACUUCGGGAAGUGAUCGAAAUGUGUCCAACAAUUGCCGAAAUGGGGGUGCGGCUGUGAAAUUGGGAUUUUCACAUUUUGGAACUUCGCAGCCAUUUCGCAGCUGCGAAAUGAGGGUCACUGUGCUGCGAAAUGGCACUCGUGUGCCAAAACCGGCUUCGCAAUUGCGAAGUACCCUGCGGAAUGAGACUUUUGGUGCGAAAUCAGGCUUUACCACUUCGCAAUGCGUUUCGCAACUGCGAAAUGGAUGCUCCUGUACUGCGAAGUGGCACUCGUGUGCCAAAUUCACUUUCGCAGCUGCGAAAUACCCUGCCAAAUGGAGCUUUCCCUGCGAAAUGGAGGAUUUCAUGCUUUGGUGGUUCGCAGCCGCUUUCGCAGCUGCGAAAUGGGGGCCACUGUGCUGCGAAGUGGCACUCGUGUGCCAAAUUUGGUUUCGCAGCUGCGAAAACUUUCGCAGAGAGGGCAAUUGGGCUGCGAACUGGUUUUGCAGCAAAAUUUCAAUUUCGCAGAGGCUGCGAAAUCUCGCAGACCCCUGUUUUUCCCCUGUUUCUCCCCUGUUUUCGCUCCGUUUGACUCCGAUUUUGCUCCGAUUUUUUUUCUUCAAUUUCUUUGCAAUUCCUCUCGAUUUUGAUCAUCCAAAAACCUAUAUUACAUCAAAACAAAUUAGAAUUAAAGCAUUGAAAUCAAAAUUAAAGCAUUGAAAUCAAAAUUAAAACAAGUAAAAAAAAACAAAACAAAAAGAUAUGGACUAGCUAGUCUUUAAAAAGACUAAGUCCAUCAAAAAAUUUGAUCCUGAUUUAGCUUGCCCGGAUCCCAUAUGAAGCUUGCAUCCUUCACUUGAGACUUGAUUUGUAUGAUUUUCCCAUACAAAGCUUGGAGAAAAGGUGGAGGCAUGUGUUUCUUCAUCAAUUCUUCCUUGAUGACUAUCCUCAGUGGUUCUUCAGCUAUAUCAAAAUCAUAGUCAUCUUUCUCUAUGCUUUUCCCCUUUUUCUUUCCUUUGAUUUCCUCCCUCUUUUCUUUCUCUGUUUCAUUCUCUACCUUAUGCUCUAGCUUGCAUGUGGGCAGAUCAACCUCUUUACCACUCCUCAGAGUGAUCACUUCUUUGACUUCCUUCUCCAUUGAAGAUUCUUCCUCUUGAGCCUCCACUACAUGGAUGCCCUUGGAAUUUUGAUAAGGUUGAGAAGGAGAGUUUUCUUUCUCUUGCAUUGUGUUGAGGUUGGAAAGCCUUGAGAUUGAAUCUUGGAGAAUAUCUAACUUCUGAGAUAGAUCAUUUUGCAUUUCAUCCAUCCUUUUAUUCAAAGUACUCUCCAUUCUAUCAAUUCUUUGAUCCACUCUGUCCAUUCUUUGAUCCACUCGAGCAUUGGUGGCUUCUUGCUUUCCCACAAAAUCUCCCACGACCUUGCAAAGAUUCACCAUAGCUUGUUCAAGGUUUGAGGCUUGCUGUGGUGCUUGAGCAGGUUGCUGAUACUGAGGUGGCUGUGGUUUCCAAGAGAAAUUUGGAUGGUCCCUCCAAUUGGAAUUGUAGGUGUUGCAAUCACCUAACAUUUCCCUCUUGGCUGGAAUGGUAGGACACUCUUCCACCAAGUGCUCAUAUGAUAGACAAAUGGCACAAGGCAUAGAUUGCAAUGGUGUUUGAGAGAUGGCUUGCACUGGCUGCAUAUUUGUCAUUUCUAGCUCUUCCAAUCUCCUUUCCAUAGCUGCAAUUUCUGCCUUCAUGUUCAUACCAUCAUUCAAAAUAUACAUCUCACCCUUAGCUUUAGGUUGAGACAUCAUUCUUCCCAUAUCUCUAGCAUUUGGUUUAUCCCAUCCUCUUGAGACUUCAGCCACAUAACUUAUGAAGUUCAUGGCUUCCUCUGCUAUCUCGUAUUCAAUAUGGCAUGCACAACUAGCAAAUUGUGAAUUAAAAACAGAGAACACAAAAGAAAACAAAAGAAAAACAAUUCAAAGAAAAAAAAUUAAGGUAAACUAAAAACUAAAUAAAAGGUAUACUAAAAUAUGAACAAUAAAGAAAUAAAAAGAGUUAGUAAAAGGAAAAGAAAAGUCACCAAACUUGUGAUGAAGAUCACAAGUACUCUAGAAAGGUGAUAUCACUGUAAAGUGGCACCAUCCCCGGCAACGGCGCCAUUUGAUUCGUCCCUAGCAGCGGCAUUGGCAAUGGCACCAUUUGAUUCGAGGUUUGAUCCUCGGCAACGGCGCCAUUUGAUUCAUGCCCAAUUGGUGUCUCAGCUGAUUCGUGUCCAGCUGGUGCUCCUUGAUUGAGGGAUUGAUCAACAAAAUUUAUAACCUAUUACACCAUAUACUAGGGUAGCAAAGACAAAGCUACUAUAGCAUAGUGGCUCUAGGAUCGUUCACUGGGAUGGGUUUUCACUUCACAAUUGAUAUUAAUUCAAAGAUGAAUUGGUGCCUUUUCAUUUCAAGGUUAGCUUUAAAAGAAAACAUAAAGAUGUUUAAAUGAAAAAGGUUUGGUUUUAAGCUAACUAAAAAUAGUAACUGAUUUUACUUACAAAGAAAGGUGUUUCUUGGAGUUCAGAUCACUAGGCUCGUUCCUCAUACAAAAUGGAGAGUUCCGGUCACUUGUUUAUUUUCCUCGCAUUAGAGAAUUAACAUAUAGUUCCUUCUCCAACCGGUGUUGUACAGAUGCUUCCCAUUAAUGGGUUCAAACACUAAAUCCCUCUCACUGAUGCAACUUGCAAUGGUUCAUGCCUCUCACGAGCACUUACCAUUCAAGGAGAUCUUUAACCUUGGACUUCCCUUCUCAAGCUCGCAAGAGAUAACUAAUGGAUGUCUCCUUGGAGUCCAAAAGCUUACCAAGUGUUGGCUAUUCUAGAAAAUCCUACCUUCAAGUCACCUCCCAAAGGCUCGCAAGGGGUAAACUAGUGCAUUUCCAUGGUUGGAAAUCACUUGCCUUACCAAGUGUUGGCCCAGGUGACUCUAAGGUGUUUUAAGUUAACUAAAAACAUAGAAAUCACUAACGGGUUACACUUUCUCUUCAUUAAAAACUAAAACAACAAAACUUCCAAUUUAUGCAUGUGGAAACUUACCCGGCUUUCCUCACUCCAAGAGACAAAAAGCUUAGCCUCUCAUCCUCUGUGGAAAAAUCCUCAGAGUUUGGUUGGCUAGAAAGAAAAAUAAAUGAAAAAUGAAAGAGAAGGAAAAACAGAGCAAGGCUCUGUAUAUUCUAUAUAUGAUCGAUAUUACAUAUAUGAUCCUCCUCCUUUUACAGUGGAUGCAAGGGAAUAUAUAUAGAGGAGUUUUUCCAACCUUCCCAACUAAGAAAUCUUAUGGUUGGUGGAUUACAAGGAGAAGAAUGGAAAUUUAUACAAAAAUAUCUGAAGAAAAUAUCUAGAAGAGUCGGUGCAAAAAUAUCGGGAAGCACUAAGGACAUUUCGCAGGUGAAAAUGGUGUCUGCGAGAUUUCGCAGACACUCAAGAGGGCUGCGAAAUAUUUUCGCAACAACAAGUUAAACUCGCAGGGCUGCGAAAUUGGCUUCCACCUUGAGGUUCUCAGCGUUCCAGCUUGCGGCAUGUAUCGGGUAGCUUCAGGAGGAAUUCCAUAGCACUGUACAAAAAGGCUGCGAAAUUCUCGCAACAAAAGGCUGAUUUCGCAACACUUUGGAGUGAUCUGCUUGUAAUGGCUGUAACUCCUUCGUUUCAACUCCGAAUCAUGCACCGUUUGAAGCAUUGGAUUCUUGACUUCCUGAGCUUUGAAAUGGUAUAUAGAAUGUAGAAAAUGGACUUCGGGAAGUGCUCCAAAAGUGCGCAUGAAGACUGCAGCUGCUUGUCCUCUGUUUUCUUCACUCUGUUUUUCCUUUCUCCUUGUUUCUCUCCUUGCAUACUUUGAACGACUUUGGCAAAGGGCUAUGGAGCUCCAAAGCUUUGUUCUUCAUGAAUUUGAGCUUCCAAAAUCUUUGCCAUGAACUAUAUACAAUUCUCCCUCAUUCUUGGAUUGUUUUGGUGAUCAAAUUACUAACAAAAACACCAAAACUUACACAAUUUGAUUAGAAAUGAUUGCAAGGGUCCUUAACAUGUUAAUUGGGUUAAAAGGCAAUAACUACUACUCAAAAGUGUUUAAAAGAGUUAAUUACAAGCUAUCAAAUAGCACUUUUUGAGUAGUAAUCACUCAACCUGUUCAACAAGUUGAGGAUAAUGAGCAAAAUAAUAGAGAUGGUUUAUUACCACUAGAAAAUAUUGCCAUUGAAAAUGUUGUAGAGCCACCACAACCGGCACCUUUGAGGAGAUCUCAAAGAGAAAGGAGACCUGCCAUUACAGAUGAUUAUGUGGUGUAUCUACAGGAAUCUGAUUUUGAUAUUGGGAUAAGGAAGGAUCCGGUUUCGUUUUCACAAGCCAUGGAAAGUGAUGAUUCUAGUAAAUGGAUGGAAGCUAUGAAUGAAGAGUUGAAAUCUAUGGCCCAUAAUGGUGUCUGGGAUCUCAUCGAAUUGCCUAAUAAUUGUAAACCCGUCGGCUGUAAAUGGGUCUUUAAGACAAAGCGUGACGCUAAAGGCAAUAUCGAACGAUUUAAGGCUAGACUUGUGGCCAAAGGUUUCACUCAAAAGGAAGGUAUCGAUUACAAAGAUACCUUCUCUCCAGUUUCCAAGAAAGAUUCGCUUAGAAUCAUCAUGGCACUUGUAGCUCAUUUUGAUUUAGAGUUACAUCAAAUGGAUGUGAAAACUGCAUUCUUAAAUGGGAAUUUGGAUGAAGAUAUCUAUAUGGAACAACCUGAAGGGUUCGCAAAGAAAGGAAAUGAACACCUAGUUUGCAAAUUAAAGAAAUCCAUUUACGGUCUUAAACAAGCUUCCAGACAAUGGUAUAUUAAGUUCAAUAAUACCAUUACAUCUUUCGGAUUUAAAGAGAACAUUCUUGAUCAGUGUAUAUAUCUGAAAGUUAGUGGGAGCAAGUUUAUAUUUCUGAUACUGUAUGUGGAUGAUAUUUUGCUUGCCAGCAGUGAUCUUGGUUUAUUACGUGAAACCAAGGAAUAUCUCUCUAAAAACUUUCAUAUGGUUGAUAUGGGUGAGGCAAACUAUGUUAUUAGCAUUGAGAUCUUUAGGGAUCGAUCUCGAGGAGUGCUAGGUUUAUCUCAGAAAGGAUAUAUUGAUCGGGUUUUAGAGAGAUUUAAUAUGCAGUCAUGUUCNNNNNNNNNNNNNNNNNNNNNNNNNNNNNNNNNNNNNNNNNNNNNNNNNNNNNNNNNNNNNNNNNNNNNNNNNNNNNNNNNNNNNNNNNNNNNNNNNNNNNNNNNNNNNNNNNNNNNNNNNNNNNNNNNNNNNNNNNNNNNNNNNNNNNNNNNNNNNNNNNNNNNNNNNNNNNNNNNNNNNNNNNNNNNNNNNNNNNNNNNNNNNNNNNNNNNNNNNNNNNNNNNNNNNNNNNNNNNNNNNNNNNNNNNNNNNNNNNNNNNNNNNNNNNNNNNNNNNNNNNGUUACUCGGAUUCUGAUUAUGGUGGUUGUCUCGAUAGCUUAAAGUCAACUUCAGGAUUUGUCUUUAUGCUAGCAAAUGGGGCAAUCUCGUGGAAGAGUGAAAAACAAUCAAUUACUGCUUCAUCCACGAUGGAGGCCGAGUUUGUUGCUUGUUUUGAAGCUUCAAGUCAUGCUUUAUGGUUGCGGAAUUUUAUCUCAGGGCUUGGUGUUGUCGACUCUAUUGCUAAACCUUUGAGAAUAUAUUGUGAUAACACCGCAGCUGUUUUCUUCUCUAAGAAUGGCAAAUUUUCUAGUGGAUCGAAACACAUGGAUUUAAAGUAUUUAGUUGUUAAAGAAAGAGUCCAGAAACAACAAGUGUCAAUUGAAAAUAUUAGGACCACACUUAUGGUUGCUGAUCCAUUAACUAAAGGAUUACCUCCAAAGGCAUAUUUGGAACAUGUUAUGAGGAUGGGUCUUUUGAGUAAUCCAUAAUGUGUAUGAUGAUGAAUGGUGGUUAUGUAAUUGACAAUUUGCGCAUUAAAAUUGUUUCUGUUUAUUCUUGUUUUCAAUUAUGGGUGCACGUUUUAUUGUUUGAUAAACAAGAAUUGUCCUGACAAGACAAAUUACAGGGGCUAUUUGGCAUUAAGGACUGGGUUAGUAAGGGUUAUUGAUGUGUGGUGCAUGGAAGGAAACAUGACAUUAUGGUCAUGUGACCGCCAUGACUCGCAUUUAUGAUCUAAAUUGAUUCAGUAUUAUGGCAAAUGAUUUUAGAUGUAUUGGCUAAGUUUAUUGUAAUCGUGAUCACGUGUCAAAUUUAUUUUCCAGUAUAUAUUUUAUAUAUAAACUAAAUAUAUUAUAGUUUUCAUAAUCGGUUUAGUGGGCCAAGUGGGAGAAUGUUAUUUCCACAUUAAAUUAAGUGGGUGGCCCACUAACCUAUUAUUUAGCCAAUUAAAUAAUAUCCACUAUCUUUAAACUGUUAUAGAUAUUUACCAUUGAUGGACUGGGUAAAUUAUAAUAAUUUUAAUAUUAUUAUUUAAGAUAAUUAACAGUUAUUUCGAUUGACACGUUCAGAACGGUUUUUGAACGUGUAUUCUUGGCCCUCUUCUCCUAUCAAUAAAAUACAUAUACAGAAACCCCUUCAUGUGCGGUGUGUGCUUUUCCAUCAAUUACAGAAAAAUAACUCUGUGUAUUAAGGUUUGAUAAGGAGAAGAAGAAUCAAGGAUUUAAGAUCUAUAAGCUGAAGGGAAAUCUCUCAUGGCUGCGUCUUCUUCAAACGGUAUGUGAUCUAUUUGUUAAUUAAUGUUUAUUUUAUUAUUUUAUUAUCAGAGACGAGUUUGAAUCAUAAUGAUCUGGAUAAUUGCAUGUUAAUUUCCGUGUUAAAUUCUAUCAUAGUCUACUCGCACUUUUGGAGGACACAGAACCCACUUUGAGAGAAACAAACAUCUCAAGCUGCCACUUUGGAUGGACACUUGAAAUCUAAGCGCCACAUAUGAGGGGCCAUGGCUGCACAUGAAAAAUCAGGAGGUGGCACCCACUUUGAGGCAUCUCUAGCACGCACAAGAGAAGCAGUCACAUGUUCUCACCAUCCUUAGGCAUAGCCAUCAUUAAAUUGAUAACAUCAUUACCAAUUCUUUGAGGUAUGUGAUUGUCUUCUAUAUUAUUAUUAUUAUUAUUAUUAUUAUUAUUAUUAUUAUUAUUAUUAUUAUGUUAUAAGAUUUUCCAAAUUUCACUAACUUUAUUAUUUUAAGAAUUGUUGUUGCAUAGUGGUGAUGGAAUUUCAUAUAUGAAUAGUAUUAUGAUAUGUAAGGUUAAGUUUGUUUUAUUAUUAUUAUUAUUAUUAUAAGAGAUUCCAAAGUUCAUUAAUUUUAUUAUUUUAAGAAUUAUUGUUGCAUAGUGGCCAUGGAAUUUUAUGUAUGAAUAAAAUUAUGAUAUGUAUCAAGCAACGGUGUACUUAGCUCAUGAAUUGUAUUGUGUUAUUAUUCAAUGGGCCUAUUGUAUUUUAGAUUGAAAGCAAAUAUUUAUUUAUUAUUUAAAGUGUUCGUAGUUUGUGAGAAAAAUUUUACUUUAUUCCUCUACAUAUUUAUUUUAACAUGAAAAUAAAAGAAAUAAUUGUAAACAUUCAUUUUGAAAUUAAAAAAAAAAAAAAAAACAAAUAUGUCUUUUGUAAAAUCAUUAGUUGGUUGUUUGCUUCACAAUUUUGAUGAUCUCAAGUUAGGAUUUUCUUUAAAGAAAUAUUUAAAAGUUAGUUUCAAAUGAUUUUCUAAUGUUAUUUAAUUUCUUUGGAUUUCAUGUUCUUGUUAUUAAUAAUCUCUAGUUAGAAUUUGUUCAUAUGUGAAUAAUUUUUAUCUUAGUUAAUUUCUUUAAAUAAAUGAUCUCAAGAUAAAAAUUUUAUAUGUUAGUUUUGAAUAAAAAAAAUUUAUCGUAGUUAUUUUCUCUAAAUCUAGUUCUUAGUACUGAUGAUCCAUUUUAAUUUAUAUCGUUCUUUUAAUUAUUAGUUUUAAAUUUUGAUGAUCCAUGUUAGUUUAUGUUGUUCUUUGAAUUAUUUGAUGUUGUUUUAAUGAUCCUGAUGACAUUUAUUAUUUCUUCGAAUCUUAAUUGAUAAUUUGUGACAAUUCCAUGUUAUUAGUUUUGUUUUAAAUGUCAUUGAGACUAUCCCUUGAUUGAUUUGAUCUCAAUUCAUGUGCUUCUAGAAUUCUACUUGUUAGUUCUUGAUUAAUAUCUUUAUUAGUUUGUUUGAUCUAGGAGUCAUUGUUACCUUGGUGUUGUAUAUUAUUUGAACUUCCUAACUCUUAAUUUAAGUUGUAAUACAUCAUGUAGAAUAUGAGGUUUUGAUCAUAUUAAUUAUUACUGUUUGUAAGCUAACCUUCUUCUAGCUAUAUGCAAGCACAUUAUGAGUUGUGUAUGCUAUUUAGGUAUGUCUCUUGCACUUCUUACUUCAUUAAUUUUGUAAAUAUGCAAAUCUUUUUGUGAAUGUUCUAAUGCAUGAUAUUGUUUUGAUUGCUUUGAUUGUUUGAAUGGAUCAAAUGCAUGUUGUAUGCUAUGUUUGUUAAACUAACUUUGAUGUCUUCAUGAAAGCGCUUUGGAAUGCAAUUCAAGUACGCUCAUAUCCUUUUCCCAUGUGUUUGCUUUUUUUUUGGUAUGAUUGUUUUGUUAUGAAUAACAUGUUGCUUGGCCUUAGAUAAAAUCACAUUUGUUUCUUAGUAUUCUUGAUCUAUUAAUUGUCAUUCUUUCUUCAACUUAGUUAGUAGCAACCAAUUUUUAGGGUUUAGAAGGGUACUACCUUUUUAAGGUACCUUCCCGUUAGGUAACUUAAUGCCCGAAUUUAGAUUUAGGUUUUUCAAAAGUGUAAGUAGCCCUUUUUCUUUGGGUUUUAGUUUCUUUUUUUUCUUUUUUUAUAAAAUAAAAAUAAAUGAUGACUCCUUUUUUUUUAUAUAAUAAAAUAUAGUUUUUUUCACCUAAAAAACGAGUCUCGAGUAAAAAUGCACAUAAAAAAUACAGUUACACACAACUACAUCAGUUUCUUAACUUCAUCUUUGAAUAAGUUUUUCCCAUGUUUUAUCUUUAACUUACAUUCAAUCCCAUCAAUACCCUUUUGUAUCUCUGACCUAAAUGGUGGUCCAAAUUGAUGGAUUUUUUCUCUCGCCUCUAUGUGGUUACCUCUUUAUAUUCAAUCCGUCCUAGACCCAAUUAUAGUGUAAUCUUGUUUUUUUCCUGGUGUUUCAGUCUUGUAGCCACUAUAAUCAUUUUCCCUUUGCUCCUAUUUCAGUAAUUCAAAACAUUGUAAGUCACUCUAAUAUAUCCAUUGGAUAGAAGUCCCAAAACUUCCUUGAAAUCUUUAAAAACAUGUCAAACAACUGAUUUUCUUGUAACAAAAAUCUUCCUGUUUGAAAUAAGGAACUUGAGAACUUGAGCUACAUUAUGGAAAUUACCAAUCUUUAUUAAUGUUUACCAAUAUGAAAAAAUAUAUUUUAUUUUUUAUUUUAUAUAAAUAAAAAAUUAAAAAUUUUAAUCAAGGAAAAUAUUAGAAUCAAGAUCAAGUUUUAGUUUUAUAUAAAUAAAAAAAUUAAAUAUUUUAAUUAAGAAAAAAAAUUUAAAAACUAUAGUUAAGUCCAAAUCAUAAGCAAAAAGAUAAAACCAUGAUUAUUAAUUCUAUUUUCAUAUGAAAAUUUAAAAUUUUAAGCUAAUAUAAAAAAUAAAAUAAUAUGACCAAAAUACUUUUAUUUAAUCUAUAUGUGACAAGAUUUAUCAAAUAAAUAAAUAUUUAUUUAGCAUGAAUAUAAAAUCUUAAGUUUUAGUUUUAUAUAAAUAAAAAAAUUAAAUAUUUUAAUUAAGAAAAAAAAGUUAAAACUAUAGUUAAUUCCAAAUCAUAAGCAAAAAGAUAAAACCAUGAUUAUUAACUCUAUUUUCAUAUGAAAAUUUAAAAUUUUAAGCUAAUAUAAAAAAUAAAAUAAUAUGACCAAAAUACUUUUAUUUAAUCUAUAUGUGACAAGAUUUAUCAAAUAAAUAAAUAUUUAUUUAGCAUGAAUAUAAAAUCUUAUCUCAUCAUCCUCUAAAUUUGUUUAUUAUGUAUUUAUGUUUAUAUUAACUUUGUUCUCAUUAAUUAUUUAUUAUAUAUUAUUAUAUUGUAUUUAAACUUUCUAUGGAUAAUUAAAAUCAAUAAAUAUAAAAGGACAAAACAAUAAAUAAAAAAAAAAGAAAUUAAAAAGACUUCAUGAGAAAACAUGUAGCCAUCAUAUUGAAAAAAAAAAAAUGUCAAAGGUACACAACAUGGUUGGUUCAUCAUGUGUCAAACUUAAAAAGAUAAAAAAAAUGUUGACAAACAUAAUGAUGAACUCUCUUAAUUUGUCAUGUCAAAGUUAAAAGAAAAGAACUUAGGUUAGUUGGCUGGUAAUAAGAGAGGUGGAUUGGAGGGUAAUGUUAUAAUUUUAAUAAUGUUAUUAUUUGAGAGUAUGUAGAUAAAAUUAUUUUCUUCAAAGAACCUGUAUUUUGAAAGUUAAAAGUAAAAGUUCUCAAAAAAUGUAUUAUUUUGGGUAGCCUAUGAUUACAUGAUUUUCCUUUUAAUAAAAGGAUAAGUGCCUUAGUGUCCAUCACUUUAACGCACCCACAUCUAUAAACAAAUACAGUUGAUGUGGGUAUUUAAAUUGGUUUGUAACUCAUGUAUCAAGGUGUUGGAGAUUGGAAGUAAUGUAUGUUAAAAUUUGAUUGUAAGUCAUCUCAAGAUCACAACAUCAUAGAACAAUGGCCUAGAGAAACGAUAGAUUUCACCCAAUCCACUAGUUCACCCCCAUUUUGGGCUAAUACAUGAACCAUCACUACAACAAAUAUACUCUUUGGCUAGGAACCAUGUUGUAGCAAAAAGAAGAUAUUUUAUGGGAAAGAAAAAAAAAAAACCAGAUUUUAUGGCAAAAAAACUUUCAAUACAUUUUUGUUUUUUUUUUUUUGUGGCACCUUCAUGGGUAUAAGUUUGUGAGUAAUUAUUUUUAACCACUAAAAUAAAUUUUAUAACCAAAAAUUAUUUUUAAACACAAAAAAUAGUUUAUAAAAUAAUAAUUUUCUCAUACUAAAAAAUUUGUGGCAAAACAUCAUUUUUAAAUAAAUUUCAUUGCUAAACAUCACCUUUAGCCAUGAAAUAAAUUUAAUUAGUGCCAAAACAUCUCUUUUACUCUUAAAACAAACUUUAAAAAAAAUAAAAAAUCAUCAACUUCAAAAUUUCAAUUUUUUCUCACAUUUUUUCUAGACAACCAAUCAGAGCAUUACUAGAUUUAUGUUGAAAAAAAACGACAAAAGUGUAAAGGAUAUUGUAUAUCCUCAAAUUGAUGAAGAUAAAAUCUAACAAACUUAUAUUUAUCAUAUAUCAAUUAGUUGAUAGCAAGUAAAUGUUAUGAACAGCUCAGGGUUAUGGAUGACUUGAACAACUCAAGGUUUUGAGCUUAAGGCUCUAGAUGCUAUGAACAACUCAGGGUUAUGUUGAACAUGAACGACUCAAGGUCGUGAGCAAUAGGCUCUAGAUUUUAUGAACAGCUCAGGGCUGUGGAUGAUAUGAACUACUAUAGGUCAUGAGCUCAGGUCUCUAGAUGCUAUAGAUAGCUAUAGGAUGUGGAUGAUAUGAACUAUUCUGGGUCAUAAGCUAAGGGAUCUAGAUGCUAUGAACAGCUCAAGGUUGUGGAUGAUAUGAACGAUUCUGGGUCGUGAACUCAAGGCUCUAGAUGCUAUGAACAACUCAGGUCUAUGGAUGACAUGAACAACUUCAGCUCGUGAGCCCAGGGUUUGUUUUUUCUCUAUUUUCAAUUCAAAUCAUUGUUUCACAAUACCUUUUAUCACCCCCUUCUUUAUCAAACUUGAUUGAAGUAAUUAUUUUCUCUUGAAAUCACUGAUUAUACCUGCCAUCAAAGGUCAUAAUCUCGAUGGUUUUCUCUUUGGGACACUACCUCAUCCUCCCAAAAAUCAAGGAGAAUCAACAUAGAGUAUUAACCUUGAUUAAAUUGCAUGGGAACGACAAGACCUACUCUUAUGUUAGUUAUUAGCCUCUCUUUCUAAAACUAUUUUAGGCCAUGUGGUUAGCUGUCAAACCUCUCAUGCAGUUUAGACCACUUAAUCAUUGCCAAAUAUCAUGCAAUUUCAGUUUCAACUCCAAAAUACAAAUGAAGGAGUCUUUGAUAUUGAUGAUUAUCUUCUUAAAAGGAAAAAUAUGGUAAAUAAAUUAGCAAUAAUAGGAGAACCUAUGGAUGAGCAAAGACUGGUGUGAAACCAAGGUUUGGUUAAUCUCUAUUUUGAUGAUAACAAAACAAGGUUUAGAAUUAAUGAUUAUAUUUCAAGUGUGAUUAGGCAAGACAAUUUCCAAAGUGGCAAUCACAAAGACAAAUCAAGCCAAGGAGAAAUCAUGAAGAAGAAUACCAUCUCAAAGAGAAGUGUUUUUCAAGACCCAAGCUUCAUAAGAUCUCUUUGUAAGGUUAUUGGCACACUAGGAUUUUCAUGCAUUACAUUCGUUACUUAUGCACCAAAAUCAUCCAAGAGUUAUUUUGUUUUAAAUAUUUUAAAAUUGGAUGAUUUCAUGUUUUCAACUAAAACCUUGUGUCAAAUGUUUUUCAAACUUGUUUAAAAGGUUUUAAGUUGAAAAAGUUGGUUGUUAAGCCAAAAACGGCUCAACCGGUUGAACCAAAUGAGGAACCGAUCGACCGCCAACUCAAUCGGUUUAGGAGUAGGUCGACCCCCAGUUCAACCGAUCAAUGGUGUGAACAGUAACCGAUCGACCCGCCAGCUCAACCGAUCAAGGGGUGCAAAAAACUCUCUCUUUCUUCCAAAAUGGUUGUUCAACCGGAUAAGGAACCGGUCUACCCACGCCUCAACCGGUUGAGGUCCAACGGUCACCUGCUAAGCAUUAAAUACUAAUGGUUAGUCAACUGGUUGACCCCCAGCUCAACCGGUUGAAUCCCCAAUGGCUAGUUUGGUUGUUUUCUUCUAUAAAAAUGCUCCAAAUCUUCAUUGUUAAAGACCUCAACUUUCUCAAACCUUUCUUGAAUAUAUUUGAGCCUUAGAAGAGUGUUUUUUAGUGCACCAUUGUUCUAAAACUUGCAUAUCUUUAGUGUACCAUUCAAUCCUAGUUUUUUUGUAUCAUUUGAGCUUAAAUUUUUUCUAUUAGGAUUUUGUGAGAUCAAUUAUUUGUAUAUCUUUGAGAGUAAGAUUCUUAAGUAUGGGGUAUUUCUUGAGGAUUGUAAAGGGUGCUUGGAGCCAAAAGUCUAAGAGGGUGGAUUGGAACCAUAAUCUAAUUGUUUUGCUUGAAGGCUUGGUUUGGAAGCCAUAAAUUAGUGGAACCUCAAGCUUGGGAUUGAAGUUAGAGGAGAGUGGAUGUAGGUUGACUUGCGCCGAACCACUAUAAAAUCUUGUGUUUGCAUUCUCUCUUCCCUACUCUUUUACUUUAUAUGCAAUUGUCUUUAUAUUGUUUUAUUAUAUACUUGCAUAUAUUUGUCUCUUACAUCCACAUGGUUUAAAUUUGCAAAAAGAGACCAUCACUUUUUUCACCCCCCCUCCCCUCCCCUCUCCUCCCCUCUCCUCCCCUCCUCUAGGGUGGUUACCAUAGGUUGGACUAGCCUAAUUUUUCUAACAAUUGGUAUCAGAGCUAGGUCUCUUGUUUAAGACUUCACCGUCUAAGAGAUAAUGGCUAAUCCAUCAAGCUUAUCUCACAAUGAAACCCGACCUUCAUUUUUCACGGGAACCGAUUAUCCCUAUUGGAAAACUAAAGUGACUUGGUUUCUGCAAUCUACUAAUCUUGAUUUAUGGGAUGUCAUUAAAGAUGGUCUCCACAUUCCUUCAAAAUUAGAAAAUGGAGUGAUGGCUCUAAAACCUAAGCAAGAAUGAGAUGAACUUGAUAAAAAGAAAGUUCAAUUAAAUGCCAAAGUCGUUUAUAUCUUACAUUGUGCUAUUGAUAGAAGUGAAUUGAGUCGUGUUUGGCAAUGUAAGUCGCCUAAAGAAAUUUGGAGACUAUUAGAAAUCACUCAUGAGGGAACCAACCAAGUUAAGGAGUCUAGAAUCAACAUUCUUGGGCAUGAUUAUGAAUUAUUUUCUAUAAAGGAUUUUGAAUAUGUUGUAGAGAUGUUUUCUAGGUUCAUGGUGAUUGUGAAUGAACUUAAAGCCUUGGGAAAGACCUACACCGAAGUAGAGAAAGUCAUGAAAAUCUUAAGGUCUCUACCAAAGAAAUAGGAAACAAAAGUGACGACUAUUCAUGAAGCAAAGGAUCUCACCAAACUCUCACUUGAAGAACUCAUUAGAUCACUCAUGACUUAUGAGAUAAAUUUGAACAAUCAUCAAAGAGUUGAAGAAAAUAAGAAAAUUAUAGUUUUUAUGGCUUCAAGAAAUGAUGAUGAAAAGGAAGAAAGUGAAAGUGAAAGUGAUGAAGACUCCACGGAAGAAGAAUGCACAAAUGAGGAUGGCAACAUGUGCUUCAUGGCCUUGGAGGAACAUGAAGAAGAGGUAAAUUCCAACUCUAAUUAUAAUGAGUUUCAAGAUGUACUUCAAGAAAUAUAUUUUGAUAUUGAAAAACUUAGGUCCAAAAAUGUCUCUCUCAAGAAAAAGAUUUCUUGUCUUCAAAAUGAGUUCCAUGAGCUUAAGGAAAAAAAUUGCAAAUAUUGAGAAGACAAAAAUCUCUUUUGAAAAAUAAAAAUGAGAAGUUGAAAAAGAAAAAUGAAUGGCAAGUCAAAAGUGCAUUUUUGAUAAAAAAAAAUAAAAAAUAAAAAUAAAAAAGGGCUAGGCUACAAGCUUUUCAAAAAUAAAAAAUAUUUUAAGAAUUAUUUUGUAAAGGAAGCCUCUAGCUUUUCACCUUCAAUUAUUUGCAAUCUUUGUGUUUUUGUCCCUUAAUAAAAUCUCCUCAUGUUUUUCAAAACUCUAAAUUAUUUUGGAUUCCAAAUGGAAGAAAGUCUAACCCUCUAGGACCCAAAAAGAUAUGGGUACCAAAAGUUACUAAAUUUAUUUUGUAGGAAUCCAUGCAAAAAGGAGGAUAUGCUUACCUUGGAAAGAAUGCAUUGAUAAUAUUUGUAAUGGUAUCCCUUCUAAAGCUUAAUUUUCAAUAGCAUUUUAUCAUUUUGCUAACACUUGGUAUAAUUUUUGUUAAUAAUAUAACAUUUGGUAUCACAUGCUUGAAUUAUCAUAUUUGUUAAACCAAGGUUUGGAUUAAAAAGAAGAUUUUUUAAUAUACACCUAGGUAAAAUUGAAUGAUCAUAUGCUUGUAUGCUCUAAUAGUGUUAUUCAAUGCAUGAAUAUAUAUCUUUUUAAUGUAUAUGUUCUCCCAUAUAUUUUUUUUCCAAAUCAUGGUUUAAAUUGGGAAUGCUCUAAGGUUGAGCAUCGUUUAUUUGGAAAAUGUUCUCAAAUGAAAAAGGGGGAGAUUCAUUUUUAUGAGAAAUCAUAUCAUGCUUAUUGUUUAUUUUUUAAACUUUUGAUAACAUGUAAUUCCUCUUAUAUACUUUAUUGAGACUUUUUAUUGAUGACAAAAAGGGGGAGAAGUAAUGAGGUUGCUAACUUGGGAAGAAAUGUAAAUAUUGUUUUAGCAAUCUUAUUCAUAUUGAUGCUAUGUGCUUUAUUGGUUAUAAUUGCAUGCAUCAUAUUUAAUAAUAAUGUCUUGCCAAUUGCUAAAUUGCUCUUUAUGUUAUUUAUGUUUGAUUAUAUCAUUUUGAGCACCCUUAAUAUACUCCUUAAAGUUCUAAACUUGAAUAUUUUCUAAAUUCAAAGGAGCAUAUAUUGAGGGGGAGCUUUUUAGCAACUUUGGUUUUGUCAUUAUAAAAAAUGGAGAGAUUGUGAAACCAAGGUUUGGUUAAUCUCGGUUUUGAUGAUAACAAAACAAGGUUUCAAACUAAUGAUUAUAUUUCAAGUGUGAUUAGGCAAGAUGAUUUUCAAAGUGACAAUCAUAAAGACAAAUCAAGCCAAAGAGAAAUCAUGAAGAAGAAGACCACCUCAAAGAGAAGUGUUUUUCAAGACCUAAACUUCAUUAGAUUUCUUUGUAAGGUUAGUGGUGCACUAGGAUUUUCAUGCAUUAUAUUCUUUACUUAUGCACCAAAAUCAUCCAAGAGUUAUUUUGUUUUAAAUAUUUUAAAAUUGGAUGAUUUCAUGUUUUCAACUAAAACCUUGUGUCAAAUGUUUUUCGAACUUGUUUAAAAGGUUUUAAGUUAAAAAAGUUGGUUGUUGAGCCAAAAAUGACUCAAUCGAUUGAACCGAAUGAGGAACCAGUCUACUGUCAACUCAAUCGAUCGACCUCCAGUUCAACUAGUUAAAGGUGUGAACAGUAAUCAGUCGAUCGCCAGCUCAACCGGUCGAGCGGUGCAAAAAAUCUUCUCUUUUUUCCAGAAUGGUUGUUCAACCGGAUGAGGAACUGGUCAACCCACACCUCAAUCAGUCAAGGUCCAAUCGAGGUCCAACGAUCACCUACCAAACAUUUAUUGCUAAUGGUUAGUCAAUCGGUCGACCCCUAGCUCGACAGGUCGAACCCCCAACAGCUAGUUUGGUCAUUUUCUUAUAUAAAAAGGCUUCAAAUCUUCAUUGUUGAAGACCUCAACCUUUCCAAACCUUUCUUGAAUAUAUUUGAGCCUUGGAAGAGUGCUUUUGAGUGCACCAUUGUUCUAAAACUUGCAUAUCUUUAGUGCACCAUUCAAUCCUAGUUUUCUUGUAUCAUUUGAGCUUAAAGUUUUUGUACUAGGAUUUUGUGAGAUCAAUUAUUUAUAUAUCUUUGAGAGUAAGAUUCUUAAGUGUGGGGUAUCACUUGAGAGGUUGUUCAAGAGUGGGGUAUCUCUUGAGGAUUAUAAAGGGUGCUUGGAGCCAAAAGUCUAAGAGGGUGGAUUGGAACCAUAAUUCAAUUGUAUUACUUGAAGGUUUGGUUUGGAAGCCUUGAAUUAGUAGAACCUCAAGCUUGGGAUUGAAGCUAGAGGAAAGUGGAUGUAGGCCGGGUUGUGUCGAACCACUAUAAAAUCUUGUGUUUGCAUUCUCUUUUCCCUACUUUUUUACUUUAUAUGUAAUUGUCUUUAUAUUGUUUUAUUAUAUACUUGCAUAUAUUUGUCUCUUACAUUCAUAUAGUUUAAAUUUGCAAAAAGAGAUCAUCACCCUUUUCACCCCCCCCCCCCCCCNNNNNNNNNNNNNNNNNNNNNNNNNNNNNNNNNNNNNNNNNNNNNNNNNNNNNNNNNNNNNNNNNNNNNNNNNNNNNNNNNNNNNNNNNNNNNNNNNNNNACCGGUACUUCACAUCUUAGGUGGAAAUAGAGUUGAAUACAAUCCUUUUGUGGCAUGGUGCUUACCCAACUAGCAUCAAUAUCUCUAUAUGAAUUAUCUAAUUUACUUACCAGCUUUGACAUCCAUUCAGAGCAGCAAAAUGCAUCAACAACAUUAGAUAUUAACCGCUUUUCUGCCAACCUAGUUGCAACAUCUCCAAAGCACAUGCAAAUAUCAGCACCUAAAUAUAUGACAAUCAGCAAGGUCAUAUCCUAUUUAAUGUUAGAGAAAGGGGAAGUGGUGGUAGUGGAGGUAACAAAAUGGGUCGUGGCAAUCAUCCACGAUGCCAAGUUUAUGGAAAGCUAAGUCAUCUUGCAAUCUCAUGCUACUACCGAUUGGAUUGUAAUUUUCAACCCCUAAAUAAUCAACACCACCAAAUGCAAGCUAUGACUACCACGCCUCAAACAAUAACUGACCCGUCUUGGUAUGUCAAUUAUGGAGUAACUCAUCACCUCAACUCCAACAUUAAUAACCUUAAUGCCAAAAAUCCAUGUAAUGGUGAAGACAAAAUAACAAUUCCCAAAGGCACAAAUUUAGUCAUAAAACACACUAGUUGUAACAUCCCAAAUUUCUAGAUGGGCAAUUUUCAGUUUUGAAAAAAAUAAUAAUAAUGACAUAAAUAAAAUAACUAAAAAUCUAAUUGAAUUAAAAAUAAUUAGGAAAUUUAAAUAACUUAAAAAAUUAGAGGUAAAUAAUCUCAUCUUAUAUUUUUCCUUUUUCACUUUUUCUUUGGGUAAGUGUUGUUAGAAAUUAGUUUUUGUAUGUGUAAAUUUUUUUUUAUAUAUUUUAAACCAUUUUUUUCUUACUUCUUAGAUUGUUUGGCUACCAAGAAAGUGAAGGAAAAUAUUUUAAUUUAAUUUUGAUUGACAUAUAAAUUGUUGGAAGUGAAUGAGAAUGAUAUCCUAUGAUGUUGAUACACAAAAGGAAUUUGGUGAUACCUUUCAACCCACAAUGGGUGAAGCCAAUUUGUUCAACAUUGGAAGGACCCAAAUCAAGUUCAAACAAUCUAAUAUAAUAAAUUGAGUUGGGAGGAAAUUUCAUGAGAAAAAAAAAAUCCUAACAAUGAGGAAUACAAUACUUUUUCUUUUUUUUUUUUAAUAUUCUAACCCAUUGGUGAUUUUUGAAUUUUUGUAAAUUUUUGGUAAAGUAUUAAAAUCCAAUUAAUUUUUUCAAACAAUAUACUUGAUAAUGAGUCUAAAAAUUCAAGUAUUGUUACAUUUGAACCACGUUUGUCUCAUGAGAAAAUUUCGAAUAUAUUGAAAAUUUCAAGGGAGAGGUUCACAGGAAUAGUUUGGACUUAUUAUAUUUCUCAAUUUUUUUGGGAUUAGUCUUAAAGAAAAUUAUAGUCUAAAUUAUUUUUAUAUAAUAUUAUACUCUCUAAGGAAUCUAACCUAUAAAUUUCAUCUCAUUUGGAAAUUGAUAGCUUAUUAUAAAAAUUCUAAGGAAAUGGGUAAGAAAAUAAAGUGGUUCAACUAAGACAGUUUUGACGCACUUAGGUUUCUUAAAGUUCUAGGAUAUUUUGGCUAAUUAUCAUCAUUCUUAAUUAUUUUUAUAUAUUAUUAAAAUAAAAAAUGAAACUAUAGAGUCUAAUUGCAUUCAAUUCUAAAUUUGUUUUGCAUAGAAAAAUAACUAAGAAAAUAUUUAAUAGAUUUUCAACAAGGUAUGCUAGGACAAUUUUUAUGUUUGAGACUUUUGGUACUAUUAAAAUUUGUGUAAGGCUUAUAAAUUAUUUAAAAAAUAUUCUAGACUCAUCAUGCAUUAUAUUUGGAUAGUUUCACAAUUAUUGGGAACUUGUUUGUUUAGUAAGAAAAAUCAAGAAAAUAAGUAGUAUUGCAACAUAUAUUGUUUUGGAUAAAUCUAGAACUAAAUUAGGUUGAGGCUUAAUUGAUGGUCUUUUGAUAACCAUUUGACUUAAAAAUUAAUUUCUAAGGUUCCUAGACUCAUAUAUAUAUAUAUAUAUAUUUGGCUCAAGUUUCACUUGAAUUGGACUUCAUUUACCUAACCUUUCAUUUUUAAGAAAAUUACAUAUUUUAGGGAGAGUGUUAUCAAAUUAAGAAAAAAAAUAGGAGAACCUUAGAAUCAUAGUUCCCUUUUUAUCGAAUUUCCAAUUCUCUAAGUCCACUUAAAAUUUGUUUGAGGAGAAUUCAGACUUUGUGGAGUCAUCAUACUACAAGUAGACUCUAGUGUUGAUUGCGAGAAUUUUUGUGAGUAGUUACGAUAUGCAUGCUUUUGUUAAGCUUUUUCUAAAAUAAACAUCUCUUGCCUAUGUAUUAUCUAUCACUUGUUUCAUUUUUUUCUAAAGGCAUGAAAUAUAUAUUGAAAUUCUUAUUUGAUCAAAAUGCACAUGAUUUAUGUUGAGUUGCAAAAAUAAAUGUCACUAUACUUUGAAGAAAUUAUUUAUUUCCAUGAAUAUAUUUACAACCAAUGACAUAUUGCAUACCUUGUUGUGGAUAUAAUAAAUUGUUAGACUUUUGGAUAUUAAUAUCUUACGGGCAUGAUAAUAUGUAUACUCGUGAGGUGUUUCAUGCAAUUUUGUUCUAAGACUCCAUAUUCUCUUAUGUAGCAAGGGGAAGGCCUUAAUACGAGAUUGUGAGUCUAAUGCUAAGCUAGGGGAUAGAUCUCGAAGUGACAAAGUAUGCUCUGUUGUGCCCCUAAUGAGAUGACUAAGAGAUGAACAUUUUGGUAUUGUGAUCCAUAGUAACGAGUCACUAAAAAAUUGUGUAGAUGUGGGGAUUCAUGGAUAGUAGGCUUUUGUAUAGUCGAUUGAUUGACCAAAGAUAUGUUCAGACCUAUGAUUGCAUAUUUUACAUUUCAUAUAUUUUUUAAAUACCAUUACGAUUAUUCUAUAAUAGUUUCUAAUUACCAAAGUUAUUAUAGAUAUAUUUUAUAAUUGUAUUUUUAUGUGGACUAACUAUCCUAACACUUAUGUAUCAUAACUAUUCAUUGGACCUUGUGUUCACCCCAUAGAAUUAUUAUUAUUAUUUUUUCAAAUAAGGGCUCAUGUAUUCCUAUUAAGGAGAUAAAAUCGACUUUAAAGGGCAUCUAGCUUUAAUUCUUUUCUUGUUAAACUUAUUGGGCAUCUAGUCUAUUUCAUUAUAUAUUUUAGUUCAAUUUAGUUAUUCUCAGCCAUGUGGCUAAUCUUGUAAACCUUGCUCUCGCUAUUUUUGUAUCUAAUUGUUGUUUAUUUAAUAUUAUCUAGUUAUAUGUUAAUCUUUCAAGACUACAUUUAUUUCUUAGGAUGGUGAUUACACUUUAAAUUUGUAGUUGGAGUGGGCUCACUAUCUUCAAACAGGUCGCUAUUAGAGCAAGUCAUUCUAGUCAAUUUCUUACUUCAAAUAAAUCCAAACAUAUUUACUCUCAAAAACAUUUUGCAUGUUCCUAAAAUUACAAAGGUUCUUUCUAAGCAUUGCAAAAUUCACAUUUGACUACAAUUUUUUUUCAAAAAGAAAAAUUUAUUGUAAUUUUUUUUCUUAUCCAGGAUUAGGUUUCGUAGAAGAUUUUGCUCUAUAGCCUCCUUGACCAUGGUCUUUACAAAUUUCAUCUUUCAACUUCUUAUACUAAACAAUCAAAACUUAUGUUAAAUAUUUUCUAUUUGUUCAAUCUAGCUAGUACAGUAUUACAACCAACUUGUUUUUCUACUUUCAAUAAGCUAAUUUCCUUGACUACUUCACCUUCUUAGGUUAUUUAACAUGCUAGAUUAGGUCAUCAUUCCCUUAGGAUUUUAUCUCAAGUUCUGUCCCAUUGUAAUUUGCUUUUCAGGUUAUUACAAAUAUUGAAUGUUGUGCUUCAUAUCAAUUUAGGAGACAUAAAUGUCAUUUUUUUCAAGUUUGUUGUUCAAAAAACAACCAAACCGACUACUUUAGCUUAUUCACAUUGACAUUUAAGGGUUUCCCCUAUGAUUUCCACAAAAGGCUUUUGAGACUACAUUCAUUUUAUUGAUGAUUUUUUAGGCUACACAUGGAUAUAUCCUUCAUAAAUAAAUUUGAAGCUAUCAUCUUUCAUAAAAUUUAAACUUCUUAUUGAAAAUCAAUUAAACACAAAAAUAAAAUCUUUACAAAUUGAUGAGGGUUAAGAAUUUUCAUCUACAAUCUUCCAAUUUUUUUUAAAUCCCAUAAAUACACCACCAAUUUUCUUAUCCACACACAUCAACAAAACGAUAAAGCAAAAUGCAAACAUCAUCACAUUGUCAAAAUAAGUCUUACUUGCCUUGCUCACACAUCUUUACCUCUGAAAUUCUAGGAUUUUGCCUUUGUCUUCUCUAUUUACACCAUUAAUCAUUUUUUAACCCCAAUUCCUCAAAACAAAUCACCUUUGAAGAAAUUAUUCCAUCAUAAACCCGACUACUUUUUUCACAUAUUUGGUUGUGUGUGUUAUCCAUUUGCUCAUCCUCUCAAUAGAUAAAUAUUUCAAUUUCACUCCUUAAAGGGGAUCUUUCUUGGCUGAAGCGCAUAUCAUAAAGGCUAUUUUAAUGCCAUGCUAUUUUUAAUAAAAGCAAUUUCCUGUUUUCCUUUGAUUUUUUCAAGCCUUCUAAUUUAUUUUCUAGUUGAACAAACCUGCCAUCUCAAACCUUGCAAAUGUUUCUCCCCUUAAUAUCACAAGUCUCAUCCCCCUCUUUGCCACACCCCACAAUUCCAUAUUCUCAUAUCACAUUCCAAUUUCUAUCACACCUUAACUUUACCACAUAAUCCAUCUCAUGCCUAAACACCAUCAUAAGACCACAUCUUAAGCAGCAUGUCCCCCUUAGAAACUCCCUCAUUGGAAUACAUGAUACCCACCAAUACUAUCCCAUGCAAACUUGUUCCAAAAUUGGCAUUAUUAAAUCCAAAUCCUUGCUUUCUCUGCUUCCUUCUUUACCCUUUCAUUCCAUCCCUUUUGAACUUCAUAGCUUUGUUGAAGUUUUUAAGUUCUUGAAAUGGCAUUAGGCUAGCUAUGUGUGCUGAAUUUGCUACUCUCAUGCAUAAUUUAACUUGAUUUCUCGUUCCACCACCUUUUAUUGCCAAUGUUGUCAACUACAAAUGGGCUUAUCGCAUAAAAUAGACAUGUAAUGGCAUUGUGAUAGAUUCAAAGUUCAGUUAAUUGUGAAAGAUUUUCAUUCUACAUAUGUAUUACAAUGAAAUAUUCAACCCAGUGGUCAAACCAACCACCAUCUGAAUUGUUCUAUCAUUCACAUUCUCAUACAAUUGGCACAUCUACCAAUUAGAUGUGCAUAAUGCCUUCUUGAAUGGACUUCUUAUGGAAGACAGAUAUAUGGCUCAACCCUUUGGUGUAUUCUUUCAAAUUAUGUUUGCAGAUUAAAAAAGACAUCAUAUGGUCUCAACCACUUGUUGAACUCUUCCAAAUUACGUUUGCAGAUUAAAGAAGACAUUAUAUGGUCUCAACUUAGGCUUGAUUCCAACGUUUGCAAAACAUUUUUGUCAAAUGGAGUUUUCAAUCUUCUAUUGUUGAUUCUUCCAUAUUUCUUUUUUAGAACAAGAACCAUACUAUGAUUUUACUUGUUUAUGUUGAUGACAUCCUCCUCAUAGAUGAUAGCAUGUUUCUCAUUCAAUCCUUAAUUUCAUAUCUAAACAAGAAUUUUGCCUUGAAAAGAUUUGGGAGAUCUUCAUUAUUUUUUGGAACUGGAAACCUCUUGCCUUAAUAAUGUUCUCUAUCUCACUCAAUCAAAGUAUACCCAUGAAUUGUUGGUUUGAACAAAAAUGAAUAGUGCUAAGCCACAAUUAAGCCCAAUUAUCAUCGGUAAACAACUUUCUCUUCACAAUGUUAGGCAAGAUAAGAUCGUGAUGGGCAAUGGAACAGAUUUGAACAUUAAGCAUAUUGGAGAAUCAUAUUUUUAGUCACAAUUUGCUUCGAAAUUGAUCUAUUUAAAUCAUCUUCUUCAUGUUCUUUCUAUUACCAAAAAUUUGUUCAAUGUCUCUAAAUUUGCCAAUGUUGUGCAUUUUGAGUUCUUUCCUAACUUUUAUUAUGUCAAAGAUUAGGCUUCCAAGGAAAUUCUCAUGGCAAGGAGAGUUAAGAAUGGACUUCAUGUAUUUGAUGACUUCACACUUCUACCUUCAUCAAAGCCAUUAUCAGUUCCAUCUUCCAUAGCCUCUUAUGAAUCAUCCACCUUUUCAUUUCAUAAUCAUGCUUCUAGUCUCUUUCAAUAUAAUCAAAAAAUUCUCUUGGUUCUUUGAAUAAUUUAGAUCUAUGGCAUCACAUACUUGGACAUGCAUCCCUUAAAAUUGUAAAGUUUGCUCUGUCUAACUGCAAUAUUUUCAUUCCUAAUAAAAUGCAAUUUUUCUUUUUGCUCAGCUUGUUGUUAUGGAAAAAUUCACAAACUUCUUUUUUCUUCUUAUAACACUGUUUACACUGAACCCCUUCAACUUAUACACUCUGAUUUAUGGGGUUCCUCUCCACUUCAAUUCUCUAGUGGUUGUUGCUACUACAUUCACUUUGUUGAUGCUUACUCAAGAUUUGCUUGGAUCUAUAUGCUUAGACAUAAAUCAGAUGCAUUUCAAGCCUUUCUUAAUUUUAAAACUCAAAUUCAAUUACAACUAGGUUUUAAAAUCAAGGCCAUACAAAUAGAUUAGGGUGGAGAAUAUAGAGCUUUCACAAAUUUUUUAACUUCAAAUGGCAUUCAUCAUAGAUAUUAUUGUUCUUAUACUCAUGAACAAUAUGGCUUGGCUAAAAAGAGGCAUAAAACCAUUGUAGAACAUGGUCUCACCUUGUUAGCAUUUACUUCAAUGCUAAUAAAAUAUUGGGAUGAAGCCUUUAAUUUAGAGCUUUUGUUUAUCUCAACAAUAGAUUGCCAACUUUUUUUCUUUAUCAUAGAACUCCUCUAAAGUUUUGUUCAAAACCCUACCGAAUUAUUCUUUCUUAAAAAUAUUCGGUUGCUCUUGUUUUCCUAAUAUUCGUUCAUAUAACAAAAACAAACUUUAAUUCUAGACCACUGAAUGUAGUUUUCUGGGUUAUAGUCUUAAUCAUAUAGGCUACAAAUGUCUUGAUUCUGAUGGAAAAAUUAUUAUUUCUCGAGAUGUCAUUUUCAAUGAAUCUUCAUUUCCUUUUGCUCAUAAAAUUCAAUCAUCCUCCUCAUCUAAUUUUGUUUCACCCUCUUUUCAUACUCGAACUACUUCCUCAAUAAUUCCUUCCUUUGGUAGCUUUACUCAUCCGAAAAUUGCUCAAUAUGUUAUUAAUGUUUUAGCACCUAUUGUCUAUCCUCUUGCUACUAAUACUUAUGAUAGUGUUGUUGGUCAUGGCUUUUUUCAUAGAACCAAAUAUAAGAAGAUUUAGCCUAUUCCAAUGCAACUUUACAAAAAUACUCUUUCUAUGGCCACUCGAUCUAAAGUUGGGAUUUUUAAACUAAAGGUUUUUGCUGCCACAUGUGAACCUACUUGUGUUGAGGAAGCUUUACGUAUACAUCACUGGAAAGAAACAAUGGUUAUUGAAUUUAUGUCUCUUUUGAAGAAUAAUACAUGGUCCUUAGUCCAUUACCACCUAGAAGAACACCUAUUAGCUACAAAUGGGUAUUUAAAGUGAAAGAAAACCCUGGUGGCUCAAUUUAGAAGUACAAAGAUAGGUUAGUGGAAAAAAGGUUUCAUCAAGUUGCUAGUUUUGAUUUCACCGAAACUUUCAAUCCAAUUGUUAAACCUCCAACUGUUCGAGUUAUACUUACUAUAGUAUUGUUUAGAGGUUGCUUAAUCCAUCAAUUAUAUGUUAAUAAUGUUUUUUUGAAUGGAGUAUUGCAUGAGGAAGUUUUCAUGGAACAACCUUUUGGAUUUAUUCAGCACAACUAGUCUCAUCUUGUUUGCAAAUUACAUAAAGUUUUAUAUGGCUUAAAACAAGCACCAAGGGCCUAGUUUGAAAAGUUAAGGCAUAACCCCAUAUCCCUUUGGAUUUAUCUCUACAAAGUCAUAUCAGUCUUUGUGCAUUCAUAUGACAAAAAGUCAUUCUACCUAUAUUCUUGUGUAUGUAGAUGACAUUCUUAUCACUAGUAGUAGUGACCAAGUUGUGAUGCAUCUCAUUACCAAUUUAAAUAGAGAGUUUGCCUUAAAAGAUCUUGAAGAAGUGAACUAUUUUUGAAGGAUUGAAGUGAAGCAUACUACUGAAGGCAUUCACCCCUCUCAACGAAAAUACUUAAUUGAUCUAUUACGCAAAACCAAAAUGGAAAGUGUCAAUCCUAUUUCUACUCCUAUGACCAAUGGGCAAAAACUUUCAGGCUAUGGAAGUGAAUUAGUUCAGGAUGUGAAGUUGUACACGUCAACUAUAGGAGCUUUGUAAUAUGUAAUAGUUACUAGGCCUGAAAUUGCCUAUAGUGUCAAUAAAGUUUGCCAAUAUAUGCAAGCUCCAUUAGAAUCUCGUUGGAAAGUAGUCAAAAGAAUUCUUAGAUAUUUGAAAGGAACUCUUCAUCAUGAAUUACAUUUAAGAAAGUCUUCUACUCUUAAUCUUGUAGCAUUUCAUGGUGCUAAUUGGGCCUUUGAUCCUGAUGACCAAAGAUCAACUUGAGGAUUUUGUGUAUAUUUUGGUUCAAACUUAGUCACUUGGCAAUCAAAGAAACAAUAUACUUUAUCUAGAUCAUGUAUAGAAGCAGAAUACAAAAGCCUAGCUAGUUUGGUUGCGUAAAUCACUUGGUUACAAUCUCUUCUCUCAAAAAUUAAAAUCACUUUGCCUACACCACCAAUUAUUUGGUGUGAUAAUCUUAGCACUCUUAUGUUGGCUACUAAUUCAAUAUUACGUACUUUGACAAAACACAUUGAAUUGGAUUUAUAUUUUGUGGGAAAAGGUUUUGCAAAAAGGUUUUAGUCCAACAUGUGCCUUCCAUUGAUCAAGUAGUAGAUUUCUUGACAAAAGCUGUCUUAAGCACUCAAUCUGUAAAUCUAAGAAACAAACUCAAAGUGCAAAAUAUUUUUACCUUAAGAUUGAGGGGGAAUAUUAAGAGAUAGUUUCAUAUGAUUACAAGAUGUACACAUGUUAUAUGCUCAUUGGUUUUCUUCUAUUAUUGUUAGAGAAUUUGUUAAUUAGGUUUGCUAUAUAUAUUCAGAAUAAACAGAGAAAGAAAAAUAAAAACAGAAAAGGUCAAAAAGAUUUCUCUCACUUUACUUUCUUUAUUUCUUUUACUUUGCUUUUUAUCUUUGUUACUUUCUUUAUAAGGAUGCGGUGCCCAUUAAUUUAUAGGUACAUCUUGUAGAAAAGUAUCAUGGAAUGAGUAGGCCUUAUCUGUCAUUGAAUGACUGUAGAAGUGGAAUUGUCAAAAAGCUAAGCGACCCAUUCAGAUUGGACAAGAUGCUACUGUCCCAAUAAGAUUUACAAGAAUCAAAAUUCCAUUUUGAAUUUUGUUUUUUUUUUUGCUCUUUAUUUGAUUGAAAUGGACAAAAUAAGCCUUAAAUCACCCAAACUGACUAGCCUUAGGAUAUGUUUAUUUUGUAAAUAUUUAAAUUAGCUAGGAAACAAGUAUGUCAUACGUAUAACUCGAAAUAUUUUUUAUUUUCUUAAAUAUGUAUCCUAAGAGAAAUUUCUUGUCUAUUUUAGCUCUUAGAGUUUCAAUCCCAUUCAAAGAUACUGAACAAAAAAGGAAAAAAUAAAUUAUCUUAUUAGGUUGGUUUUCAUAAGUGAAACUAAAUUUUAUAAAUAUGUAUAUAUAUAUUUUUCAUCUACAAGAAUCCUCACCCAAUUCCCAAGCUAAUCAAGGAUGAAAAAUAAUGAAAAAUUCGAGCUCUUGAUGCUAACAAAAUAUUGAAUUGGAAGUUCAUAUUAGUUCAAUUGAAGUGAUCCAUUUCUAAAAAUAUAUUUUUAUUCCUUUUUUAAAUUAAAAGUGUGUUUAACAAUAUUUUCGGGUCUUUAACUUUUUUUUUUUUUAAGUAUUUUUAAGAGAAUCAUCCAUAAAAAAAAAAAUACUAUAAGUAAUUUUUCAGAUUUUUAAAAGUAUUUCCCAAAUUUUGCAAUACACCUUUUUUUUUAUUUUUUAUUUUUAUCAAAAUAACUUUUUAAGCUAAAAGUUAUUCCCAAAAUCACUAUCAAACAUAUACUAAACAUCCUGAUUUUGUCUUUAGAUUUUGAUUUAUCAUUUCUUCCUCCUCCACAUUUAAAAUAUAAGUAGAACCCAAAGAAAAUUAGAAGGUAGAAUUCUGAGUCUCCAAAUGAGAAAGUUAAUUCCAACUUCCCCGCUUUGCUGAAAGUUUUGUGAUUACUUGUCCGGUAGAAAGUUUAAGAAGGUAGAAUUGAUGACUUCAGUUCACAUGCAUGGAAGUCUUCAUGAUUGAGAAAUAACGUGCAGGAGAGAGAUAUGAAGGGCAGGGCCGGCAUUUGUAUCGUAGCGGGAAGACUCAUUCUCUUGACUCUUGGGUCAAUGCCGGGGGAACAUCAUCAAAGAAAGGGGCCAUGCCACCACAUGUUGCAGAAAGUGGGUUACAAUUAUCAAGAAUUUUCUUCUUCUGUCUAUCGUUUUCCCGGCCAUCACGCACCGAUCAUGUGCAUGUAGUCAGUGCAUUCUUCUCUCAAGUCCUUUUGGAUCAUUUCUCUAUUUCUAUUAAGAUUUAAAUUUGGUCCGAUUCACAAUCCACAUAGAAAGAAACACCACCUAGUUUUACCAUAAAUUUGGCAUGAAUUACAGCCAUCAUUCUCGUCUUUUCUUAAGUGCUUAUAUGAAAGGGAUAAGUGAAACCAUUUAUUACUUUUCUAAGUGAAUAAGAGUGCAUCUGACCGUAAUUAUGAGAAGUGGUUUUCAGUCUUUCUUAUACUUAAACAAUAAAAAUUUUCAAAUAUUAAAAAAACUAAACACUUUCCAAAAUUAUUGUCUAACGCAUUCUAAGAUUCUAUCAAAUUUAGUUUUUGUUUUUGUUUGUUUUUUAUUAUUAUUUUUUUCCAUUUAGUAAAAUAAUUAUCAAUGCCGAAGUGUAUGGGUUUCAACACAUGGUAUUAGGAUUAGAAGAUCAUGCAAGAAAUUUAUAAUUUUCUUAAUGAAACCAUAGCUACAAAUUAUAAUUUAAUCAAACUAUAACUCUUGACAUUCAUAGGUAAGAAUUCUUGCAAUUGGCGCAUUCAUAUACAAGUCUUUUUUAGAUUCCACGUUUUAUGGAAUCUAGUGAAUAAUGACCGAAAGAAAGUAACUAUUAGAAGGAAUUUGAAAUCAAAGAAAUAGAAAAUUUUAUUAUAGGAUUUUUGAAGGGAAGUUUAGAAAAUGUUUAUACAAUAUUAUUUCAAGUAGUAGAUUAAUCCAUAAUUUAGAAGCAAAAAUAACAAGGCAUAAGAUAUUCUAAAAAAAGUUACACAUAUUUGAUGAUUGUGUCAAGUUAGUGAAAUUGCAACUAUUAAAAGGUGAUCGAAGUCGAAUCUUCAUGACUAACCAUGAAUCAAUAUCAUAUUAUUUUGAUCUAAUAUAGACCAUUGUGAAUUAAAUAUGGGUUAAUGUCGAUAAGUUCAAUGAUGGUAUCAAUUAUAUUGUGCCUUAAAUGGCCUUGUUAUGCUCUUAUUUACGAUUUCAAUUGUUUCUAUAGGGACUAUGACAUGGAUUUUUAUGGUGUGACUAUUUCCUGGUUAAUUUGUGGUUGGUCCAUUAUGUUGAUGUUCUUUGUCUGUCCUUUGGGUUGUAUGCUUUAAUAGUGGUUGCCCUCCUAUUUUAGGGCCGGCUUAUAUCUUGGCAUGAUGAUAGUGGUGGUCUCAUCACAUUUUUUGCAUGGUAGCAUGGUGGGCCCUUUAAUGGUGUUGUGGCAACUGCUGAUUGGUUGUAGCAUGUCGCUCUUGCUUUGCCACCAUGUGGCGGCGGAUCUAUGUGUCCUAUGUGAUUUAUGGUUCCAAUUUAUGCCCAUGAUCGAUAAUAAGAUAUCUUAUAGUAUAUAGGCUGAUAACCUAGAAAGGAUUAAGAUGAAGAAAAGGACACGCUUUGAAAAAGGUACACAUUUAUUAGACUUGGAAAUCAAGGAUGUCUCAUGACAAAAGGAAAAUAAAGCAACACACCAUAUUGUUCUGACCAAUAAUACUGAUCAGUUUAUUAUACAUCACCAUGCUCUAACAGUACCCAUACUUGGUUAGAAGUAGUUCCAUGAUGUUUAAUAAGGACGUUGUCCGAUAUAGUUGCCCCGUGGAUCGUAGUUGCAUGUGACGAACCACCCUCCAUUGUUGCAUUGAACCCUAGCGCACCCAAGACGCACUGAUUUGCUCCAAACAACUUGAGUAUAGUGCCCACAUUGCCCACCAACACAUGAGUUGGAGUUGUAGUCAUAAUUAGACUUCUCCCCCACCCACAAGUUCACCGCAUCGGUGCCUGUCAAUGAAGGGCUGCCCCAGGCAAGGUUCUCACCGUAAGGCCCACCUGAAUGCACUAGAUUGCAAUCGCCAAUCCUCUGGUUAGCAUAAUUCUGGGCGUAGGCAGCCACAGUGUUGUCCCAUGACAUAGGCCCAACACCAACUUGUGCGCGCGCGGUGUUGUGAGCAUUGAGGUAGUCUUGUGGAGAGUUCUGGGCACAGCAGAUGUGAGCUAGGGCUAACCCCAUGAAACAAAGGAGUGCUAAUGGACUCCUACACAACCCCAUUUUUUGGUUUCUUUGAUGAGAAGUGAGGCUAUUGAUGAGAACUGAAGCUUGGCUUGAAGGGUACUUAUAGGGCAAAGAACUUGGAAUAUCAAUAGCAUCGUACACAAACAUUUCCACCAAACGCCCCCUUGGACCAGUUUUCACACGUAAAAGGACACUACUGAUGAAAUGGCUUCCACGGAGAGCAAUAUUUGAAAUUUCUUCUUGUUGUAACUCAUGCGGGCCAUACCAGUUUAUCAAGACAACUUAUCUUCUAAAAGGAUAAAUGAAUCAACAUUAUUUGAAAUUUCUUCUUUUUGUAACUCAUGGGGCCAUACCAGUUUUAUCAAGACUACUUUUCUUCUAAAAGGAUAAAUGAAUCAACAUUAUUUGAAUUUCAUUCUUGUGUCAGAUUCCUUUUAGACUAUGUAUGAUAUCUUUUACACCUAUAUCAUAAUGGAUAAGAAUAAAUAAUGAAAAUUAAUAUUUUGUUUCUAUUCUCAUACUUAAAGAAAGUAAAAAUAAAUUUGAUGAUUUCGAUUCUUAUCUUCAAAUGCACUAAGAAUGAAAGAUUAAAAUAAUUCUUUGUUUAUACUUGAAUAUUUUGUAAUAAUUGAAAAAUGAAUGAAAAUAAUAAAUAAAUAAAUUGAUAAUAAUAUUCUUAUAUAUAAUUUAAAUUUUUAUUUUUAUUUUAAAAGAACAUCAUUUAAACAUUUUUUUUACUAAAUAAUAAGAUUAAAAAAUUAAUGUUUACUUAAUAAAUAAAAAUUAAUCAUAAAAAUAAUAAAAAAUUAAUGAAAAUAUAGGGAUAAAUAAGCAGUUUUAAGAUAUUAUAUAUCGUUUCGAUAGCCUCCUUUACAAGAUUAAUUCAAAUUUAACUUAUAAGUGGAAUUUUAUUAUUAUAGAAAUUAUUUUUUAUUCCACUUUUAUUGUCAUUUAAAUUAUUUUUUAUCAUACAAGAAUGGAAAAAAUAAUAAAAUAUCCCUUAUUCCCUCUCGUAAAAGACAGUUGUAAAUCCAAAGCCGCCAAAACAGUAUGAUUAAGACAUGUGUAAUAAUAAAAAUUUUAUAUCUUUUCAUAUUUGAUUUGUUGGUGAGAAAGCCUGGAGUUAAAAUUUUCAAUAAAUGAUUAUUUCACUCAUUCUUAAAAACUUAAUUUGUCCCGUAUAUUUGAUAAUGAUUUUAUGAAGCGUUUUAAAUAUUUUUAAUAUUUGAAAGAUAAAAUUUUUUAAAGUAUUAAAAAUGUUAAAAAUAUUUAUUAAAAUCAUUGUCAAACGCAUUAAUCAUCUAAAAAUAUCUUCAAAUGACCUUAAUUAAUAUGAUAAUUUAUCAAUAUAAUAAUAAUAAUUGAUGUUCCAGUAUUAUCUUUGAUUUAAAACUCGUUUGAUAGUGCUUUUAAAAAACACUUGGAGUGACUUAGGAUUGAAUCUCAGUGAUUCCAGAAGGUAUUUUUAAGGAGAAAAACAAGUUGGGUGUUUAAUAAAAUUUUAAAAAACACUUGUUAAAAUCUAAAAAGUUACUUUAUAAUGUUAAAAAAUCUCUUAUGAUGUGUUUCGGAUAAACACUUGAUCGAUGAUUUUCUUAAAAACAUUUUUAUUAAAAAUAUUUUUACUAAAAACAAGAACAUAUUCUUAAUUUACUUUUCUUGUUUGUUUCAUUUAAGCAAGAAAGUUGAGACAAAUCUUAUGUCAAGGAUGGGUUGAUAAUAUCGGAUUCUUCUCAAUAAUUUCAAAAUAUAUAUAGCUUGCCAAUUGUUGCUCUUAGUAUCAAAAUUAUAUUUCUUAUUUAUUUCAUUGGGGCAUGAAGCUCCAAAAUCAGAACUCUGAUCAAGGAUAAAUUCACAGCUACUAGACUAUCAACUUUGAUGGGAUUUAAAGAGAAAAGAAACAAUAUUUUUCAAAAUUUCUUUUUAAAAUGUCAUAAUUCAAAAAAAAAUUCUAAAAUUUAUUUCUAUAGGAAAGUAUCAAAUAAAAUAUUACUUUUGAAAAUUUUAACAAUGAAAUUUUUGCUUAUUUAUAGAAAUAAAAAAAUAAUAAUUUUGCGGUGAAAAUGCAACUUCAAUAUAAUAUAAAUUUUCAAAUCUAUUAGGGUGGAAAUGAGUAAAAUAGAAAAUUAAUUUUUCAAAGAAAACUUUAGUUUAAGAGCUAAAUUUUGAGAAUUUUCUUUUAAACAAACAAUUUUAAAGUUAAAAUUUUUUACUGAAAUUGUUUUUUAAGAGAUAACAAUUUUAUUAUAAAUUUUGAAAUUUGUUUUUAUUUUAAAUUCAAUACUUAAACAAAGUUAUCUUUUCAAAAAUAAUUUUCUUUUGCUUCAAAAAGUAUUAUAGAUUUAAAAAUAGAUUUUUAAUUGACUCGGAUAGGAGUCAUAUUGGCUCUGAGUACUACAACAUGUCAUUUCAGCUUGCAAGAGUAGUACUUUUCAAAAGGUUACUCCUACGGUCCAAUAAUUCAAUCAUUCAAGUUUAGACAUAAAUCACUAAAUAUUGUUUUCAAUUUCAAGCAUAUGUAUUUGGUUUGAUUGAUUAAGGUAGAAAAAUCCUAAAUAUCAAUUGUAAAAUGAGUUUCAUUUGAACAAAUUAACUAUGAUUACUUCUAAGUUGGGGCAUGCACCCCAAAGAAUGAUAUCUUAAAUAUUAAUGUAAUUAAUUUGUUCAAUCAUCAAAAUACAUCCAAACAUGACCUUAACUCCAUCAUUAUGUUUGGCUCGUGAAAUAUAAUGAGGAAAGAAAAAUAGAUCAUUGCAUCUAUAUUAUCUUGCCCCCAUCAAACAUUUCUCCUAUUUAUGCCCCCUAAACUCCAUCCGGGCUCCGCUAUUGGAGGAAAAUUUGUAAAAUGGGUUAAAAAAAAUAUAUAAAAAUAACUUAUUAAGUUUAAACAUAUCUUUAAUUUUUCUUCACUAUUUUUUCUUUUAACUUUUUUUAUAUAUCAAACUUCACAUGAAUAUAGAUGCAUGGCAGACAAUUCAGAUAUUUACCCUAGAAAACCAAAGGUAGCGUGAUGACCAAAUGGAAAGAAAGAAAGAAUAUGAAGAAAAUUCUUGGUAAUUAUAAGUCACUUUAUGCAAGAUGUGAUGCUCUCUUUCGAUGUUUUAACAGACGUAGCAAACGACAAUAGGCUUGGAAUCUGGCAUGGACACAAAGGAAUGGCUCUCCACGCUCUUUCAUACGGAUAUUUGUCUCUCUCCAGCACGUUAUAUCUCAAUCAUGUCCUCAGCCUUUCGUCAUCUGUUUACGUAAUCGUCCGAUGGCGACAUUAUGUCACCCUCGCAAAGAUAAGGCCUCAAGACAACUCAUCCAUCUCAAUCUUAUCAUCACUCAAAAAAAUUUAAACAUGAUGGGGAUGGUUAUAAGAAAUUAUCAUAUUAGUCUUAUUCACCCGUCUAAUUCUUUUAAUUUUUCUUUCAAAUUUUUUUAAUCUAUAAUAAAUUAAAAAUAAAUAUAAUUUAUAAAUAAAAAAUAUUAUAAAUAUUUAUGAUUUAUUUUUAUAUAAAAAAUAAUAUUUUAUUUACUUUUAAAAAAUAAAAAUAAAAAAAUUAACAAAAUUGUAACCAAAUCGGCUUUCAACGAGGGUUUUUAAAACUUCUCAAACUCAAUCAUAACAUUAUUUAUGUUUAUUUCAAAGUCUUACUAUGAGAGGCAGGAUACAUAAAAAUUCACCUCAUUAUAAUCCCUAAUAAUACAUGGUUUAUAUAAUUGAAUGCAUUGAUAAAGAGGAUUUUGAAAAAAAUAUAGGAGUUUAUAUCAUUGAAUGCAUGGGUGGAGAGGAUUUUAAAAAUCUAUAGCAACACUUUUAAAAAAACUUAUCUUCAAUUUUAUUUUUUAAAAAAUCAAUUAAAAUGGUAUAAAGUUAUUUUUGAAAAAAUAAUUUUCAUAUUUAAAUCGAAAUUAUUUCUUCAAAAAAUAUCUUUUGUUAUAAAAAGUGUUCCAAAUUUGAAAUAAUUUCAAAAAUAUUAUUUUUUAAAUAAAAAAAAAUUCCUUGAAGUGAAGAUUUUGAGUGAGGUAAAUGAGUGUGAAUUGAAGCAGUGUAAAUAAGAAAGAAAUAUUUGGUUAAAAUAGAUGAAUAAUCUCCAAAUUGUAAAUUAAACAUUUUCUUACGAGAAAAUAACCAAAUUUUAACAUAAAUAUCCUUUAUAAUUUCAAGUAUUUGAUUUUAAAAGAAAUAUUAUUUUUAAAAUGACCAAUAAAAAAAGUACAGGGAUCGGUACCUUAAAUAGCAAUCACAAACUUUCAACAUUGGAAAGUCGAAAUUUAACCUUAUGACAAGAAACAACAAAAUUCUAUCUAUGGUGUAUAUUUCAUUUUGUACUAAAAAAAAAUGAAAUAUGUAUAUAUAUAUAUGCUUUAUAUCUAACAUAAACUUGGAUUAAUUCCAAAUAUAAGUUUACGGUAUAGAAACUUAGGAGGAAAAGAUCUCUACUCAAACCAAAUAUCUAAAGAUAGAACCAGGAGCAUGUUCGGCUUGUUUGCAUGUAAGCAGUUCAGGGACUUAUAUUUUUUGAAAACGAAUUUUUAUAAUUGAACAAAGGAUCCAGUGAAAAAGGGAAAAAUACAACUGCAAUUCGUUUUGUUGCAGUGGAGUUUGAUAAAUUUUCGAACACGGGAAAAAGGGAUCCGGUGAGUGAUCAUGUUGGUAUUGAUAUUAACUCCAUGGUAUCUGUCAAAAUAGAGAACUGGACCAGCAAUAUAGAGGAAGGAAAGCUAAAUCAUGUUUCCAUCCGUUAUACUUCUAGUUCACAAAAUCUGAGUGUUGUUCUAAUUACUGAGUUUUUGGACGAUCAAACAUUCAAACUACCUCCCAAAGCCUCUACUACAAAGUUGAUCUGAGGGAAUACUUGCCAGAAUUCUUUAUUAUUGGCUUCUCAGGCGUAACAGGAAAAGCAUUCCAGAUAAACAACAUUUACUCAUGGAAUUUCAGUUCAACUUUGCCACCUCCCAAUCUUGUAGAACCAGGAGAUGGAAACAAAACAGGAAUUGUGGUGGGAUUGAGUGUUUGUGUAGUUAUUGUAGUAUGUGGGUUGGGAUUGGUUUGGCAUCACUUGUGGAAGAAGAGGGAUAGUGGGGGAGAAGAAGAUGGUACUGACUCUGACCUAGCCAUGGACGAAGACUUUGAGAAGGGUACUGGACCUAGGAAGUUUUCCUUUGACGAAUUGGCUCUUGCAACUAGUAACUUUGCAGAGGAAAUCUUGGCGGGAGGGUUCGGUGGGGUCUGUAGAGGCUUCUUGAGGGAACUGAACUCUCAUGUUGCAGUUAAGAGAGUAUCAAGGGGGUGCAAACAAGGGAUAAAGGAUUAUGCAUGCAUCUGAAGUGAAGAUCAUCAGUCGAUUGAGGCAUCGGAACUUGGUGCAGUUCAUGGGCUGGUGCCAUAAAAAAAGAGAGCUCCUAUUGGUUUAUGAGCUCAUGCCAAAUGGUAACUUAAACUCCUGUCCUUUGGAAGAAAAAACCAAAGGUAGCGUGAUGACCGAAUGGAAAGAAAGAAAGAAUCUGAAGAAAAUUCUUGGUAAUUGUAAGUCACUUUAUGCAAGAUGUGAUGCUCUCUUUUGAUGUUUUUAACAGACGUAGCAAACGACAAUAGGCUUGGAAUCUGGCAUGGACACAAAGGAAUGGCUUUCCACGCUCUUUCAUACGGAUAUUUGUCUCUCUCCAGCACGUUAUUUCUCAAUCAUGUCCUCAGCCUAUCGUCAUCUGUUUACGUAAUCGUCCGAUGGCGACAUUAUGUCACCCUCGCGAAGAUAAGGCCUCAAGACAGCUCAUCCAUCUCAAUCUUUAUCUAUAUCUAUUCUUAUCAUCACUCAAAAAAUUUUAAACAUGAUAGGAUGGUUAUAAGAAAUUCUCAGUCUUAUUCACUCGUCUAAUUAUUUUAAUUUUUGUUUCAAAAUUUUUUAAUUUAUAAUAAAUAAAAUAUAAAUACAAUUUAUAAAUAAAAAAUAUUAUAAAUAUUUAUGAUUUAUUUUUAUAUAAAAAGAUAAUAUUUUAUUUAUCUUUAAAAAUUGAAAACAAUAAAAAAAAUUGACAAAAUUGUAACUAAAUCCGCUUUCAACUUGGGUUUUUAAAACUUCUCAAACUCAAUCAUAACAUUUUUUAUGUUUAUUUCAAAGUCCUCCUACGAGAGGCCACCACGGAUACCGAAAAAGCUUACCUCAUUAUCAUCUUUGAUUAUACAUUGUUUAUAUAAUUGAAUGCAUUGAUAAAAAGGAUUUUGAAAAAAAUAUAGGAGUUUAUAUGAUUGAAUGCAUGGGUGGAAAGGAUUUUAAAAAACUAUAGCAACACUUUUAAAAAAACUUAUUUUUAAUUUUAUUUUUUAAAACAUCAAUUAAAAUGGUAUAAAGUUAGUUUUGAAAAAAUAAUUUUCACAUUUAAAUUGAAAUUAUUUCUUCAAAAAAUAAUUUUUUUUAUAAAAAGUGUUCCAAAUUUGAAAUAAUUUCAAAAAUAUUAUUUUUUUAAUAAAUAAUUUUUUUUUUUAAAUUGAUGCUCCUUUUUGAAAAAAAAAAAAAUCAUCCCUGAAGUGAAGAUUUUGAGUGAGGUAAAUGGGUGUGAAUUGAAACAGUGCAAAUAAGAAAAAAAAUAUUUGGUUAAAAUAAAUAAAUAAUCCCUAAAUUGUAAAUCAAACAUUUUUCAUGUUUUUUAAAAAAAAAAAUCAAAUUUUGAUAUAAAUGUCCUUUGACAUUUCAAGUAUUUAUAUGUAGGUUUUAAAAAAUGUUAUUUUUGUAAGAAAAUGAUAAGAGUAUUUUUACCUAAAUGAGGCAAAAAAAAAAGAAAGAUUAAAUUUCAAAAUUUGGGUUUUCAAGAACAUCGAACGAAAUGACACAAUAAAAAAAGUACACGCAAUCACAAACUUUCAACAUUGGAAAUUCGAAAUUAACCUUAUGACUAGAAACAACAAGAUUCUAUCUAUGGUGUAUAUUUCAUUUUGUACUAAAAAAAAAUAAAAUAUAUAUAUGCUUUAUAUCUAACAUAAACUUGGAUUAAUUCCAAAUAUAAGUUUACGGUAUAGAAACUCAGGAGGCAGAGAUCUCUACUCAAACCAAAUAUCUAAAGAUAGAACCAGUAGCAUGUUCAGCUUGUUUUAUUUUUUUAGACUUCAACAAUUUUCACACGUAAACGAACACUACUCAUGAAAUGACUUCAAUGGAGAUUAAUAUUUGAAAUUUCUUCUUGUAACUCAUGUAGGCCAUACCAGUUUUAUCAAGACUUAUAAUCUUUCUUCUUUGAAAUUUCUUUCUUGUGUUGAUUUCUUUUAGACUAUGUAUGAUAUGUUUUACAUUGUGUAUAGUAGGUGAGAAUGAAUAAUGAAAAUGAACAUUUUGUUUUUAUUUCCAUUUCUCCUUGAAUAUAAAUGAAUUUGAUAAUUUUAAUUCUUAUAUUUGAAUGCACUAAGAAUAAAAAGUUAAAACGAUUUUUUGUUUAUAUUUUGAUGUUUGGUAAUAAUUGGAAUAUGAAUGAAAAAAAGACAUUGAUAAUUUAAUUUUUUAUUUUUUUUACUAAAUAAUAAUAUUAAAAAUAAUAAUAUUUACUUAAUAAAUACAAAUUAAUUAUAAAAAUCAUUAAAAAUUAAUGAAAAUGUAAGGAUAAAGUAGUAAUUUUAAGAAAUUAUAUAUCAUUUCCUAUAACAUCCUUUAAUAGAUUGAUUCAAAUUUGACUUACAAGUAGAAUUUCAUUAUUAUAGGAAUUUUUUAAUUUUAUUUUUAUUGUCAUUUAAAUUUUUUUUAUCGUACAAUGAUGAAUGAAAAAAAUAAUAAAAUAUCCCUCCUUAUUCCUUAUCCCCUUUCAUAAAAGACAGUUGUAAUAAUAAUAAUUUUUAUCUUUUCAUAUUUGUUUUAUUGGUAAGAAAGUCUUGACUUAAAAUUUUCAAUAAAUGAUUAUUUGAUGGGUUUUUAGAAAUUUAAUUUGUCUUGUUAUGUUUAAUAGUGAUUUUAGAAACAUUUAGAAAAAAUUAUAUUUGAAAGAUAAAAUUUUUCAAGUGUUAAAAAGUUUAGAAAUAUUUUCUAAAAUUAUUAUCAAAUGCAUUAUUAAUCAUUUACACAUAUUUACAAAUGACUUUAAUUAACUUGAUGAUUCAUUAAUAUAAUAGUAGAAGCUAAAUUACUAUCCUUGAUUUAAAACUCAUUUGACAAUACUUUUGAAAAGCGCUCAGAUCGGAGAAGGUUGAAUCUCAAUGGGUUAAAAAAAGAAUUUUUGAGAAAAAAUUAGAUAUUUUAUAAAAUUUAAGAAACAUUUUUAGAUAUUUGAAAAAAAAUCCUUUAUGUUGCUUUUUAGCUAGACACAAGCCCACAGUUCUACAACAUGUCAUUUCAGCUUCCACGAUGAGUACUUUUCAAAAGGUUAUUCCUAGGAUUCAAUAAUUCAAUCAUUUAAGUUUAAACAUAAUCACUACAUGUGUUAUUAAUUUCAAGCAUAUAUAUUUGGUUUGAUUGAUUAAGGUAGAAAAAUCCUAAAUAUCAAUUGUAAAAUGAGUUUCAUUUGAACAAAUUAACUCAUGAUUACUUCUAAAUGGCAUGAACCCUAAAAAAUGAUAUCUUAAAUAUCAAUGUAAUUAAGUUACAUGUAUAUAUCCUCAAAAUGCAUCCAAACAUGAUCUUACUUCUAAAGUUAUGUUUGAUUCUUAAAAAGUAAUAAGAAAAAAAGUGUUAAAAAAAAUUAUUUUCUCAUAUUUGGUUUCAUAAUAAGAAAUAUAAAAAAAAAAUAUAUAAUUAAAAUUAGUAAAAAUUUAAUAUAUUUCUAAAUUAUUUAAUUUUUAUAUAGAGAGAAACACUAAUAUAUUUUGCACAUGACCCUUGGAAAAUAAAAUCAAAUAGUGGAAUAGAUUCUUUCAUCUAAGGUAUAAAGGAAAAACGAGUUUUUCAUUGAACUAAAUACAACAAUCUCCCCACGUCUUGCCCAUUCUCAAAUAUUUCUUCUAUUUAUGUCCCCCAAGACUGCAUUCUAGUUCUGCCACUAAAGAAAAAUAAAGUAAAAUGAGUUAAAAAAAACAUAUAAAAAUAAUUUAUUAAAUUUAAAUUUAUUUUUUUAUUUUUUAUUUCUUCUAUUUUCUUUAUUUCCUCCCUAUUUUCCUUUUUAGGAACAAACAUAACUUUAAAAAAUCACAAGUUGAAAGGAGAAUUAUAUGACUAACCUUGUUUGUAUAGAGCAUGGAGACUCAUUUUUUGGGUCCAUACUAGAAUCCAAGGCUAUUAGCUAUACAUUUGUGUUUUUAGCAACAUUAUCAAAGAAAGGUCCAUCACAUAAUAUAUAUUAAUAAUGUUCUUAUUUUCCAAGGAAACUAAGGAGGACCAAGUGUUUAUGUUCUUUUUUUAUUUUAUUUUAUUUGGAAAAAAAAUGUUGGUUUAGGGUUACAAAUAUACAUGGUUAAGGCUUUAACAAUAUGCACAUACAUAUAUCAAACUUCACAUGAAUAUAGAUGGCAAAUAGUUCAAAUUUUUAUCGAAGAAAACCGAAGGUAGCGUGACGACCGGGCGGGGAGAAAGAAAGAAUAAGAAGAAAAUUCUUGGUAAUUAUAAGUCAAGAUGUGAUGCCCUUUUUCGAUGUUUCUAACCGAUAUAGCAAAGAUUAAUAGGCUUGGAAGCUGGCAUAUUGACCCAAAGGAAUGACCUCCGGCGCGGUAUUUCUCAAUCAUGUCCUCAGCCUAUUUCAUCUGUCUACGUAAUCGUAUGAUGGUGACAUGAUGUGACCCUCGCGACCAAAGGCAAUCCCCCCAAAUGUUUCUUGUUUGUUUAUAUCCGUUCACGUGAUCGCAAAAGAAAAUUUAAGUGAGAUAAGAUGGAUUUGAGAAAUAGUCAUAAAAGGCGGCGAUAAGAAAUGUUCGUCUGAUCCCUCAAAGAAAUUUAAAUGGAAUAACACGGUGUGGGAAAUUUUCAUACCCACUCUAUCCCACUCAUGUAAUUCUUUUAUUUCUUUUUUAAAAUUUUUUAUUUUUUAUUUUUUAAAUUUAUAUUUUAUUAAAAAUAAAUAUAAUUGUAGACCCCUUGUUGGCUGGAAACUGAAGCAAGAAAAUAUUAUUUUUUUUGAGUGGAGUGGGUGAGAUUGAGAUGAUGGAAAGGAGCGGGAAAAGGAAGAUGGAGGUGGGGGCUGUUUGGGGGGCAGCAAGGACAGGACAGCAGGCUGGUUUUUAGGCAGAGGGAGAAAAGGUAAGGAAAAGGAAGAAACCGGGCAGCAGCGUUUUUUUUUUUGGGGAGAGGGGGAGGAGAGAAAAAUAUGAUGUUAAAAAUUUGGAUAUAAUGGACAAAAGAAAUACUUUUAAACACUCACUUUGAUAUAAUAAAACUCCUAAAAAUACAAAAUAAGAACAAGAAAGGCUCAAACAAGUUCUUGGAACUUUGUCCAAAAACUCUAUUUCCUCCCACCUCUAGAAAUCUUUAGGGAACUAAUGGAAAUAGUUUUGGGAUUGAUCAUGCUUUUUCACUUUUCUGCAUAAGAUUUCAAAAAAAAGAAAAGUCAUAUAUAGCACUCUUAGGGUUGAAAAAUGGUUACAAGGACGAGAAAAAACCCAUUGUCUUCCUUAAUUUCUUCAUCUUUGUAACAUUCAAAAAUUAAAUCAUAUGUUUAAUUCACACAUUAAACAUGAUUUAAUCUCAAAUGUGUAACUCUUUUACACAUAACCUCUUAAGUUUUAUAAAGUUACAAAUAUGAGAAGACUUAUUGUCUUCCUUAACCUUUCAAGUUUUGUAACAUUUCAAAACUUAAUCAUGUAUUUAUUCAUAUAUUAAAAGUGUAAUCCUUCUUACACUUUAUUUUCAAAAGUUAUUUUUCAAAAAUGUAACUUUUCUUACACUUUAUUUUUAACCAACAAUAUAUAUACAUUUAUAUAAAUAUAACAAUCCCCCACUUGGUUAAAAUUAAACAUCAACCCUUAUAACCUCAACAGUGAAAAUGCAUAAAAUAAAAUAUCUUUCAAUUUGAAUUUUACCUUAGUGUAAUUGUCACAAAGCUCCGUUGAAAUCCCAGGUUGCUUGUAGCAUUGAACCAGUUAUUCCUUGUAACGAAACCGGUAACAACACACACACUUCCACUAACCACAUGAGUGCCUAUUAUUUUCUUGCUUAACACUUUUAUGGUCAUGUGCUCAAUCCAUUCAUGAACUUUCUUGAAAGAAAACUCCAACUCUCAUGAGAGGCGGCACCACCCCUAAGUUCACAUAGGUGAAAUUCUUCCAGCAUCCUUGUUACCUUUAAGAUGCUUAUUACACAUAGACUAAAUUUCAUUAAAAGCUUUAAGCUUAACCCUCCAACGGUAACAACCAGCAUUAAUCAUCACAGAUGGAACUCACAUGUUCUAAUGCUGCCACAACCCACUUAUCAAUAACUUGUUUUUACCUAUUGAACUUAAGACUAGUCAUUUCGUAGUAUUAAGUUGGGUUACCAUCAUUGGUGAAUUUUAUUUAAGGAGUUUUAGUCACAUCCCUCUAGAUGUUAUCCUUACUAAAUCUCUUGUAAGAGGUUUAGUAAAAGGAUCCGCCAAGUUUCCACUUGACCUCACAAAUGAGAUUGAGAUGAUUCCAUAUUGAAUCAAUUGUCUCACAUACUCAUGUCUAAUGCUUAUAUGUCUAGACUUCUCAUUGUACACUCCACUGUACGCACGAGCUAGAAUGGCUUGACUGUCACAAUGUAUCGACACUGUUGACACAUUAUUUGCAGUAAAAGGGAUGUCCAUCAUGAGAUCCCUAAGCCACUCAACUUCUUUUCCAGUUGCAGCUAGAGCUAUAAACUCUGCCUCCAUGGUUGAGUGUGAUAUACAAGUCUGUUUCUUGGAUCCCCAAGAGACAGCCCCACCACCAAUUGUAAACACUCAACCUGUGGUAUAUAAAUUAUCUCACACACUCGAUAUCCAGCUUGCAUCUGAAUACCCUUCAAGUAUAGCAGGAAACUUUGAAUAUUGGAGGCUUAGUUCUUUGGUAUUCUUUAGGUAACCAAGAACUCUACCAAUAGCUUUCCAAUGUUCCACGCUUGGAUUGCUAAUAAACCUACUUAGUUUACUAACUGCAAAUGAAAUGUCAGCCCAAGUACACUGAGCAGCAUACAUAAGACUUCCAAUUGCACUUGCAUACUCAAGUAGAGCCACCAAUCUACCAUCAUUGUUUUCAAGUUUUAUACUUGAAUCAAAUGGAGUAUUAACAUCUUUAAUCUUGAGAUGACUAAAUUUGCUAACUACUUUCUCAAUAUAGUGGGUUUGGUUCAAAGCAUAACCCCCACUAUUUCUUUUCACUUUGAUACCCAAUAUAGUAUCAACUUCUCUAAGAUCUUUCAUCUUGAAGGUUGAGGAUAGAAACUUUUUCGUUUCUAUUAUUCCUUUCAUGUCAUCACUCAAGAUUAACAUAUCAUCCACAUAUAGACACACUAUGACUAUAUAGUCAUCACAAGUCUUAGAAUAUAAGCACUUGUCCACAUUGUUGUGUCUAAAUCCAUCCGAAAGAAUAGCAAGAUCAAAUUUUUCGUGCCAUUGUUUGGGAGCUUGUUUUAAACCAUAUAAUGAUUUGACAAGCUUACACACUUUGUUUUCAUUCCCCAGUAGAACAAAACCUUCCGGUUCUUCCAUGUAGACCUUCUCAUUGAGAUCCCCAUUCAAGAAUGCCGUUUUGACAUCCAUUUGAUGAACAAAUAGAUUAUGAAUUGAUGCCAAAGCAAACAAUGUCCUAAUCGAUGUUGUUCUAGCCACCGGCGCAUAGGUAUCAAAAUAAUCAAUACCUUCUCUUUGUUUAAACCCUUUAGCUACUAAUCUAGCCUUAAAGGUUUGAAUCAUGCCAUCGGUGUGAUAUUUCCUUCGAAAUACCCACUUGCACCCUAUUGGUUUAGAUCCUGGUGGAAGAUCUACCAAUUCCCAUGUUUGGUUGGACAUAAUUGAAUCCAUUUCAUCAUUGAUAGCCUCUUUCCAAAAAGCAACAUCUCUAGAAGCCAUAGCUUCUUUGUAUGUCUUGGGAUCCUCCUCUAUUUGAAGUACUAUAGAAAAUUUUCUUAUAAUAUCUUCUCUAUUUCCUUCUACUAAGUAAAAGGAAAUUCUUUGAGAGUCAAUCUCAUCCGAUCCCAACACUUUCUCUUUUCUAGCUCUUUGGCUUUUCUGAGGCACAAUGGGUUGUUCAACAACCUUUGAAGGUGUCUCCACUAGAGACUCUCCAACACUAGUAGGUACUUGAGAAUUGCUAUCAGUCAACAAAUUCUUAAAGAACUCUACCUCUCUUGAUUCAAUUAUCACAUUAGACUCCAAGUCUAAUAGCUUAUAAGCUUUGCUAUUUGAGGCAUAGCCUACAAAUGCACACUUAAUGGCUCUUGGACCCAAUUUUGUUUUAUUUGGAUCCGUUUUCUUGCAAUAAGCAAGACACCCCCACACUUUGAAGUAACCAAUAUUAGGCUUCCUUCCUUUCCAUAACUCAUAUGGAGAUAUCUCAUUUUUUUUCAUAGGAAUUCUAUUCAAAAUAUGGCAAGCAGUCAACAAAGCUUCACCCCACAAAUUGAAAUUCAAUUUAGCAUGCAAUAAAAUAGAAUUCACCAUUUCCAAGAAUGUUCUAUUCUUUCUCUCCACUAUGCCAUUGUGUUGAGGUGUAUGGGGUGCGGUGCACUCAUGUAUUAUGUCAUAUUCUUCACAAAAAGAAUUGAAUUCACUAGAGAAAUAUUCACCACCUCUAUCACUUCUAAGCACCUUAAUAAUUUUUUCUAGUUGAUUUUCAACUUCGGCUUUGUAAACUUUAAAGGCAUUGAAAGUUUCACUUUUGUUUUUCAACAAAAACACAUAGGUAAAUCUAGAACAAUCAUCUAUGAAUGUAAGAAAAUACCUAUUUCCACCUCUUGUUAACAUGCCAUUAAGUUCACAAAGAUCACUAUGUAUUAAAUCAAGAAAAUUAGAUGAUCUCUCAACACUAUGAAAAGGCUUUUUAAUCAUCUUUGAUUUAACACAUAUUUCACACUUUUCAAAUUUCUUGGUAUCAUAAGCAAUCAAACCACAUUUCACAAUCCUUUUAAUAGUGCUUAAACCAACAUGUGCAAGCCUAUUAUGCCACAAAAAUAAAGAAUUUGAAUCACACAUAUAAGCGGAAGUAGACGCCAUUUUAUUGAUAUUGUCAUUGGUACAAAGUUUGAUCAUCCCAUCACAAGAAUACCCCUUUCCCAUAAAGUUCCCCGAUUUGGAUAAAAUUAGCUUACCGGAUUCAAACAUCGCUUUGAUACCCGGUUUGCCAAGCAAAUCCCCACUAACCAAAUUUUUAUUCAUAUCGGGGACAUACAAUACAUUUAUAAGGGUAACCUUUUUGCUGAAGGUAAAAACAACUUCAAUAGUGCCCUUGCCAAGCACCUUGGAUCUUCCUUCAUUGCCCAUUUGAACCUCUUGAUCUCCCUUUGCAUCUUCAAAGGUCUUGAAAAGAGAUUUGUCAUAGGUAACAUGAACUGUGGCACAAGUAUCAUACCACCAUCCUUGCACCUUUCCUUGGACAACGCACACAUCGCUUAGUGUUGCAAUGAUCUCCUCAUCAAUUGCAUUCACCACAACACAUUUUAGGUCCUUUCGGUACCUACACUCCUUAGCAUAAUGCUCGGGUUUUCCACACACAAAACAAGGACCUUUCUUGCCCUUAAAUUGCUCUUGAUUUUUCUUGGGGCUCAUAUAAUUUCCGGACUUCCUUUUGUCAUUGUUAUUUUUACCUCUAGGAUGAUUGACCUUUGAAACCGCAUUGGCUUUGUUAGUCCCACCAUUGGACUCUUCCACCAUUUUGUCUCUUGAUCUCGAUUCUUCCUCAAUGCGAAGAUGUUUUUGAAUCUCUUCCAAGGAGUAAUCUUCACUCUUGUGGAGAAUCCUCUUCCGGUAACCUUUCCAACUUGAUGGUAAUUUAGCCACAAUAGCACCAACUUGGAAGGCCUCCGGAAGUUUAAUUUUGAGAACUUUCAACUUAUUCACAAUUACUUGCAACUCAUGAAUUUGUGGCAAGAGAGGCUUUUCAUCAAAAAAAUUUGAAAUCUAUGUAUUGAGAAAUAAGAAACUUUUUGGUACCUUCUUUCUCGGCUUUGUACUUGUUUUCAAGAGCCUCCCAAAUCUCCCUCGCGGAAUAGGUGUUGGUGUAGAGAUCAUAUAGCCUAUCGGAUAAGGAGUUCAAAAUAUGACCCCUACAUAUAAGCUCAUCAUCCUCCCUCUUCUUCCUUGCCGCCACCACUUGAGGUGUGUCAUUUUCCUUUGGUUCCGGUAAUGGUGCCAAGGUAGGAUCAAGGAUGUAGAAAAUCUUGAGUGCUGUGAGAAUGAAUCUCACCUUGUCUUGCCACCUAGUGAAGUUGGAACCAUCAAAACGAUCCAACCUCACAAGGUCUUGGUUCAUAAUCUUGAUAGUCUCUCCUUCCAUUGAAAAAUAGAGUCUUUGAUUGAUGUUAAAAAUUUGGAUACAAUGGAGAAAAGAAACACUCUAAAACACUCACUUUGAUACAAUAAAACUCUCAAAGAUACAAAAUAAGAACAAGAAGAAGAAGAACACAAGAAAUGCUCAAACAAGUUCUUGUAACUUUGUCCAAAGACUCUAUUUCUUCCUACCUCUAGAAAUCUUUAGGAAACUAAUGGAAAUAGUCUUGGGAUUGAUUAAGUCUUUUCACUUUUCUACAUAAGAUUUCAAAAAGAAGAAAAGUCAUAUAUAGCACUCUUAGGGUUGAAAAAUGGUUACAAGGAUGAGAAAAAACCCAUUGUCUUCCUCAAUCUCUUCAUCUUUGUAACAUUCAAAAAUUAAAUCAUAUGUUUAAUUCACACAUUAAACAUGAUUUAAUCUCAAAUGUGUAACUCUUUUACACAUAACCUCUUAAGUUUUAUAAAGUUACAAAGAUGAGAAGACUCGUUGUCUUCCUUAACCUUUCAAGUUUUGUAACAUUUUAAAACUUAAUCAUGUGUUUAUUCACACAUUAAAAGUGUAACCCUUCUUACACUUUAUUUUCAAAAGUUAUUUUUCAAAAGUAUAACUUUUCUUACACUUUAUUUUUAACCAACAAUAUAUAUACAUUUAUAUAAAUAUAACAAAAUCUGGAGAGAAAGAAACAGAAAGCAGUUGGGGAAAAAAAAAAAAAAAGAGGAAACCAGCAGAGGGGGAUCGGUUUCAGAAAAAAGAAGGCAACGGGCUUCAAACAAGGCUUGGGGUUCCUUUUUUUUGGAGAAAAGCGGGAGGAGAAAAGGAGCGCCUUCAGGUAUGGAUUAUUUUUUUUAAUCUCCUCAUUAUCCUGUCCUUUGCUAUUUUUGGAGAGAUUGAAAAAGAGUGAGCUAGGUAGAAAAGCAAAGUGGUAGGAAACUGGUUUGUGAAGAGAAAAACAGAGCCAGAACGGGAGUGUGAAAAAUAACAAUAAUAAUAAUAACUCUUUUUCUUCAAGAUUUGGGAAGGAAUUAAGGGCCCAAUUCCGUCUGCCAUUUAUUUCCCUAUGCCAUCAUGCACUGAAGGCUCUCAAAGCCUUUUUUUUUUUUAUUAUUUAUUUCUUGCAUGGGAAUCAUUACCUGGGCAGUGAAGACUUUUUUUAGUGGGCCAUCCUUGAAAUAUAAUGCCAAUUUUCCUUUGGGAGAAUUAUGUUUUAAGGGUAGAUGGGCCCCCAAAUUAAUAAAAAGUUCAUGUAACUCUUCAAAUUGAGCCCAAGACCCAAUGAAAGUAUGGAAAUUGAGUUGAAGGAUAUCAUCCUUUAGUAUUUCCAAAAAUGCCCUUUGUUGAUUUUGAGAAAAAAAUUAAUAUUUUUGAAAAAUACUUUUAUUUAAUUUAAUAUUUUUUUAAAAUGCUUUUAUGUAAUUUAAUAUUUUUAAAAAUACUUUUAUUUAAUUUAAUAUUUUUUAAAAAUAAAUUUAUUUAAUUUAAUAUUUUUUAAAUACUUUAAUUUAAUUUAAUAUUUUUGAAAAAAAAAUAAUUUAAUAUUUUUGGAAAAAAAAUAAUUUAAUAUUUUUGAAAAAAAAAAUUAUUUAAUUUAAUAUUUUUGAUAACUGCUUUUAUUUAAUUUAAUAUUUUUGAAAAAAAAAUUAUUGAAAAAAAUUAUUUAACUUAAUUUUAUAAAAUAUUUUAUAUGUGUUCUUAAAGGGUAUAUUUGUCCGUUACUAUUUCAUAUCCUUCAACUCAAUUUGAAAAGUUAUAUGGACCUUUUGUUAAUUUGGGGGCCCAUCUACCCCCAAAAGAUAAUUCUCCCUUUUCCUUUUGACCUCACACGUUUCCACAAAUUGGUUCCCUAAAAUAACUAACAAAAUUUUGGAUUUUCAAUUAUUUCAAUCUUCAAAUUAAUUUUUUUUUUUUUUAAAUUCUAAGGUCCAAAAUUAUUUCUUAAAAAAAAAUUCAUUCUCAAAUAAUUUUCAAAAUCCCGAUUUCUUUCAAAUUUAAUUUCUAAAACUCAAAAUUUUAAAUUUAAUUUUCAGAAUUUCAAUUCUCACAUAAUUUUUAAAGAAUUCCAAUUUCUUUCAAAUUUAAUUUUCAAAACUCCAAUUCUUAAAUUUAAUUUUCAAAAUUCUAAUUCUCAUAAUUUUCAAAAUUCAAAUUUCUUUCAAAUUUAAUUUCUAAAAUUCCAAUUCUUAAAUUUAAUUUUCAAAACUCCAAUUUUCAAAUACUUUUCGAGACUUCAAUUUUCAAAUUUAUGUUUUUUUAAAAUAAUUUUCAUUUUACUCCAAUUUUUAAAUACUUUUUAAUUCUACGACUUUUCAUCCUUCAUUAAGGUUUUAAGUCAUUAAAAAUCUCGUUUUAAAUAAACUUGCUACCUUUCCCUUCAGGUAAACACUUUCACAAAUUUUCUUUGAUUUUAAAAUGAUUUUCACACUUUCCAUGAUUUUUAAUAAGCAAGAAUUAAACUUUGUAAUUCCAAUUAAUGGAAUUUAUGAAAUUAAUUCAUGCAAAAAUAAAUCAGGCUUUGGUGGGAGCCUACAUACGUGAUUUUAUGACUGUUUGAUUGAUUUGAUGUGACUGAUUUACACUAUUCAAUGAUACACACACGAUUAUUCUGUGUUUAAUUGCUAACACUUGUUUCCCUUGAAAUAAACCGGUUCAUCACUCAGGUACAUAAUUUGUUUUUCCUGUUCAUUAAGUUAUUUCGUUUUGGGUGAUAUUCAUUUGAUAUCCAUACUCGAUUAAUCAAUUGCCAUGAUUACUUCAUUUUAUUAGUAGAAACUCGUUUUAGGGGCUUCAAGGGGUGCUACGGUAUUUACCGUACCUUCCCGAUAAGUAACCUGACCCCCGAAUUUGAUCUGGUUUUUCACAGACCACCUUUUCCAAAAUAAAGAGUCACACUUAGGGUUUUUCUUUCUUAUUUUGUUUACCCUUUGAAAAUAAAACAAAAAUAAGUGGCGACUCUAAGUCAUUUUACAAUAAAUCAAUUUUUUAAAAUAAAAAUCGAGCUCGUCAUCGAGUGGAAGCGCAUGAGCCAAAAUGCGGGGUCCACAAUAAUUCAUAAAUAAAAAAUAUUAUAAAUAUUUAUAAUUUAUUUUUGUAAAAAAAAUAUUUUAUUUAUAUUUAAAAAAUGAAAACAAUCAAUUAAAAUUAAUAAUUUUUUUUUACACUAAACUACUCCUAAUUUGUUCUAAAAUUUUAAAAACUUCUCAAGCAUAUCUUAAACUUGUUUAUAUUUAUUUCAAGUCAUUUUCAUCUCUAAAUGGGAUAAAUAUUAAAAAAUUCUGUUUUAUUGUCAUCUCUAAUUAUACAUGGUUUAUAUCAUUGAAUACAUUUGUAGAGGGGAGAAUUUUUAAAUUAUUUUCAAUUUUAUAGCUUUUUUUAAAAAAUAGUUUCAAUUAAAAUUGUUUUAAAAAAUUUUAAAUUAUCUUUUAAAAAAUUAAUUUUCAUAUUUAAAUUGAAAUUAUCUCUUCAAAAAAUAACUUCCAUUAAUGUUAUAAAAAGUAUUUUAAAUUUGAAAAUAAUUUUAAAAAUAUUAUAUUUUAAUUUAUAUAUAUAUAUAUAUGUAAAAAAUCAUGGGUGAAGUGAAGAUUUUGAUAGAGGUAAAUGAGUGUGAAUUGGAGUGGUGGUGCAAGUAAGAAAAAGAAUUUGGGGUCAAAAUGGCCCUUUUAUUACAAAAAUUGUAACAACAUCUAGGCACUUUGUUGAAACUUAUGUUCAAAAUGACCUCUUUAGUGCCAUGUAGGAGCUAUGUCAUUAAAAAAUAUUUUUUUUCAUUAUUUUAAUUGAAGCCGUAGUUGGCAAAUGCAGCUUCAUUUUUGAAUUGAAGCCGCAUUUGCCAACUGCGGCUUCAUUUUUUAACCAAAGCCGCAUUUGCCAAUUGCGGCUUUAGUUUAAAAUUAAAGUCGCAUUUGUCAAUUGCGACUUCAAUUUAAAAAUGAAGCCUCAUUUGCCAACUACGGUUUCAAUUCAAAAAUGAAGCCUCAUUUGCUAACUACGACUUUAGUUAAUUUUUUUUUAAAAUUUAAAAUUUAAUUAAAAAUUAUUAAAUUAUAAAUUGAAAUUUAAAAAAUAUACUUAAAUAAUAAAUUAUUUAUAUUUAAACUUAAAAAUCAACUAUUACUUUCAAUAAACAUAAAUUGAUAAAUAGAAGAUAUUAUAAAUAAAUAUUUUUAUUUAUUAAUAAAUUAAUAAAUUAAAAAAAUAAUGAAGUGCUAAUAUUUUAUAACUUAAAAUUAAUUUGAUUAGAUAAAUUGUUAAUAAUUUUAAUUAUUUAAAGAAAUUGUGGCUCAACCCCCAAUUAGUUUGUUAUGGGUUUCUAAAUGAAAUUGUGGUUCAUCCAUGUUCACAUGGGGGUCCUAGAAACACUAGGAUCGAAUGUACCAAAUUUAACAUAUACAUAAUUUUAUUUAAGAUAUUAAUUUAUUUGUAUUAUGAAAAAUUUAUCUUUAUCAUAAAAGUAGUAUACUCUUAAGCCAUAGUCAUCAUACAUAGAUUUUUUGACAAAAUUAGUUAAUGAAAUUAAUUACAAAAAGUCUACUACAAAAUGUAAUUUUUAAUAGUUUAAUCAAAGUCGCAUAAAAUAUCCAGUAAACAUUAAUAUAGUGGAAAAUAAAAAACAUAUAUAAUCUCACAUGCCUCCACAAGGAGAGAACCUAUGUCUAACUGGUACUUUCUUCCUUUUUGAACGGUCCUCUAUAACUGUAGCAGGUACUACAUGUGACACAUGAAGAACAUUUGUCUGUGAUGGGAUUGGAGCUGGAAAUAGAGGUGGUGGUGGAGGUAGCAAUCUAGGUCGACGUAAGCCCCGCCUAUCCCUCGGAAUGGCUGGCGGCAAAUCUAGCUUGGUAGAUGUGUCAAUCUACAUUGAUGAUGGGUCUGAAGAGGUAGGAGGUUGUAAUGGAGGUAGGUCUAAAGAGGUAGGGGGUUGUAUUGAUGGUGGGUCUGAAGAGGUAAGGGGUUAGGCUGAUGGUGGGUCUGAAGAGGUAAGGGGUUGGGCUGAUGGUGGGCCUGAAGAAGUAGGAGUCUGAACUGAAGAUAAGUCUAAAGAAAUAGGAGGUUGUACUGAGGGUGGGUCUAAAGAGGUAGAGGUUUGCACUGAUGGUAGGUCUAAAUAAGUAGGGUGCUGCACUGAUGGUGGUUGAGCAACUGUCGACUGAGCUAGUGACCUACCUCCUCCAUGCUCUACAUGUGGGAUACGAUAAUCCUCCCGAAUAAUGCACAUAACAUCAGUGGCCCUAUGAAUAAUAUCAACAAUACCAGUGCGGCAAGCAUCACUAUCAGAGUCCUCCAAUGCAUGACCUCCUCGAGAUAUGAUAAAUGUCAUAGUCUCAAUCUGUCACAUAAAAUGUUAUAUAAUUAUUUGUUGGAAUAAAUAUUAUAAAGAAUAUGUACAUAAUAUUAAAGUGAUACAAACCAAUAAGUGGGCAAAUAAGGCAGUAGCCGAUACCGCAUAGGUUCAAAAUCAUCCAUAGGUGUAAUAAAAUGACGUAUAAUAGGAUGAUACCAUGUCAUGUACGGAGCAUGGUAGUCCAUAUGAGGCUCUAUAGCCUCCGCGGUGACAAUGUGGUCCCCUCUAGCCUCCCAAAAUGCCACGUAGUGGUCAUAAUACAACCUCCAAUCAAAUUGAGCUCGACCACGUCGAUCUAUGGAGUGAAGGUCAAAAUCUAUAAGGGGUGUCGAAGGAAUACCUUGUAUGAGUCCAAACUAUUGCAACACACGCUCAGGACGAUGCCACUUAACAAUAUAAAAAAAAAAAAAAGUGGUGACAUCGUUCGCCAAAUAUCCUGAUCAGCUAAACAAAUGUCUGAAAGCAACGCUAGUAUAUCAUCUGUGUAAGGCUGCCAUAAUACCUGACAUAUUCAAAUCUUAGUAUGUAUUUAAUAAAUUUUAAAUUAUAUUAUUAAUAUUAAUAAUCUUGUUAAAGAAUACUAAUAUUUAACCCAAACUUGAUCAGAUCGCUGUUGAUUAAACUCAUCUCUGUAUGUGACCAACACAUGAUGAGGAGUGUCUGCAUGAGAUAAGGAAACUCUCCACCUACUCCCUAGUGCAUCUUGCGGGAAUCUGUCAUUUAUAGGCACUGGUGCAUGGGCAAGUGAUCUACUAGGACGAUCAACAUGUAAUCGCUCCCAUGACCAUAGCUAAAAUUGAAAUAAAAUUAUGUUUAAAUGCACAUAAUUAUGACAAAAUUACAUAAUUAAUAAGACUUGUAGUUAUACUUGCAACAACUCUAAUGGUCUUGCAAUAGUUUCUGCAUUAUCUAAGCUAGCUCGACAUAACUCUUGAUAAAGAUGUGCUAGUGUAGCACUCCCCCAACUAUAUUGCGCAGUCUCACCAAAAUCUCUUAACAUGGGUAGAAUUGCUAAUUGGAUGUAAACCCCCUUCUUAUCUGGAAAUAGUGAACCACCAACUAACAAUAAAAGAUAGACUCUAGCAUGACGAUGUAACAUGACCUCAUCUACAACCCCUGGUGGUAAAUGGGAGAAAUGGGUAGUAAUAAAACGAACUGUAAGGGAUGCUCCACGAAUAUCAGUCUCUAUCGGUCGAACACCCAAUAACUCCUCACAAAGUGCAUGCCAAUCAAUAUCUGUAGAACCGGUGAAAGGAUAACCAUGUACACGCAAUCCAAAUAAGAUGGCUACGUCCUGCAAUGUGAUGGUCAUUUCACCACCUGGCAUGUGGAAUGUGUGCGUCUUUGGGCGCCAUCUCUCUACCAGUGCAGUAAUCAAAGGCCAAUCAACCUUAACAUGGCCCACUCAAUGAAAGACAUAAAAUCCUGACUGUAUAACGUAUGACCGAACACGAUCAUCCAAAAUCCACUCUCAACGAAACCCUUGUCGGUAACGCAAAACACUACCCAUAUCUGGAUCAACACGAAUGGUGGAUGAUCGAUGUCGAUGUUGAAGAGUAAGCACAGAUGUAUCCUCAAGGUCAGGACGAGCAGGAAACAACGGAGUAUCCAUGUCUGCAUUUACAUCAAUACAUGAUAUAAACAAAAUAUGAAUGAAUUGACAAGAAACAACAAUAUCUAACAACAUGAAUUUCAUGAUUAAAAUUGUAAAAAUAUGACCAGUAUUUUCCCUAAACAGUAGAGAUUCAAAAUUUUUCAAUGUAACCUGAUAUAAACAAAAUAUGAAUGAAUUGACCAAAAACAACAAUUUCCAACAACAUUAAUUUCAUUAUUAAAAUUUUAAAUAUUUGAACAGCAUCUCCCCUAAAUAAUAGAGAUUAAUAUUUUUUUUCAUGUAACCUUAUAUAAGGAAAAUAAGAAUGAAUUGACAAAAAAUAACAAUUUCAAACAAACAAACAUCAAUAAGAUGUUCAAUAAAAUAGUUUUUACAAAUAUCUUAAAACGAUUAAGGUCAAUACUAGUAAAUUAAAAAAAUAAAGUACAAUAAGAUGUUCAUGAAGUUCAUAAACUCCUCCUAUCAUUGGUUUCUCUAUUAGGACAAGAACGUCGAUUGUGACCUGAUUGCUUGCAAAGUCCACAUGUUUAUGGAGUUCUAGCUUCCCUUGCAUCCAUCUCAUUAUGCAAACGACUUGAUUUUGGUCGACCAGAAGUUAGCCAUUUCAUUGAGUCCGAAGGCACAAUUAUCGGCCCAUUAUAUUGAGGUCACUCCAACUCAUCAAAUAUGGGAUAAAACAAGGGAGCCCAUGUUGAUAGGUAAGCACAUGUGGUGUAAUAACCUUGUACAAAUUGUCGAAAAUCAAUUGCUCAACAAUGACAAGCAGCAAGAAUGUGCAAACAUGGGAAUCCCAACAAAAGUGUUUUGUUAAAUGUGCAAGACCCUGUUUGAAGGGUAACAUGAUAUGUGCGAGGUUUCCUAUUACUGCUUCCAACAAAGUGUCUAGUUUAACAUGAAAACGUCCCGCCACAUGAUCAUACAAAAGAACCUCAUGUGAACCCGUCUUAACAACUUUAGCUUUUAUCUUGGCAUCAAUAUGUGGAGUGAAUUCUUCACCUAAAGCGAGCCGACUUGCACCAUGCUCCCGCCUGACUGUGAAGUAACUGUUCACCCGAUAGAAAGUUAAUUGGACUAAAGCUGUUAUUGGUAAGGUACAAGCACCCUUAAGGACACAAUUAAAAACUUUAGACAUGUUAGUUAUCAUAAUCCCAUAUCUCUGCCCACCAUCAUGUGAGAGUGCCCAUUUUCCAAGAGGAAUUUGCUCCAACCAAUUUCUAGCAUCGGCAUUUAUCCGACCAAUUGUAUCCAUGUGAGAAAUAAAUUUUUUAACUUUACUCUCCAUAGCAGCCCUACACAUGAGAUCCUUUAAAGUCUUAUCUUUGAACUUGUGUUGAAGUUACUCGCUAAAUGACGCAUGCAAAAUCUAUGAUAAGCAUCUGGCUCAGUCCAUCCCGAAUAUGUGUCAUUGACAACAACUAUAAUGUCAGGAUGACGAUUAGAGAUCAGACACAAGCCUUUCCUUUGUCUCACUCCAACUCUGAUACAUGCCAAAAACCAACUCCAACUAUCUGUAUUCUCUCAUUCUAUAAUGGCAAAUGCAAGUGGAAACAAUUGGUUAUUACCAUCACAUCCUAUAGCAAUCAACAAAGUCCUUUUAUAUUUUCCAUACAAAUGUGUCCCAUCAAUACUAAGAAUUGGUCGACAGUGAGUAAACCCUUGAAUAGAUGGAGUGAAUGCCCAAAAAACACGUUGGAAAAUUUCUUCAUUUGGGUUUUUUCCAGGAACCAUUUUGGAAUACAUUAUACAUCCAGGAUUUGACUACUCCAAAGCAAGAAAGAAGCAAGACAACUCUGCAUAAGACUUGUACCAAUCACCAAAUAAUCACGUCAUUGCUUUCCUUUUUGCCUUCAUUGCUUUUUGAUAAGAAAUUUGAUAACCAAAUUGUUCGGCAACAACAACUUGAAUUGCAGCAACUGUAAUGGUCAUUUUUGCUUUCACCAAUGUUUCAAUAUACUCGGAUAUAAAGCUAGAAUCCAAUUGAGAAUGAUCUUGAUUUAUACAUGGAUCGACACAUGUAUGAGGACCUUCGUAAUUUGUGAUUCUAAACAUACUUGUAUUUUUCACUAUCAUUGCCCUUAGUCGCCAUUGACACUCUGGUGCUUUUUUACAUUUAAGAACUAACACAUUUGCAUUUGAUCUAUAAACAGUAAACUCUUGGUGCGACUUUAUGGAAAACAUCUUCACAGCAUGUUGCAAAUCUGAUUUUGAGGAAAAUAUUUGGUCAUUUGAUAACUCCCCAUCAACAUUUCCUAAAGUUGGGUUUUUCCAUGGAGUCUAAUCACUUACAACACAAUUAAUUGCCUCAUCCAUAUUUAAAAAUUGUUGUCUAGGUGGCAUAUGGUAUGAAACGGGUGCAACUAGUGAUGUGUUUUCAACCUCAAACUCAACCUCGGGAUUAUUAGACCUAUCACCAACUUCAAGGUUCACAUAUCUUGUGCUUUCACAUUCCACAACUUGUUGGACCAUCACCAAAUCAAUAUUUUCUCUUUCACAACAAUUUUCAUCAUCAUUAGGUAAAUUAAUCUCAUUUGUAUUUAUUGCAUCAUCUCUGUCAUCUUCCUCAUCUCUUUCAUUUUCGUCAUCAACAUCAGUAUCACCUGCCGACAACCAUGUCACAUGGCCCAUUUCAUUACUCAAAUGAUAGUGAUUGGGAGUUAGCUCGAUGAAUAAUUGAACUGAAGACAUUUCAUACUUUGAUGGCACCGCUAACAUACGUGCAACUGUCCGAUCAUUCCUGACCACUAAUGGUUGAAAUUUGUUAAUUUCAGUUGGAUGUCGAAAUUUCAAGACUAACUGAUACUGUCUGUCAACACCAAUGAUAUCAUAUAUCAUGUUCAACAACACCGCAAAGGUCGUAUCAAUGGGCACAUCUAUAGGCUCAAUCUCUACAUUAUUUCCAAUAUAUCUCAAAUCUGUUUCUGUCCUUAAAAUUGUUCCAUUCCAAUAACAUAACACUUCUACCGUGGAAUCAGUCAUAAUUGUCUUCAUAUAGAUAAUAACAAAUGGUUAUUAUAUAAAAAAUAAUAUUUAUUAAAAAAAAAUAAUACUUUACGGUCAAUGAUUCAUAAAAUACAAUAAUAAACCAAAUAAAUAUUGGAAUGUAACAAAGCUUCAUGUCUAAAUACCAAGUUCAACUCAAAUUAAAGUAAUUUAUAAGCAAAUAAGUAUAUAAGUAAAUAGUAAGAUGAUAUUAUGAAUUAAUAUGAUAAUAUCAAUAAAAAAAUCAUGAGUAUGUCUUUAAGAAUAAAUUUAUGUUUGAGAAUUGAAAUGAAAUUAAUAUUUUUAUAUUAAAAAUUAAAUUUUAAAAUAAAUAUAUGUUAAAUAUGUUAAUUUUUUUACAAUUAAAAAUUAUAUGUUAAAUAUAUUUUUAAAAAUAAAUAUAUGUUAAAUAUGUUUUUUUUUUAAAAAAAAAAAAUUAAAGCAUCUUGUAAAAAAAAUAAUUUCAAUAUCUCAUAAUGAUAAAAAUGCUUUCUUGGCAUUUUUUUUUAUAUUCCCUGGCAUCACACCCUACUUGAACAUCUAGACGUGUCCAAGGGCCUCACCAUUUGUAUGAUUAAAAUAUUAUUUAUUUUAAUAAUAUUUUUAUUAAAAGUAUGGGUAAUUUUGAUAUCUUUAAAAAUUAUAAUUAAAAAAAAUUAAAUUUUUGGAUAUAACCAAAUACAAAAGUCUUUUUAAAGAGAAAGUGUCUAUACUUUAAGAAUCUGUUUUUUUUUUUUUUAAGUGUUUACUCAUAAUUGAGAAGUUUUCUAAACAUGAAUUAUAAAAUAUAAGUAAUUAUUUUAUUAUCUUAUCAUAUCUUUUUUUAAUAAAUGUUUGUAUUUUCAAAAUAUAGAUAAAUUACAUUGAAAGGUAUAAGAUUUAUAUUUAAGAGUUUUAUUUAAAUAUCUUUAAAAAUUAUGUUUCUCUUUUUAACAUUCUAGAAACUUUUAUUAUCGAGAUUCAUUAACAAACACUAUCUAAUGUCAUCAAUCACCUCUAACAUAACAACAAAUAUUAUCUAAAGUCACUAAUCGCCUUUAACAUAUUGUUACUAUCAUCAAUUAUUAAGUAUUUACUUUGAUUUUUCCAAUCGAUAUAAAAAACAAACAAUAAAACAACUAUUCCAAUUCCAAAGUUUCAAAUUUCAAACCAACUAACUACCCUUUUUUGAAAUCUAAUAAUAUUGGCCUUUUUUGUACACACCCAAACCAUCAUAAUUGAAUCUCCUCCAAUUUAUUGCCUAUUGGAGCUAAUCAUAGAUUUUAGUAAUAGCAAGAAAUCCACCCUAGUCCACAAGCUAAGGAAUAAUUUUUAGAAUAUACAGAUUUUGAAUAGUGAACUCUAGUACCUCCUAACCACACAAUCAACCAUAGAUUAGGAUUCCCACAAAAUCAAAUGUGUAAUGAGAAAAAAAAAAAUCAACCAAUACGAGAACUACCUAAGAUGAAGAUACAAAUAUUCUGAAAUUUAGGUUGAGGAUAAGAAAUAAUACAAAGAAAGUGAAGCAAUGACGUGGAUGAAUUGACAAUACCUGCUAAAGAAAGGAAUUAAAUGAAAUCCUAAAUUACUCUAUAAAGUGCAUUUAUGUAAUUUUGCAGAUUUGACGUUUUUUAAUGUUAUUAGUCAAAAAUUGGUACUUGAACUGUAUUCAUAAUUUGAAAAGUUUUUUUAUUGAAAAUUUCUUCUUAAAAGAAGUGUCAAUAUUUCUAAACUUUCUAUUUUAUAAAUUAAUCUCUUUUCUCUUAAGUUUCUAGUUUGAGUCUUCAGAAUUUUGAAGUCUUUGUUAUUAGAAAUUUUAUUCGAAGGUGUUUCUAUAAAGUAGGAUGUUAAUUCUAAAAAGGGAGUUUUUGUUUUUGUUUUUUUAUUUUUUUUUUAUUUUUCAAAGAUUUAGGAGUUCUCAAAAAUGAACAAUAGUCCUAACAAGUUGCUACAUAGGUUAGGUUUGCUUUCCAUAAUUUUUUUUAGUUUUAAGGGUUCUAAAACUUCAUAAAUAAGGCUAAUGGAUGUAAAAGGGGAUGAUGAUUGAUGAUCCAAAGAUUUUUAUUUUUAUUUUUUUAUGGGUGCAACUUUUGCAAUUUUCAUGGUAGGACUUAAUUAUUUUACUUCUAAGUGAGACUCCUAGGGCCUAUGUAAGUUUGUAAGAUUGCUUCUUUAUUAUUUUUUUUUCCUAUUUUUUAUUUUAUUUUUUCCCUACUAUUAUAAUUUUAUCUUUCUUCUCCUUAAAUCUCAAAAGAUUGAAGUCCUAGUCCGCCUAUUUGAUUAUAGAAAACCAUCCUAAUGUUGUCAAAUAUCAAGCAAUCAAUUACACACAAAAUGUAAUCACAGCAUUCAAAAGAUCACCAACCAAAUCACAAAUGAAAUUUAAUGUCAAUGAAAGUACGUAUUUUCAUCUUUUGAAUGGCUCAUAAUGAUCAUGAUGAUACAAUAAGUUUCUUGAUGAACUUAACACUGUCGAAGAGUUCUAAGCAGGAUGAAAAAUAAAUAAAAAGUGAAACCAUGACUAGUUAGCAACUUAGCUUACCUCAAGUGAAUCAAGAUGUUCCAAGGUUUCAAUAGUUAUAUUUGCAAGAAUGACAGAUGAAGCUUUUGUGAACAGUCUUUGCAUGUGAAAGGCAAUUGAAUCUGGCCAAAUAGACAACAAGAAUAAAAGAAAAUUAUAUAAGUCCAUGUUGUUCAAGAAGAUGGUUGGUGUGUGCAUUACUAAAACACAAUUGGAUAUUUACUGACUCAUGUUUGUGAACUUAAAUGCUCCUUAAUAUCAAUUCAAUAUUAGAUUUAACAGUAAAAGUAUCUUCCCUGGACAACAGAAUUUAAGAAUAAAGUACUUGGCUAAUCCCAAAUAGGUGUAUUAUGUUAACAGGGAAGAAGAAUCAGAGCACCUAAUUCAUAUGAUAAAAACUUUUGUAAAGAUAUAGGAUUUAGUUAGUAAAUUGAUCUUCAUUUGAGGAAUUACUAUGAAUUUCUAUACGACGUAGCCCAAAAGGUCAUAUAAGGAAUGAUUACAGGGAGAGAGAGAGAGAGAGAGAGAGAGAGAGAAAAAGCUGGUCGUACUUCCUAAAAGUUUGAAGCAAAGGUUGCCUCUUACCAAAGUGUUCUGGUUAUUGUUUUUGGUGUUUAAAUUUAAUUGCAUUUUCUUUUGAAUUAGUCAAACCAUUCAUAUAAAAGUUAGCAAAGGGAUUCAUGCAAUUGGGCUUCAAACUAGUAACUUUUUACUUUUUCCUAUUUGCCCCUUUCAAUAUUAGCAUUAGUACUAUCAAUAUGAACAACAAUUACUGAAUUAGUUCAACAUCAGUAAUAUUAUUUGUGAGGAAGAAAUAAAUAAAAGUUGCAAACCAAUAUAACUAACUAGCAUCAUAUGCAGCAUCAUAGUAACCCCUUCCAAUCUUGAAAAUCACGGAUUUGUCAUUUUUCCCCAGAAAAUAUCAUUUUCCCCACAAAAUAUUUAUUUCCCUAGAAAUUAUUCAUUUCCCGAGAAAUUAUUAAUUUCCCCAUAAAAUUACAUUUUUCCCAGAAAAUUAUAUUUUUCCCAGAAAAUUAUAUUUUUCCCAGAAAAUUAUAUUUUCCUCAAAAAAUUUUAUUUUUCCCAGAAAAUUUCAUUUUUCCCAUAAACUUCAACAAAUGUUUGCAUCUUAAAAGGCUUUAAUCUUUGGAUCAUAACAAACCAUUUUUGCUAAAAUAGCCGUGAAGAAAAUAAUAGAGAAAACCAAAAGCAAUGGAAACAAAAAUAUUUUUCUAAAAACCAAGAUUCCGGUAUGGGAAAAAAAAUGGGAAAGUGCCAAAAACUUUACAUAAAAUAAGUCAAAUAAAAUAUUGGGACUAACCUUAAGGUUGAUGUAGCUCCAACAAUGCUCUCUCAAUGGCCCACUGGUGGGGCUAGGGUUUUGAGGGAAAAAAAAAAUCAAAGAACACCACGGGCGGGAAGAUAACUUGGUAAAGUAAAACAAAUGGUGUAAAAAAAUGGGUUUUAUGGCUUAUGUGGAUCAAAGGGGCUAUUUUGAACAAUAGUUAUAGAGAUAGCCCAGUUUUAAUAUUAAGUUUGGCCCGUGGCCCAUUUUGGCCCAAAAGUCUAUGAAAAGCCUAUGUCACAUGCAUUAGUACAUUGGAAAAGCAAUCACAAAGAUCUCAACAAAGCAACAAAGUUGGAAAGGUAGAAGCAAGGUAGAAGCACGAGCAUGUUCAACUUGUUUGCAUUUAAGCAGUUUAAAGAAUUAAGUGGUAUUUGUUUUUUUUUAUUGAAUAAAAAGACUUAAAAUAUUUUAUUUUUUUAUAUUAAAAUAAAAAUAACUUAUUAAUAUCCAUUAAUAUAAUUAAAGUGAACUUGUUAUUGAUAAAUUCACUUUAAUUAUGUUGGUUGAUAUUAACAUAUUAUUUUUAAUUGAAUAUAAAAAAUAAAAUAUUUUGAUUUUUUUAUUCAACAAAAAAAAUAAACAUCAUCUUAUAUUUUAUGAAAACGAAUUUUUUUAAUUGAAGAAAUAUGAUAAUUAUAUUUUUGAAAAUGGAUCUUUCAAAUUGAACAAGUAUGAGAGGUUCAAUAUUUUGUCAGAAUUAAAAAUAUCAGUGGAUUUUCAUCCUUGGUUGUCUUAAGGGAUUAAUUUAAAUAUAUAAAAUAACCUUGAAAUUAGUCAUGUAUUUAAUAAGAAGUCCAUCAGCAAGCCUCUGUACUCAGCCAUGGAUUGCAGCGCUGGGAUUACCCCUAUCCAAUCUCACAAACUUCUCUCAUUUCAUCUCUGCUUCAUGAUUUCCUUUUUUUUCUUCCUAAUAUUGCCUUAUGCAACCUCACUGUCUUUCAACUUCACCACCUUUAAUAUAAAUUGAAGAAUUUGAAGAAAAAUAUGAAGAAUUUGAAGACAAACUAUGGAGGAACACCUCAAUUCAUUCUGUGAUACCUUCCUUUACAAUGAAUGAAAGCAUAAAUAAAUAGCCUACAGAUAUGAGACAAUUCCGGAAUGGAAUUUCCCUUACAUGGAAAGUGAAUAAAUUCUUACAUGGGAAGUGAAUAAACUACUCUUACAUGGAAAGUGAAUAAACUACCUUGCUAGAAUUACUCCUAAGAAUAAACUCUUACAUGGGAAGUGAAUAAACUACCUUGCUAGAAUUACUCCUAAAUCAAUUAUAAUAAAGGCUGUACAUUACACUAAUUAGGGAAGUAAACAAAGGAUGCUGGCUUGAUUUCCAACACUCCCCCUCAAGCCGCGUUGUAGAUGUUGAUCAUUCCAAGUUUUUCUGUCAAAUCUUCGAAGUUAACUCGAGCAAGAGCUUUUGUGAGAAUGUCAGUCGUUUGACAGUUUGUCGGAGUGUAGCUGACUUUGAAAACUCCUUCUUCAAUCUUUUCCUUGAUAAAGUGUCGAUCUAUCUCCACGUGCUUAGUUCGAUCAUGAUGAACCGGAUUCUUAGCGAUACUGAUGGCAGCUUGAUUGUCGCAGUAUAACACCAUGGGAUGCUUUAAUGGAACCCGUAAUUCUUCUAACAGCCUGUUCAACCAGAUUCCCUCGCAGAUACCUUGUGUCAUAGCACGAAAUUCUGCCUCAGCACUGCUACGGGCUACCAUUGACUGUUUCUUGCUUCGCCAUGUAACCAAGUUCCCCCAGACAAAUGAACAAUAGCCUGAAGUUGAUCUCCGAUCAGUCAAUGAACCUGCCCAAUCUGCAUUUGAAAAAAUCUCAAUCUCUUUCUUUGUUGUUCUUUGAAAGAAGAGACCAUUUCCCGGUGUCAUCUUGAGGUAUCUCAAUAUUCUGAUCACAACAGUCAUGUGGUUUUCGGUUGGAUUAUUCAUGAAUUGACUUACCACACUAACGAAGAAGCCGAUGUCUGGCCUUGUAUGAGAAAGAUAGAUGAGUUUCCCCACAAGACGUUGAUAUCUUCCUUUAUCAACUGGCACACUUCCAUCACUUUCUUCCAGUUUGACAGUUGUAUCCAUAGGUGUUUCUGUCGGCUUGCAUCCUAGCAUUCCUGUUUCAUUCAAUAAGUCCAGAACGUAUUUGCGUUGUGAGACUGCUAUACCUUUCUUUGACCUAGCAAUCUCCAUUCCGAGAAAGUACUUGAGGUUUCCAAGAUCCUUGAUCUCAAAUUCCUUUGUCAGUAAUUUUUUAAGUAAGUCAAUUUUCUCUUCAUGAUCACCUGUCAAAAUUAUGUCGUCCACAUAUACAAUGAUAAUUGUCAGUUUCCCUUCUGGGAAGUGUUUCACAAAUAAUGUGUGAUCGGAUUGACAUUGAACAAAUCUGUACCCUUUCACUACCUUAGUGAACCGUUCAAACCAGGCCCUGGGAGAUUGUUUGAGACCAUACAAGGAUUUUCGAAGUCUGUAAACCUUGUUGAAAUUUGUUGUCGUCUCAAGUCCAGCAGGAAUGUCCAUGUAAACUUCUUCCUCUAAGUCACCAUUGAGGAAGGCAUUCUUCACAUCAAGUUGGUGAAGCGACCAAUCGAGAUUAGCUGCCAAGGAUAAAAGUACACGAACAGUAUUGAGCUUGGCAACUGGAGCAAAAGUUUCUUGAUAGUCAAUGCCAUAGGAUUGGGUGAAUCCUUUGGCGACCAACCGAGCCUUAUACCUGUCCACAUUACCAUCUGCCUUGUACUUUACUGUGAAAAUCCACUUACACCCAACUGGUUUCUUACCUCUUGGGAGGUCAGUAAUUUCCCACGUACCAUUCUUUUCCAGUGCCCGAACUUCCUCAUCGACUGCCGCCUUCCACUUAGGAUACUUGAAAGCUUCCUGAAUAUUCUGAGGAACUUGUAUCUCUGUGAUGCUAGAAGUGAAUGCACGAAACGUAGGUGAUAGCUUAUCAUAAGAAAUAAAAUUUCCAAUGGGAUGCUGAGUGCAUGAUCUAACUCCUUUCCUCUAAGCUAUGAGCAUAUUAAGAAUAUCAUUUUCUAACUCGGAAUCGACAGUACCAUCAGGAGCGUUGUUACCUGGAAGUUUGCUUGGAUUAGGACCCGGUUCUGCCUCAUGGGUUUGUUGAGAAAGUGUUCUUUCCUCCGUUUCCUCUUGGAUGUGCUCCUUAUCCCGCAAGUCAACAAUGGACUCAGGUUGAUUAAAUGACUCUGGAGGAAUGUGAUUUUCAGUGGUGAUGGGUUACUCACUGAAUGACUCAAGAUCCCAAAAUUGAUAUUCCUGAGUUGAAUUCUCCCCCUGAAUAUCGUUUUUGGGAUAGUAAGGCUGAGUUUCAAAAAAGGUGACAACCAUUGAAUUGUAGAAUUUUCUUGUGACCGGAGAGUAACACUUAUACCCUUUUUGAUUUGAAGAAUACCCAAGAAAGAUGCACUUGAGUGACCUAGGAUCAAGUUUACUUCUAUGUUGUUGAUUGAUAUGAACAAAGACAGAGCACCCGAAAAUUUUGGGUGGGACGGUGGAGAUGAGACGAGUAGUCGGAAAGGAUUUUAGGAGUGUUUGACAAGGUGUUUGGAAUUUUAGUACCCUAGACGGCAUCCUAUUGAUGAGGUAGGCUGCCGUAAGGACAGCUUGCCCCCAGAAUAAUUUUGGAACAUUCAUGGAGAACAUUAGUGAUCUAGCCACCUCUAACAAAUGCCUAUUUUUCCUUUCAGCGAUUUCGUUUUGUUGUGGGGUAUCAACACAUGAACUUAAGUGAACUAUCCCUUCUUGUGCUAGAAAUUCUCCUAGAAUGGAGUUGAAAUAAUCCCUAGCAUUAUCAGACUUUAGAAUUUGUAUUUUUGACUGGAAUUGGGUCUGAAUCAUAUUUUUAAAAUUUUUGAAAAUUUGACUCNNNNNNNNNNNNNNNNNNNNNNNNNNNNNNNNNNNNNNNNNNNNNNNNNNNNNNNNNNNNNNNNNNNNNNNNNNNNNNNNNNNNNNNNNNNNNNNNNNNNNNNNNNNNNNNNNNNNNNNNNNNNNNNNNNNNNNNNNNNNNNNNNNNNNNNNNNNNNNNNNNNNNNNNNNNNNNNNNNNNNNNNNNNNNNNNNNNNNNNNNNNNNNNNNNNNNNNNNNNNNNNNNNNNNNNNNNNNNNNNNNNNNNNNNNNNNNNNNNNNNNNNNNNNNNNNNNNNNNNNNNNNNNNNNNNNNNNNNNNNNNNNNNNNNNNNNNNNNNNNNNNNNNNNNNNNNNNNNNNNNNNNNNNNNNNNNNNNNNNNNNNNNNNNNNNNNNNNNNNNNNNNNNNNNNNNNNNNNNNNNNNNNNNNNNNNNNNNNNNNNNNNNNNNNNNNNNNNNNNNNNNNNNNNNNNNNNNNNNNNNNNNNNNNNNNNNNNNNNNNNNNNNNNNNNNNNNNNNNNNNNNNNNNNNNNNNNNNNNNNNNNNNNNNNNNNNNNNNNNNNNNNNNNNNNNNNNNNNNNNNNNNNNNNNNNNNNNNNNNNNNNNNNNNNNNNNNNNNNNNNNNNNNNNNNNNNNNNNNNNNNNNNNNNNNNNNNNNNNNNNNNNNNNNNNNNNNNNNNNNNNNNNNNNNNNNNNNNNNNNNNNNNNNNNNNNNNNNNNNNNNNNNNNNNNNNNNNNNNNNNNNNNNNNNNNNNNNNNNNNNNNNNNNNNNNNNNNNNNNNNNNNNNNNNNNNNNNNNNNNNNNNNNNNNNNNNNNNNNNNNNNNNNNNNNNNNNNNNNNNNNNNNNNNNNNNNNNNNNNNNNNNNNNNNNNNNNNNNNNNNNNNNNNNNNNNNNNNNNNNNNNNNNNNNNNNNNNNNNNNNNNNNNNNNNNNNNNNNNNNNNNNNNNNNNNNNNNNNNNNNNNNNNNNNNNNNNNNNNNNNNNNNNNNNNNNNNNNNNNNNNNNNNNNNNNNNNNNNNNNNNNNNNNNNNNNNNNNNNNNNNNNNNNNNNNNNNNNNNNNNNNNNNNNNNNNNNNNNNNNNNNNNNNNNNNNNNNNNNNNNNNNNNNNNNNNNNNNNNNNNNNNNNNNNNNNNNNNNNNNNNNNNNNNNNNNNNNNNNNNNNNNNNNNNNNNNNNNNNNNNNNNNNNNNNNNNNNNNNNNNNNNNNNNNNNNNNNNNNNNNNNNNNNNNNNNNNNNNNNNNNNNNNNNNNNNNNNNNNNNNNNNNNNNNNNNNNNNNNNNNNNNNNNNNNNNNNNNNNNNNNNNNNNNUGGUUUCUGGUGCUGCCGAAGCUCCGGUGAUGUAGUCAUCUUUCUCCUUUCCCCGUAUAAACAUUAAUAUGGACUGAGACCAUUGCAAAUAAUUUUGCCCAUUCAGUUUAUGGGCUGUGAUUGGAAGAUGAGAGGUUUCCAUCUGAUGAGAGGAUGAAGACGAUGAGAUGAUGAUAUCAAAGUAGAGGAUGAUGAGUUGGUAGCCAUUCUAAAGGCUGGACCGUAUUUAGGCAUAAAUUAGAAGAAUAGAAUUGAGUAAAAAAAAACUGACUAAAGAUGAAGACGAUGAGACAGGAUUAAACCUUCUUUGAUACCAUGAAGAAUUUGAAGAAAAAUAUGAAGAAUUUGAAGACAAACUAUGGAGGAACACCUCAAUUCAUUCUGUGAUACCUUCCUUUACAAUGAAUGAAAGCAUAAAUAAAUAGCCUACAGAUAUGAGACAAUUCCGGAAUGGAAUUUCCCUUACAUGGAAAGUGAAUAAACUCUUACAUGGGAAGUGAAUAAACUACUCUUACAUGGAAAGUGAAUAAGCUACCUUGCUAGAAUUACUCCUAAGAAUAAACUCUUACAUGGGAAGUGAAUAAACUACCUUGUUAGAAUUACUCCUAAAUCAAUUAUAAUAAAGGCUGUACAUUACACUAAUUAGGGAAGUAAACAAAGGAUGCUGGCUUGAUUUCCAACAUAAAUAAUCAUCAAGUUUACUUUGAAGGAGAUGCUCAACCUUCCUCAGGUGGAGGCAUCCAACUGACCAGAAACGAGCAGGGUAAAGGAAUGGAUUAUAGUUGGGGUCGAGCCAUCUAUGGUGAGCAGUUGUAUCUCUGGGAUCCUAACUCCAGAAAUCUAACUGAUUUAACUACCAACUUCUCCUUUGUCAUUGAUUCACUUAACAGCAGUUCAUAUGCUGAUGGCCUCACCUUCUUCCUUAACGACACCCAAUUGCCUUCACGUGUGUGGGGAGAAAACAUCGGUCUCACGGAGUUUAACGUGACAAAUACAACUGCAAUUCAUUUUGUCGUAGUGGAGUUUGAUACAUUUUCGAACACGGGAAAAAGGGAUCCGGUGAGUGAUCAUGUUGGAAUUGAUAUUAACUCCAUGAUAUCUGUCAAAACAGUGAACUGGUCCAGCAAUAUAAAGGAAGGAAAGCUAAAUCAUGUUUCCAUCUGUUAUACUUCUAGUUCACAAAAUCUGAGUGUUGUUCUAAUCACUGAGUUUAUGGGCGAUCGAACUACCUCCCAAAGCCUCUACUACAAAGUUGAUCUGAGAGAAUACUUGCCAGAAUUCGUUAAUAUUGGCUUCUCAGGAGCAACAGGAAGAGCAUUCCAGAAAAACAACAUUCACUCAUGGAAUUUCAGUUCAACUUUGCAACCUCCUAGUCCUGUAGAACCAGGAGAUGGAAAGAAUGGAAAGAAAACAGGAUUUGUGGUGGGAUUGAGUGUUUGUGCAGUUGUUGUAGUAUGUGGGUUGGGAUUGGUUUGGCAUCACUUGCGGAAGAAGAGGAAUAGUGGGGGAGAAGAUGAUACUGACUCUGACCCAACCAUGGACGAAGACUUUGAAAAGGGUAUUGGACUUGGGAAAUUUUCCUUCCAAGAAUUGGCUCUUGCAACCAGUAACUUUGCAGAGGAGGAAAAGCUUGGAGAGGGAGGGUUCGGUGGGGUCUAUAGAGGCUUCUUAAGGAAACUGAACUCUUACGUUGUAAUUAAGAGAGUAUCAAGGGGGUCCAUGAUUACUACUCAAAAAGUGCUAUUUGAUAGCCUUUAAUUAAUCCUUUUUAACACUUUUGAGUAGUAGUUUAGGCCUUUUAACUCAAUUGACAUGUUAAGGAUCCUUUAAAGCAAUUUUGAUCACUUUGUGUAAGUUUUGGUGUUUUUGUUAGUAUUUUGAUCACCAAAGCAAGUCAAGAAUGAGGAGAGCUAUGAGGAAUCUUGGGCAAAGUUUAGAAUUCAAUUGCCAAGAGUGAAUCCGGAUUGCAAGGAGAAAAAGCAAAGAGAAUCUGUCAUGAAGCCUAUUCUUGAUGACAGUCGUAGCAGCCACUUUUGGAGCACUUUCUGAAGUCUAAAUGAUGCAAGCUAUAUACCAUUUCAAAGCUCAGGAAGUCAACAAUCCAAUGCUUCAAACGGUGCGCGAUUUGGAGUUGAAACGAAGAAGUUGCAGCCAUUACAAGCCAGUCACUCUGAAGUGCUGCGGAAUCAACCUUUUGUUGCGAGAAUUUCGCAACACUUUUGUACAGUAAGGUGUUUCUCCUUCUGACGAUGCACGAACCAUGCCGCGAGAGGGAAGCUAGAAACUUCAAGAUGGAAGCCAACUUUGCAGCCUGGUGAAGAUAGCUCGGUCUUGCGAAAUAAUUUCGCAGCCCUCUUGGGUGUCUGCGAAAUUUCGCAGACACCACUUUUCUCCUGCGAAAUGGCUCCUGAAGCCUCCCGAAGCUUGCUACCGACAUUGGGAGAUAUUUUCCAUUAGAUUUUUGUUGUCUAAAUCCCAAAAUACUCCUUGUAAACCACCAAUUACAUGAUUCCUUAGUUUUUAAGUUAGUAAAAAGACCAAAUAUCUUUGUAACAAUUAGUUUUAUAUUUUGUUGAUAUAAAUACCUCUCGGGAGCCUGUUCUCGGGGAGGAGUUCCUUCUGUAACCUUUUGGUAAGCAAGUAAAGUAUUUUCUUUCUACUGCCUUACCUUCUCACUUUGUAUUUUCAUUUUAUUUCUAAGUUAUGAAUUCUUUGAGGAGUUUUCCCCAGAGAAUGAGUAACUAAACCUCCAAUUCCUUGGAGCUAAGGUUGCCGGGGAAGGUUCCAAGUGCAAAAAUGCAAAACUCUGUGGUUUUAGCUAAUAAUGAAGAGGAAGUGAAAUCCUUUAGUGAUUUCAAUGUUUUUAGUUAACUUAAAACACUUUGGAGUCACCUAGGCCAACACUUGGUAAGGCAAGUGAUUUCCAACCGUGGAAAUGCACUAGUUUACCCCUUGCGAGCCUCUGGUAGGUGACUUCAAGGUAGGAUUUUCUGGAAUUACCAACACUUGGUAAGCUUUUGGACUCCUAGGAGACAUCCAUUAGUUAUCUCUUGCGAGUUUGUGAAGGGAAGUCCAAGGUUAAAGAUCACCUUGAAUGGUAAGUGCUCGUGAGAGGCAUGAACCAUUGCAAGUUGUAUCAGUGAGAGAAUUAAAGUGAAAUCUAAUUGAAGGAGUCUCUGUACAUCACCGGUUAGAGAAUUGACUAUAAGUUGAAUCUCUAAUGCGAGGAAAUGAACCAUCUGACCGGAGCUAUGUCUUUUGCAUGAGGAACCACCCCAGUGAACCUAAAUCUCCAAGGAAUGCUUUUCUUCCUAAAUUAUUCCAAACUUCUGUUAAGUUAGUUAGUUUAAGUCUCAACCUUUACCAAUCAAAGUUUGUGUUUUAUUUCUUAAACUAACCGUGAAAUGAAACAAAACCAAUUCACUUGGAAUUGGUAUCCUUGAUUGCUUGCAAAUCAUUCCCAGUGAACGAUCCUUAGAGCCACUAUACUAUAGUAGCUUUGUAUUUGCUACCCUAGUGUAUGGUGUUAUAGGUAUAAAUUUUGUUGAUCACUUCCUCAAUCAAGGAGCACCAGCUGAACACAAAUCAGCUGAGACACCAAUUGGGCAUGAGUCAGUCCAAACAAGGGAUGAAGGAGUAUGCAUUUGAAGUGAAGAUCAUCAGUCCAUUGAGGCAUCAGAACUUGGUGCAGCUCAUGGGCUGGUGCCAUAACAAAAGAGAGCUCGUAUUGGUUUGUGAGCUCAUUCCAAAUGGCAACUUAAGCUCCUGUCUUUUGGAAGAAAAAACCCUGCUAACAUGGGCAAUGAGGUAUAAAAUUGCUCUUGGCUUGGCCUCUUCGUUGCUCUACCUACAUGAAGAAUGGGAACAAUGUGUGGCACAUAGGGAUAUCAAAUCGAGUAAUGUGAUGUUGGACUCAGAUUUCAAUGCCAAGCUUGGAGAUUUUGGACUAGCCAGGCUUGUUGAUCAUGGGAAAGGGUCACAAACCACAGUUUUAGCUGGAACAUGGGAUACAUGGCUCCUGAAUGUCUCAUGACAGGCAAGGCCAAUAAGGAAACUGAUGUCUAUACUUUUGGGAUUGUUGCCUUAGAAAUCUGCUGUGGGAGAAGUCCUGUGGAACCAAUAGCUAAAGAGAAGCAGAUCAGAUUGGUGGAAUGGGUCUGGGACCUCUAUGGAUUAGGAAAGCUUUUCGAUGACGCUGAUCUAAGACUAUCCAAUGAUUUUGAUGAAUAACAAAUGGAACGAUUGAUGAUUUUUGGGCUUUGGUGUGCUCACCCAGAUUGCGAUCUUCGACCUUCAAUAAGGCAAGCAAUUAAUGUCCUUAAUUUGGAAGCUUCACUACCAAGGCUUCCUUUAAAAAUGUUUGUGCCAAUGUAUUAUUCUCCUCUAGUGCUACAAACAAUAUCGGGUGGCGCCACCAUCUCUGAGAGCAGCCACACCCAGUUUUCCGACUUCUCAAACAACACAACCUCAUCAUCAAAGCUCUUUGAAUCUCCUAGUUCAGCCUCUACUCCAUCUGUAUCCCUUUUGCACUGUCAUGUGAAGUAAUUUUAAUUAAUUUAUUUAAAGAUAUUUUGGUUUAUUGAGUUAGUUCAAAUAACCAGUAGUGGUGGGCUAGAGAGUGGAUAACGUGAGCUAUUCUUUAGCUAGCUAUUGUUUAGUAAUUGUUGUUGUUUAAUCUCUAAUUUGUUGAGUUUGUUAAGUUAUAAAUUUCCUUAGUCUUGAGCAAUAAAAUCAUUAGAUGAAAAUUUUCCAAAAACAUGUCUUUGUUUUCUACUUUCCAAAUUCUUUCAAUUCUGCUCAUAUUUUGUCUUAGCAACAUAGCUCGAGGGCGAGGGAGGGGACGGGAUCAUGCCAUUAACUUAGAACAUGACAAAGUGGUAUCAGAGCUAGUUAUGGCUGACGAUCAACGACUCCAAAGGCAUGAAAAUCAGGUUGAGAACCUGAGUUCAGGUCGAGAACCUGAGUUCAGGUCAAGAAAGGCUCCUUAAGCAAAUGGAAGAACCAGUAGGGGCAAUGAACUCCCUAUUCAACUUGCCAGAAGAAGGGUCCAUCAAUAGGAAUUAGGGACCACAUGGACAGGGUGGUGCUGGGUAUGCAGGUGGACUAGUGGUUCCUAAGCUUGCAAAGCUUGAUUUUCCUUGCUAUGAUGGCUCGGAAGAUCCAACUCUAUGGAUUUGCCGCGCAGAACAAGUCUUUGAAUUUCAAGGGACAUCAUUGGAAGAUCAAGUCAAAUUAGCAACCUAUCACUUGGAAAAAGAUGCUCAAUUGUGGUACCAACAAUGGAAAAAUCAAGGUCACUUGGUUACUUGGAUGGAAUGAAGGCGGGAUUGCUAGAGAGGUUUGUUGUAACUGAAUAUGAAGAUUCCUUUGGAGACUUAUGCAAGCUUAAGCAGACAGGAACUAUUUUCGACUAUCAAACUCAAUUUGAAAGGCUUCUAGCAUGGGCCGACACUUUAACAAAUAGACAAGAAGCUGAGUGUUUCAUUAGUGGAUUGAACGAUGGGCUAAGGAUGAUGUAAGAGUCCAAAACCCUCAAAAUUUGUCUACUACAAUUAGGUUAGCAUGUACUUAUGAACUCAAAGCCCAAGAAGUGAGGCGCCCAACCAAUUCUCCUCUUUAGUUCGCAACUCCAACAACCAACGGAACACCUUAACCCCUAGUGGUGCGAAAGGCACCAAUCCAGAGAGAAUUUUACCAAUCCAUAAAUUAUCUUCAACCGAACUCUAAAGGCGCCGAUAGCAAGGGUUGUGCUACAACUGUGAUGAAAACUAUACAAUGGGUCAUAUAUGCAAGAAAUCGUUCUUCAUUAAACUAGAAGAAGAGAAUGAAGAAGCCAUAGAAGAAGACUAUGUAGAAGAGACACUAGUUAUCUCUUUACAUGCCUUGGCUAGAGUCAAUCUCCACAAACUAUGCGGAUCCACUCACAGAUGGGUAAGACUUCACUGACAAUUUUAAUUGAUUCUGGUUCCACUCAUAAUUUUUUGCAUCACAAAUUUGCCAAAAUCAUCGGACUUAAGUUGGAAAGGAGCUGUUUGUUUAGCUUGGUGGUUGCCAAUGAGGAGAGGUUGUCAAGUCCUGGGCGUUGUAAUGGAGUAAAAUUAUCCUUGCAAGGCAUCCCAAUUGAGGUAGAUUUUUUCUUACUUCCUUCAGAAGGUUGUGAUGUUAUUCUAGGAGUACAACAGUUAGGUACUCUUGGUCCAAUUUUGUGGGAUUUUGGAAGAAUGCAAAUGCAAUUCACUAUAGCUGGGUGAAAGGUGUUGCUACAAGGUUCAACCUCCUCAGAACUUCGGGCUCUUGAAUGUGAUACUAUUUUUAGAACAUUGAGGCAAAGUGAUGGUAGGGGAAUUAUCUUAUAGCUUUGUGCAAUCCGACAUGAGCCUACAAAUCAUAAGGAGUUACUAUCGGAUGCAAUGGCGCCAUUGCUCAUUGAGUUCAGUGAAUUGUUUAAAGCACCUACGAGAUUACCACAUCCACGCUCUCAUGACCACAGGAUUCCCCUCCAGCCAAGAGCAAGUCCAAUUUGAGUACACCCUUAUCAAUACAUGCAUUUUCAAAAACAAGAGAUUGAAUGGUUGGUGGAGGAGAUGUUAUCAUAGGGUAUAAUUCGUCCUAACCAAAGCCCAUUUUCCUCUCCGGUACUUUUGGUGUGAAAACAUGAUGGGAGUUGGAGGUUUUAUGUGGACUAUUGAGCGCUAAGCUGGGUUACGAUCAAAGAUAAGUUUCCAAUUCCGGUUAUAGAUGAAUUGUUAGAUGAGAUACAUGGUGCCAAAUGCUUCACCAAAUUGGAUCGUAGAUCUAGUUAUUUUCAAAUUCUUCACCAAACAGCCUUCUGAACUCACCACGGGCACUUUGAAUUUUUGGUAAUGCCUUUCGGCCCCUCUAACACCCCAUCUACAUUUCAAUCACUCAUGAAUGAGAUUUUUAAGGCUCAUCUAAGAAAAUUCAUUUUUGUAUUCUUUGAUGACAUUCUAAUUUAUAGUAGCACAUGGGUUGAACAUUUGAAACAUGUUAGAAUUGCAUUUUCCAUCUCAUCAUCUUGUAGUCAAGAAAGAAAAAUGUCAGUUUGGGCAUACACAAAUCAAAUAUUUGGGGCAUAUCAUUUGUCAAAAUGGUGUGAAUGUGGAUCUAGAAAAAAUAAAGGCAAUGAUGGAAUGGCCAAAACCAACAAUUAUCAAAGCUUUGAGGGGUUUUUUAGGACUAACGGGUUAUUAUCAAAAGUUUAUUGUAGGUUAUGGCAAAAUUGCAGCUCCUUUGGCUGACAUGUUGCGAAAAAAUGUUUUUUCUUAGUCUCAAAAAGCGGAAGAAGCAUUUGAAUUAUUGAAACAAACCAUGAUAUAGGCUCCAGUUUUAGCCUUGCUAAAUUUCCAGCUCUUAUUUUUGGUGGAAUGUGAUACAUCGGGGAAUGGAUUAGGAGUUGUUCUAAUGCAAGAACAAAGACCUAUUGCUUAUUUCAGCACUGUCUUGAAGGAAAAACACCUUUUGUUGUCCACUUAUGAAAAAGAACAUAUGACACUUGUUCUUGUGGUAAAAAAAAUGGCGACCUUACUUGCUUGGCCGUCAUUUUAUGGUCCGAAUUGACCAAUGCAACCUCAAAUUUAUUUGGGAGCAAGGAAUAAUGAUUGAACUGCAACAAAAAUGGUUGCUCAAAUUAAUGGGUUAUGACUUCUCCAUCGAAUUCAAGAGGGGUAAGAAUAAUAUGGCAACAGAUGCUUUAUCAAGAAAGGACACACAAGGGGAAUUCAAUGCAGUCUCUAGUCUCCUACCCCAAUGGUUGGAAUCCAUUAAGGUUGAGAAUCAAUCACACCUGGAGCUGCAACAAAUUCAUCACUUGCAUGAGCAAGGAGAGACUAUUGGACCAUGGGAAAAUCGAAAUGGCAUAAUAUUCUUUAAGAAACAUAUCUAACUUCCAUCUAACUCAAAACUCAUCCCAAUCAUUCUCCAAGAAAUUCAUGGCAUUGGGAAUGAGGGUCUUUACAAAAAUCUUCAUCGAGUGAAGGAGGUAUUUUAUUGGAGGAAAUGAGGAAGGUUACACUAGAUUACAUCAAGUAAUGUGAUGUUUGUCAAAGCCAUAAGAUAGAUCACCAAAAGCCAACAGGUCUUCCCCAACCAUUGCCUAUUCCUACAUAGGUAUGGGCAGACAUCUCUAUGGAUUUUAUUGAUGGCCUACCCCCUUAUAAGGGGAAGACAAUACUCCUUGUGGUGGUGGAUCGAUUUUCCAAAUAUGCACAUUUUAUUCCAAUGUCUCACCUUUACAUUGCACCAAAAGUGGCUCAAACAUUCUUUGAAAAUGUGUUUAAACUCCAUGGCAUGCCAAGUUCAAUAGUAUGUGAUUGGGACUCUACUUUUAUAAGUGCUUUUUGGAAAGAGCUUUUCAAAUUGCAGGGCACUAGCUUCAAUUUCAGCUCAUCUUACCACCCCCAAACAGAUGGCCAAACUGAAGCAGUGAAUUGGGCUCUUGAGAUGUACCUGUGUUGUUUUACUAGUUCAAGACCAAAGGAGUGGGUUCAAUGGGUUCCUUGGGCUGAAUUCUAUUACAACACCAAUCUAAAAGCUUCUACUCGCAAAACUCUCUUCAAAGUGGUGUAUGAAAAAGAGCCCCCCAACUUGCUUCCUAUUUUCCUAGUACAUCAAAAGUUGAAGUUGUAGAUAACAUGCUCCAAGUAAGAGAUAAAGUUGUAAAAGACUUAAGAUGUCAGCUCCAAUAAGCACAAGCUAGAAUGAAGACCCCUUAUGACCAAGGGAGAGUUGAGAGAGAAUUUGUUGUUGGUAAUUGGGUAUAUCUACGGCUACAACCUUAUCGACAAACUUCGUUGGCUUUGAGACAGUCACAUAAACUCUUCCCGCGAUUUUAUGGGCUAUACCAUGUGCUAGAACGAAUUGGUUCGGUGGCUUAUUGACUUGAUCGGGACCAGGAAGUAAGAUUCAUCUAAUUUUCCAUGUGUUGACCCUAAAAAAAUGGUAAGGUACAACUGAUAAAAUUGAUUAUCCUUUUCCAUUAGUAUCAGAAACAUUAGGUCACUUGCAACCUCAGCCUAUAGUAGUUCUAAAUUCUCUCAGCAAUGGGCAUAAACAUGAACUACUUUAUUUAGUGGCAGAGGCUCCUAACAACAGAUCCUACUUGGAAGGAUGAGUACCAACUUCGAAACAAAUUUCCAGACUUUGUGUGUCCUUGAGGACAAGGACGAUUCCAAGGAGGGAGGAAAUGUCAUGUGCAACAAUUUUAAUUUAUUUAUUUCAAAUAUUUUGGUUUAUUGAGUUAGUUCAAAUAACUAGCAGUAGUAGGGCUAGAGAGUGGUUAACAUGAGUUAUUCUUUAACUAGCUAUUUUUUAAUAAUUGUUGUUGUUUAAUCUCUAAGUUGUUGAGUUUGUUAAGUUAUAAAUUUCCUUAUUCUUGAGCAAUAAAAUCAUUAGAUAAAAAAUUUCCAAAAACUUGUCUUUGUUUUCUGAUUUCCAAAUUCUUUCAAUUCUGUUCAUAUUUUGUCUUAGUUACAUAGCUCGAGGGCAAGAUAGGGGACAAGGGAGGGGAUGGGAUUAUGCCAUUAACUUAGAAUGUGACAUGCACACAUGCUAAUUGGGUUGGAAACAUCGCCUCUAUGCUUUUGAAUUUGUAAUAUAUUUGCAAUUGUGGUCAUAUAUGAUUCCAGUUCUCUAUUUAUUUGACAUCUUGUUCAACUUUGUUAUAUACAUAAAGAAAAUCAUUUUAAGCAAUUUUUUAGGAUAUGAAAUUAAGUCUAUACUCAAGGAGGAAAAAAUCGGCGAAAUAUCGCCGAUAUAUCUCGUGUCGACGGGUGGCGACAUGACAAAUGGAGGAGAUAAGUCGGCUGGGCGAUUUUUCGCCAAAAAUCGCCAAAAAAAUCGGCGAUAAAUCGCCGAUAUAUCGACGACAUAGGAUAAAUCGGCGAUUUAUCGCCGAUUUUUUGGCGAAAAAUCGCCCCUCUCUCUCCAGUGUGAUCUGACGGCCCAGAUCACGCCCGUGUUGAUCCAACGCCCAGAUUUGAAUCCCAACAUUAACAAAGAGAUCCAACGGCCAGAUUGCUUCCAAAUUGUGAUCCAACGGCCAAAAUUAAUUUUAAACGGUAACUUAAGGUUCCAACGGCUAUUUUGGCCCAAAUUUCAUCUAUAAAUAGCCAAUUUUGCAUCAAUUUCAUCCAUCUUUGCUUUGAUUCUUCAUUUGCUCUCUUACUACUCCAAUUUUUUCCAAGAUUGCUCAAUUAUUCAAUCAUUUUAAGGUAUGUUUGUUUGAAAUUAUAAUUAAUUUUGUUUGCAAUAAUUAAUUCAUGUAUUUUUAAUUAAUUAGUAUGUUUACAUUCAAUUGUAAUUAUUUUGUAUAUUUUUAUUGAAUUAAUUUAGGUUAUGAUAUAUUUAUUUUAGAUGAUUAUUUGUGAUUUAAAUUCGUAUUUAGAAUUACAUUAAACUAAUUAACUUAGCUAAAUUGUUUAAUUAAUUUAAUUAACAUAGUAAAUUAUGUAAUUAAUUUAAUUAACAUGGUUAAAUAUGCUCAAUUUUUUAUAUUGUCGCGAUUUUUUUUUCAUAUUCAAUUAUGAUUAAUUUCAAUAUUUAGUAAAUUUGUCAUAAAAUUACAUUUAGAUUUUAAAAAUUAACUUAGGUAAUUUAUUUAAUUAGUUUAAUUAACAUGAACUACUAUAUAUGGAAUAUUAAAUAUGCUCAAUUUUUUAUAUUAUCGCGAUUUUUUUUCAUAUUCAAUUAUGAUUAAUUUCAAUAUUUAGUAAAUUUGUCAUAAAAUUACAUUUAGAUUUUAAAAAUUAACUUAGGUAAUUUAUUUAAUUAGCUAAAUUAACAUGAACUACUAUAUAUGGAAUAUUAAAUAUGCUCAAUUUUUUAUAUUAUCGCGAUUUAUUUUCAUAUUCAAUUAUAAUUAAUUUCAAUAUUUAGUAAAUUUGUCAUAAAAUUACAUUUAGAUUUUAAAAAUUAACUUAGGUAAUUUAUUUAAUUAGCUAAAUUAACAUGAACUACUAUAUAUGGAAUAUUAAAUAUGCUCAAUUUUUUAUAUUAUCGCGAUUUAUUUUCAUAUUCAAUUAUAAUUAAUUUCAAUAUUUAGUAAAUUUGUCAUAAAAUUACAUUUAGAUUUUAAAAAUUAACUUAGGUAAUUUAUUUAAUUAGCUAAAUUAACAUGAAAUACUAUAUAUGGAAUAUUAAAUAUGCUCAAUUUUUUAUAUUAUCGCGAUUUAUUUUCAUAUUCAAUUAUGAUUAAUUUCAAUAUUUAGUAAAUUUGUCAUAAAAUUACAUUUAGAUUUUAAAAAUUAACUUAGGUAAUUUAUUUAAUUUGUUUAAUUAACAUAGAUUUAAAUUUAAGCGUAUUUUUCUUGCAAUAGAUUUAGCAUGGCUAGUGAAGGUGGUUUUGCCGUGCCAGGGCGAGAUCCGGCUUGGAAGUAUUGUUUACAAAUUGAGGGUAAUCGAAAUGGAACAAUUUGUAAUUUUUGUGGGUUGGUAAUGAAAAGUGGAGGCAUCACACGAUUCAAGUCUCAUUUAAUGCAUAAGGACCCGCAUAACAACACCAAAAAGUGUCCAAGAGUACCGCCCGAAGUGAAAGAAGAGAUACGAUUGUUGGUGCAUGACAAACAAAAAGCAAAAGCAAAGAAAAAUGCUGAUAUUGAAGAAAUUUGUAGUCAAUUACGUGGCACAAUGGGGACGCAUCAUACACAUUUGGUAAACGAAGAUGAUGAUGAUGAAUAUGCUGAGGAUGAAGAUGUGUAUAUGUAUCCGACAGAUAUGCACCCAGAUGAGCGAGAUGCAUAUCGAUCUACAGUUCGUGCCUCGAAAGCAUCUAAUUGGGAACGUGAACAACAUGAGAAUAUUGUAGGAAGCAAACGCAAAUCGGGAGAGUCUUCUACUGGUAUACCAUCGACGAUGCGAAAAUCACAGAGUAUGUGACAUUCACAUGAUUCACCCCCUAUUGCCCCUUCGCUUUACAAGUCUUCUGCAGCAAAACAAAAAAAUAUCAAAGAUAUAUUCAAGGGUGGUGCAAUUAAAGAAACGAUGGGACGCUUAAUCAGCAAAUUCUUCAUUUAUGAGAGUGUCGCACCCGCAAAAGCAAAGUCUCAUCACUUCAAGAAUAUGAUUAUUGGUGCACAACAAGCAGGUAAUUACUAAUUUAUCAAAUGUUAUAUUGUGUUAUACUUUUAGUAAGUAUAGUAUUUUGUGACAUGUUUUACAUAUGAAGUGCAGGAAUGAGAAUUGAACCUCCAUCUCCAUAUGAAAUGAAGAACAAAUACUUGGAAAUGGAGUACAAAGAAAUGGAAGCUUAUGUGAACCAACAAAGGGAAAAAUGGAAGACAUAUGGGUGCACAAUAAUGUCAGAUGGAUGGACAGGGCCCACGAAAUUAAGUAUUAUUAAUUUCAUGGUUUAUUCUAAAGGGACCAUGGUGUUCCUUAAGUCAGUCGAUGCAUCGAACUAUAUCAAAGACCACAAGUAUAUAUAUGAGCUUUUGAAGACUAUUAUCAAAGAAGUCGGUAAGGAAAAUGUGGUCCAAAUUUUCACAGAUAAUGGGUCGGCAUUCAUGAAAGCAGGGAAACAAUUGAUGAAGAAGUAUAACUUAUAUUGGACUCCGUGUGCGGCACACUGCAUCGACUUAAUCUUUGAAGACAUCGGUAAAAGACCCAAUGUUAUCGAGGUGAUAAACAAUGCUCGCAAGAUAACUAACUUCAUUUACAAUCAUGGUUGGUUACUAGCACAAAUGAGAAAGUAUUGUGGUGGAGACAUUGUUCGACCAGGAGCUACAAGGUUUGCUACCAAUUAUAUUGCUCUUGACAGUCUUCUAAAAAAAAGGGCUGAUUUGAAAAAAUUGUUUAUGAGUGAUGAAUGGGCACAACACAAACUCAGUCGAACAAAACUUGGAUGAGAAUUGGAGCAAUUAUUGUUUGACCAUACGUAUUGGGACAGAUUGACAAAUAUAGUUUCAUUAUAUGAGUCAUUAUACGUGGUGCUUCGACUUGUGGAUUCUGAAGUUGUUCCCACAAUGCCAUUUGUGUACGAGCUUAUGCACGUGAUGAAAGAGAACCUUAUUCGUCAAGGAGCUGGAGAUUGGAUGUUCAAAAUAAUACAAGAUCGUUGGCAGAAAACACUAAAACAUCCACUUCAUGCAGCAGGUACUUAAAUACUAUAUAUCUUUAUAAGUUUUUACUUUGUAUUUAAGUUUCUUUUUUUUUAAAAAUACUAACUCUACUAAAUUUUAUGGUAGCAUACUUCUUGAAUCCAAGAUUUCAAUAUAGGCGUGGAGUUGGUAGUGAUCCGGAACUACUUCAAGUUGUCCAUGAUGUUUUUGCGAAAUUAGAUCCAACUACUGAAUCGCUUGGUCAAUUUGGAAAUGAGGUGAAUAAAAAAUUGUUAUUUUUGUCAAUAAAACAAUAAUUUCAUUCAUCAAUUUAUUUGAACGUUUACUAACAAAUUAAAUGUUGAAUACAUAGCUUGUACUUUUUCGAGAUGCAAAAAGAGGAUUCGGUGAUCGAGCGGCAAUUGCAUCAAGGUCAACCAUGGUGCCCGGUGAGUCUUUAUAGGAAAAAUUUGAUUAUUAUUAUUGUAAGUUCACCACAUAAGUAUUUAUAUGAUUAUCAAAUUCGUUGCAGCUGAAUGGUGGUUUAUGUAUGGGAAUCAAACACCUACAUUGAGAAAGUUAGCCAUCAAAGUUCUCUCACAAACUGCGUCAUCUUCUGCAUGUGAGAGAAAUUGGAGCACGUUUGCUCUCAUCCACACAAAGCAACGAAAUCGUUUGGCUUACUCUUGAUUGGAGCAAUUAGUGUUUUGUUACUAUAAUAUGAGGCUAAAGUUACGCGAUAUGGAGGCAGAAAAUGAUCGAGUUGCUGAAAAAGAUUACCUUGAUCUUCUUGACAUUUUAGCCGAGGUGGGUGAAGAAGAAGAUAAUCAGUUGUUCCAGUGGGUUAGGCCUAUACACUUGGAUGACGAAGUUGGAAAUCCUGAUCCAUGAAUUGCCGCUCAUGCUCGAGAAUUUGGAGUUAAUGUUGAACGUGUGUUGUCCGAAGAAGUUCACUCUGAAAGUUUUAGCAAAGAUACUGAUGAUUCCCUUCAUGCGACAUAUUCCCACCAAGAGAUUGACUCCACAAGUGCUGGCCAUAGUAGUAGACCUAGUGCUGCAGGUACUUCUGCUUCUGGUUACGAUGGUUCAAGAGGUGGAACUGAUGAUGGCGGUGAUAAUGGGGGAGGAGAUAUUGAUGAACGUCGACAUAGUCAAUAUCCAAUCAACCAAUUUACUUGUGAAAAUGAUUUCACACACUGCACACAGGAUGAAGACCAUGGCUCUAGAAGAGCUGGUCCAGGCAUAGGAGCUAUUGGGAGGCCUUAUAGAGGAAGAGAACGAAUGAUGGAACCAUAUAACGAGGAGUUACUUUCAGGGAGUUUUGAAUUUAUGAGUAUAGGGACUCAAUUUAGUGACUCCUCGAAUGAGGCUAACGUCUACCCUCCUCAUGUGAUGAGUUAUGGUCAACCUUCAAGUUCAACAGAUGAAGAGUAUGGUAUGUCGUAUUAUUCCCCUUCCAGACAAAUGCCAUACCAAAUUCCAUAUCAGAUGGAAGAAGGAUUUGGCGUUAACACAUGGGUGAACUUUGAGUAUCCUAUCCAUGUAGAAGCAGUAGGCAGGACUCAAGAGAUAUAUGCAUGGCAUGUUAGAAUUUAUAACCAAUAUUAUCGAGGCUCAUUGACUUGGUACCAAUAUUGUCUCCAACAGCAAGCCGGGGUUCCUUCAUCUAUCAAUCCCAUUGAACCACAUCGAAACUCAUUUUGGUACUAAAGGGACAUUGCAAUGUAAUGUGUACAAAUUAUUGUUAUUUAAUGAAAUGAAGUAUUUGAUGUGACUUUAUAAUGAGAACAAUUAUGAAAUUAACAUUUCUUAUAGAUCGACAUGAUAUAAUUACAUCUAAUAUCGCAAAUUAUAUCAUAUAUAUAUCAAAUUUUUCAAUAAAACAAUUUUAAAAUGUCUAUUAUACUUCUAAUUAUAUUAUUAUGAGGUUUUUCUUGCAUUUCCAUGAGUUUUUAACAAUUUUAAGCCUACCAAUAAUAUCCACCGAUAUAUCUCCGAUAUAUCCAAAAAUAUCUCCGAUAUAUCCGAUAUAUCUUUAAAAUCGAAUUACCGAUAUAUCCGUGAUUACCGAUAUUUUCAUCCUUGUCUAUACUAAUUUUGCAUGGUUGGAAAUGAUUGGUUAACUUAUCUGAAUUUGAUGAAUUGUGCUUUAAAUUGGUAGCAUAAGAAACUUGAUUCAUUAAGACUCCAGCUUGAUUACAUAUAUAACAGACUUUAAAUUUCCAAAGAGUUUAAAUGGCUUAUAUGAAAUAGGUAGGAACAAUAUAAUGCUAGUGCAAGCUUGUUUUCAUGAUCUGCUGUUCACUGCAUGUUAGCAUAUAUAUAUAUAUAUACUCAAGGUCUUCCAUUCCACUAACCUAAGAGAUGCCAAGAAAUCUCUAUUUGAAGUUCUUUUCAAAGGACUUAAUCACUCACCAUUUAAAGGAAUUGCUCACCAUGUGUCGAAAAAAUAAAAAAUAAAUAAACAAGAAAUCUCUAGUUGAAGCUUUAUCAUUGGAUGAAUUGCUCUUCAUUUGUUAAAAAAAUAACAAUAAAAAUAAAAUGUAAGUAAAAAAUAAAGCCUUGUCUGGAGUUUUUCUCUUUGGAAGGAUUUCUCAACAAUUGGGAAAUGUAGACAACGAAUAAGAAAACAUACUUUGAUGUUUAUUUGCUGCUAAUGAAAGCAACUCAGGGGAUGUUAUUAGGGCUUAGCAUAUGGAGUGAUUGACCAUUGUGAAUAGAUGUGCUAGAGUCUAACAGACUUAAUUUGAUGCUUGACAUGGUGGUCAUUUUGCAUUCGUCCUAAGGUUGAGCCUCGACUGAUGGGUUGAUGUGGACAUGUAGAGAACCUUUUUUGUACUAGGCUCAUUGUUUGCCUUGAUGGAACAAGGACUUUAAUUUUUUUUUUUUUAAAUGUAACUAUGAAGGAUGUUACAUUACUCCUAAUGCAUAAAGAAAAUGAUAAAGAAAAACGCACUAUGGUUAAGUUUACAAUACAAUUUUUACCUGAACUUAAUUAUAGUUGAGUUGCAUUAACAAAGAACUUAACUAGGUUUAAGUUCGUAGUCACAAUACUCACUUAAACUUAAUUAUAGUUAAGUUGUAUUAAUUGAGAACUUAACUAGGGUUAAGUUCUUAGUCACAUUUUUUACUUGAACUUAAUUAUGGUCGAGUUGCCUUAAUUAAGUACUUAAAUUCUAGUUAAGUUGUCAACUAAAAUGUUUAUAUGACCUUUAACUUAUGAUUGAUUUUCAUUUAGAAAGAGUUUACACAUUAAUUUAUUAAGUUUUAUGGACCUCAUACGGUUUGGAUAUUGAUUAAAUAAGUCAAUUACACAUAGGGAGUGUGGAAUUGAUGCUUGGAAAAAUCAAAAUCGAAAAAUACUAAAAAAAUUAAAUCAUCACAUUCUUUGUACCCUCCCAAAUCUCCACUUCUUUUGAUUUUUUUUUUAAAUUGGACCUCACAUGGCUUGGAUAUUGAUCAAAUAGGUUAAUUACACUUAAGGGGAGUUCAAUUGAUGCCUAGAAAAAUCGAAAUCCAAAAAUAUUAAAAAAUUAGCAAAGGUCUGAAGAAUGUGAGGAAUAGGGUAAUUCUUGGUACCCUUCAAAAUCUCCACUUCUUUGAACCUUAAAAAAAGAAAAAAAAACAAUUCCUCAUAUGACUUAGAUAUUGUUUAAAUAGGUCAAUUACACUUAGAGGGUGUGCAAUUGAUACCCGAAAAAAUUGAAAUUGAAAAAUAUUAAAAAAUUAUCAAGGGUAUGAAGAAUGUGAGGAAUCCUCACAUUCUUCGUACCCUCCAAAAUCUCCACUUCUUUGAGUUUCUUUAAAAAAAAAAAAAAAAAAAAAAAACCUCAUAUGGCUUGGAUAUUUAUUAAAUAGGUUAAUUACAUUUAAGGAAUGUGCAAUUGAUGCUUAGAAAAAUAAAAAAAAAAUUCCAAAAAUACUAAAAAUUUCCACUUCUUUGAGUUUUUUUUUUUUUUUUUUUUUUUUUUUAUAAUUUGAACCUCAUAUAGUUUGGAUAUUGAUCAAAUAGGUUAAUUACACUUAAGGGGUGUUCAAUUGAUGUCCAGGAAAAUCAAAACCGAAAACUACUAAAAAAAAAUUAAAUCCUCACACUCUUCGUAUCCUCCCAAAUCUCCACUUCUUUGAGUUUUUAUUUUUUAUUUUUUAAUUGGACCUUACAUGGGUUGGAUAUUGAUUAAAUAGGUUAAUUACAUUUAAGGAUUGUUCAAUUGAUACUCGAAAAAGUCAAAAUCCAAAAAUACUAAAAAAAAUAACAAAGGAACGAAGACAUUCUUUUUACCAUCCAAAAUCUCCAAUUCUUUAAACUUUUCAAAAAACAAAAACUUUCUAUCUCAUAUGGCUUGGAUAUUAUUUAAAAAGGUUUAUUACAUUUAGGGGUGUGGAAUUAAUACCCAAAAAAAUCAAAAUAAAAAAUACAAAAAAUUAGCAAGGGUACAAAGAAAGUGAGGUCACAUUCUUCGUAUCCUCCAAAAUCUCCAUUUCUUUGAGUUUUUUUGAAAAAAAAAUAAAAAAUGGACCCCAUAUGAAUUAGAUAUUAAUUAAAUAGGUUAAUUACACUUAGAGGGUGGUCAAUUGAUGUCCUAGAAAAUCGAAAUCCAAAAAUAUUAAAAAAUUAGCAAGAAUACGAAAAACAUGAAGAAUCCGCAAAUUCUUCCUACCAUCCAAAAUCUCCACUUCUUUAAGUUUCUUUAAAAAAAAGUUGGACCUCAUAUGACUUGGAUAUUGUUUAAAUUGGUCCAUCAUAGUAAGGGCAUAUGGAAUUGAUGCUAAAAAAAAAAUCAAAAUUGAAAAAUACUAAAAAAAAAUUAAAUUCCUACCUUCUAUGUACCCUCCCAAAUCUCUACUUCUUUGAGGUUUUUUUUUUCAAAAUAAAUAAAUAAAUAAAUUGGACCUCAUAUGCUUGAAUAUUGAUUAAAUAGGUUAAUUACAUUUACGGGUGUUCAAUUGAUGUUCAAAAAAAUUGAAAUCUAAAUAUACUAAAAAAAUUAGCAAAAGUACAAAGACAUUCUUCGUACCUUCCAAAUCUUCAUUUCUAUGAGUAAAAAAAAAAAUAUAUAUGUCUCAUAUGGAUUGGAUAUUGUUUAAAUAUGUUAAUUAUAAUUAGGGGGUGUGAAAUUGAUGUCCAAAAAAAUCGAAAUCCAAAAAUAUUAAAAAAUUAUCAAGAAUACAAAUAAUGUGAGGAAUGUCUCACAUUCUUCAUACCCUAAAAAAUCUCCACUUCUUUGAGUUGUUUAAAAAAAAAUUUGGACCUCAUAUGGCUUGUAUAUUGAUUAAAUAGGUCCAUUACACUAAGAGUGUUCGGAAUUGAUGCCCCAAAAAAUUGAAAUCGAAAAAUACUAAAAAAUUAAAUCCUUACAUUCUUCAUACCCUCCUAAAUCUCCACUUAUUUGAGUUUCUCAAAAAAAGUUUUUGACCUCAUAUGACUUGGAUAUUGAUUAAAUUGGUCCAUUACACUAAAAAAAAAAUUAAAUAAAAAAAUACUAAAAAAAUUAAAUCGAAAAAUACUAAAAAAAUUAAAUUCUUACAUUCUUCAUACCCUCCCAAAUCUUCACUUUUUAAAAUUUAUAAAAAAAAAAAAAUUAUACCUCAUAUGGCUUGGAUAUUGUUUAAAUAGGUUAAUUUUCACUUAGGGGGUGUGGAAUUAAUGCCAAAAAAAAAAUCAAAAUACUAAAAUACUAAAAAAUUAGCGAGGGUAUGAAAAAUGUGACAUCACAGUCUUUGUACCUUCCAAAAUCUUCACUUCUUUAAGUUUCUAAAAAAAAUAAAAAUUGGACCUCAUAUGGCUUGGAUACUGAUUAAAUAAGUUAAUUGCACUUAAGAGGUAUUCAAUUAAUGCCCUGAAAAAUCAAAAUCCUAAAACACUAAAAAUUAGCAAAGAUACAGAGAAUGUGAAAAAUCCCUCACAUUCUUCAUACCGUCCAAAAUCUUCACUUCUUUGACUUUAAAAUACUAAAAAAAUUAGCAAGGGUAUGAAGAAUGUGAGGAAUCCUCACCUCAUAUUCUUCAUACCCUCCAAAAUCUCCACUUCUUUGACUUACAAAAUUUUUUUUAGACCUCAUAUGACUUUAAUAUUGAUUAUAUAGGUUAAGUACACUUAGGGGGUGUUAAAUUGUUGCUUGAAAAAAUUGAAAUCUAAAAAUACUAAAAAAUUAGCAAUGUAAUGAAUAAUGUAAGGAAUUCUCACAUUCUUUGUACCCUCCCAAAAUCUCCACUUCUUUAAACUUCUUUAAAAAAAAAAAUUAUACCUCAAAUGGUUUGGAUAUUGUUUAAAUAGGUUAAUUACACUUAGGAGGUGUGAAAUUGAUGUUCAGAAAAAUCGAAAUCGAAUAAUACUGAAAAAUUUGUAAGGGUAUAGAGAAUAUGAAAAAUCCUCACAUUAUUCGUACCCUCUAAAAUUUUUAUUUUUUUUUUAGUUUAUAAAAAUAUUUUUGGAUCUCAUAUUGCUUGGAUAUUGAUUAAAUAAGUCAAUUACACUUACGGGGUAUUCAAUUGAUGCUUGGAAAAAUCCAAAUCCAAAAGUACUAAAAAAAUUAGCAAGGGUACGAAGAGUAUGAGGAAUCCUCAUGUUCUUUAUACCUUCCAAAAUCUCCACUUUUUUUAAGUUUAAAAAAAUUUCUUUGGAUCUUAUGCUAAAAUACUAAUAAAGGGUAUGAAGAAUACGUGGAAUCCUCACAUUAUUCAUAUCCUCCAAAAUCUCCACUUCUUUGAGUUUUUUUUUUUUUUUAUUUAAAAAAAUGGACCUUAUAUGGCUUAGAUAUUGAUUAAAAAGAUUAUUUACACUUAGGGCUGGUAAAAUUGAGGUCUAGAAAAAUUGAAAUCGAAAAAUACUAAAUAAUUAGUAAGGGUAUGAAGAAUGUGAGGAAUCCUCACAUUUGUAACUUCCCAAAUCUCCUCUUAUUUGUGAUUUUAAAUCAUUUUUUGACCUUAUAUGGUUUAGAUAUUGAUCAAAUAGAUUAAUUACACUUCAAGGGUGUCCAAUUGAUGUCUAAAAAAAAAAAAAAAAAAAUUCUAAAUCCAAAACUACUUAAAAAUUAGUAAGAGUGCGAAGAAUGUGAGAAAUCUUCACAUUCUUCGUACCCUCCAAAAUCUCCGCUUCCUUCAAUUUUUACAAAUUUUUUGCACCUCAAUUGGUUUGGAUAUUGAUUAAAUAGGUCAAUUAUACUUAAGGGGUAUUGAAUUGAUGUCCAAAAAUUUUGAAAUCCAAAAAUACUAAAAAAAUUGCGAAGGAUGUGGAAUUUCAUAUUGUUACUAAUUAUAUAUAUAUAUAUAUAUAUUUGGUAUUUUCAAUAUUUCAACCAAUAUUUUAUGUAAUUAAAUUCAAAUUAUAAGAAAUAGUUUAUUAAUACAAUUUUCAAUUAUUAAUUAGUACAUAACAAUUUUAUUUUUUGACAAUGUAUACUUAUUUAAAUUUAUUUUCAUAUUUUUUAAAAAGUUUAAUUAAACUUACAAUUCAUUGAAAUGAUUCAAUUUUUUUUUUCAUUUUAAAAAUCAAUUAUAUUGUUUUUCACUCUUUCAAUAUUCAUCCAAUUUUUUCCACAAAUAAUUUCAAAUUAAAAUAAAAUUAGUUAACUAAUUCUCAAUUUAUUAAUUAUAUAUAUCACCAAAUUAUAUUUUUUUUUACAAUAUAUAGUUUAUUUCAAAUUUUAUUUUAUUUUUCUUCACCUCUUAGGUUUAUUACUUUAUAUUACAAAAUAAAAUAAAUUACAAUAUCUCUUUCACAAAUUUGUUAUUUUUAAAAAAUUUUCAAUAUUUUCCAACUUUUAUAGAAUAAUUCCUAAAAUUAUAUAACUGGUUGUUGUAAAGAUUUUAAAUUUUGUGUUGCCUGGGAUUAUUUUCUUAACGGAAUAAGUUUUUUUAUUUUUUUAUUCACCUAACCUUCACAUGUGGCUAUUACCGUUGGUGGAAAAUUAUGGGUAUGGUACCAAAAAGGAGAAUUCAGACCCAUGAAUUCAUUGGUGUAAAAUGGUUUUGAGUUAAACUUAGUCCAUAUCACAAGAUUCAAGUUGAAAUUAUGACUCUCUAUAAAUGGAAUAACUCUCUUAUCAGAUUCAUUAGUAUAAAAUGAUCCCUUUUAGCAUAGAUAUUAUUCAUUCUAUAUUCGUUGUAUAUAGAUAAUAUUUGUAAUGACCUACUUCCUCUCUUAAAUAUUGUUCGGUAUAAAGUUUCAUAAUUUUAGAACAUAUCAACUUAAUCAAAAGAAACUAAUCACAUAUGAUGUAAAUAAUUUUUUUCUUAAUCAAUGUGAAAUGUGAAAUAUCGUAUAAAUAAUAUUCACACAAUCAUCCAUUUUCAUGAGUAUUUGGAAAUAAGAUCAUAUGAUCUAGAAGAUUGAAAAUUAAUUUUGAUACCCGUUCUUGUGUACGUGCUUUAAGAAGGCGGCGUUGACAAGUUCUUUGUAAUUGUUUUUCUUGUAUGCAACAUGUCAUAAUUUUUUUUUUUUCCUUUUUUCCCUCAAACAAAAGAUACAUAUAAAUAUCCAUAUAAUACGUCAAUACAUUGACUUAUAAUAGGCUAGAUCAUCACACUCUUAAGGUUGUAGAUGCUCAAUCAAAAAGCCAAAACUCCUAGUAAGGGUGCUGGCCGAUGAUGUUGCCCUGUGGGCUGUAGUUGCAGCUGACGAACCACCAGCCAUUGUUGCACUGCACUCUUGCACACCCUAGACUUACCGAAUUGCGCCAAACCACCUGAGUAUAAUGUCCACACUCUCCUCCAACACAUGAGUUAGAGUUAUAGUCAUAAUUAGACUUCUCUCCAACCCACAGGUUGGCAGCAUCCGUGGCGGUGAAAUCACCACUGCCCAUGGCGAGGUUCUCGCCAUAAGGACCAUUUGAAUGCACCAUGUUGCAGUCGCCACUCCUUUGGCUAGCAUAGUCCCUCGCAUAGGCCGCCACAUUGUCAUCCCAUGUCAUGGGCUCAACGCCAACGUCCGCCCGAGCUGCGUUGUGGACAUCGAGGUAGUCUUGUUGGGAG